RNAcentral lists this long non-coding RNA (95408 nucleotides) under Solanum tuberosum (potato). RNAcentral's name for it is "long non-coding RNA (STUB_LNC004249)". Lineage: Eukaryota; Viridiplantae; Streptophyta; Magnoliopsida; Solanales; Solanaceae. The record is from RNAcentral.
UUGAAUUACGUCACUGAAAAUAUACUAAAAUGUUUCUAUUAUACACUUCUAACUUAAAUUUUUUUUACGCGCUUUCUCAAGUAUCCAUUAUGUACAUAAGUUAAUCAAUAAAUCGAAACUACUUGUAUCAAAACUAAAGUUUCAACUAAACACAUGAUAAAAUAAUCUCACGAUUAUUAUCCUUACCCUUCAUACCAAACGAACCAUACGGACUAAUAAAUGUGUGGAUCUCCCAUUGCAAUGUAUGUACGGUUGAUCGAACGUGACCUCACUGAUGAUAUGUGAAUUACAAAAUACAGCUGGAGAUGAAAGAGCCAAAAAAUGUCCACACAUCAAGGUCUUUUUUCUUGUCUGGCAAACAACAACAUCACACCUUUUGUAAUAAAGACAUUACAUUACACAUAUUAAUUUGUACCCCAAUAUACAUAGGAAAGUGAAAAAAAAAUUGUGUUUCCAGAACCUGUCUGAAUACAGAACAGAACCAAACAGGUUGGUUUUUGAAAACAUAUGAGCUGUUUUUUGAGCUGAACGCCACAACACUAAUCUAUACAUUAUUAAACAAAUUGAAGUUACUACUAGUUAGUGGAGUAGUAGUAUAAUAUUAUCACACACAUAUUGAGAUGAUAGAUUUAAUCCAAAGUACAAAUUGUUUAUUGUAGCACUCGUGUGAUACUGACUUGCUUUAAUUUUCUGCAUAGAUUGUUUGCCAGCUAUGAAACAGCUUCACACAUAAUGGAGAAAUCUGUGCACUAAAGUACAAUCCCUACCUUGUGUAUUUUAAAUAAUAAUAUUGCUUUCAUUUCACACAUACAAAAAUAUGAAUUCCAGUUUUCAGAAUUGUCUCACAUGCAAGCAAGCUUGCGAGUGUUCUUUCCAUACUCCAAAGGGUGUUAACUUAACGAGAUAUAGUUUCAAUUCCUUCUACGUUUGUUUGCACUCUGGAUCAACUAAACUUGUUUGAAUUGUGCGUUUAGAUUUAUAAUCAGUAAUAAAUUUAAAAUUUAAAAAUUAUAAAUUUUUUGUACUAUUGAAGGGCUGAAUGUAUACUUUUUUUUUUCUUUCACAUUUUUAGAUAUAAGAUUUAACAUUGAAACACUGAAUAAUCGAUACAUAAAUGUGGCAUUGUUAUUUUUUGUGUUUAUAUUAUGUGGAAGAAUUGUUUAACGUGCGAGCGUGCACGCACGUGAUUGCCACACAGUCCGUACGUAGAUAAGUUGACUUCAUUAAAUUGUUCAUUUGGUUUACUCUCAUUAAUUAAUUUUGGCUUUUGCGUUUCUAUGUCUGGCCAAUUAGGUCAUAUUUGAUACGAUUAUAAUAUGAGAUAAUUAAUUUCAUCUUUAAAAUACAGAUUAUGGGAUAAAAUGAUGUCAAAAUUAACUAAUACUUAUAGCCAAACAUAAAGUAGAAUAAUUUCACAUCUUAUUUUGCGUUUCUAGUUAAUCUCAAAAUUAGCUUACUUUUCAAAACAACAAUUUUGAACUAGUCAAUAUUAGUGUAAUUUCUUGUCAACAAUUUCUACAUUUUCGAAACUUGGUCAACAAGAGUGUAAUGUGUUACUAUUAGAAUUAACUUAAAAUUUGUAAGUUUCUCGACCUUUAACUAUUUAUAGACUCAAUUACUCUUUAUUGGUGAAUUUUAAUUUUAGAUAUUUCAAUAUUUUAUAAAGUACAUUUGAUUUUCAAUUAAUUGAAAUAUAAUACUUGAUCAUUUUUCUUAUGAACAGUCAUAAAUAUAUUAUAAUUAUUAAUCAUUUAGUCACCUAAUUAUCCAUGUAUUAUAUGAAGCUUAUAUUAUUACCCAUAAUAGGCAGUAAAAUAGUUACAAAAGUAUUUCCUAUAUAUAAAAUAUAUAAGGGCAAAAAAUAGUAGUAUUUUUUAAUUAAUGGAAGAUUAUACGUUAUUGAUUAAUAAGUACUAUCAUAAAUUUAUUACUAAUAAUUGAAGGACCAAAUGUGUUAUUAUACGAAGAUCCGUUGAGUAUAACUUUUAACCCGAGAAAUAGUGAUAACAGUACAGUAAUUAAACUUCUUAAUCUAUAUUAUUAUCACUGCAGAAAUUGAUUAAUUAAUUCCAAUAUGUAAAAUUCAUCGGCUUCCAUUUUUUUGAUUCUUCAGUUUUCUUCAUCUUUAUAAUUCUCUGCAUCUUCUUCACCAAAAAGCUCGAAUCCUUUUUUUUUUUGCUUUUUUCCAGAUUCUGAAUUUCAAAUUUGGAUUCUUAGCGAUGGAAGCACCAGAGAACGACGCCGUAGCGUUCGAGUCAGCUGAGAAGAUAAUUCUCCGGUGGGAUUCUACGGUGUCGGAAGAAGCUAGAGAGAAAAUGAUAUUUGACGGCGAUCGUUACGAGAUCAAUCGGUAUUUGCACGCCGUCGAUGAAAUCCAACGGUCAAUGGAGUCCACAACACUCUCCGACGACCAAGAUAAAGCUAAUAGUGCGAUCCAGAUCGCCAUGGCUCGGCUUGAGGAUGAGUUUCGCAGCAUACUUGUUGCUCACACAAAUGCAAUCGAGGCUGAUUCGUUAACUGACCCUAGUCCUUCUCCAGUCCACUCCGGCGAAUUCCAGGUGCCUGAAGAAGACUACCAUGAUACUCCUACUGACGAUGAUUCGUUCACCAAAGAUUUGGAACAUCAAGAGAGUAGCAGCAGCAGCUAUCGAUCUACUAGCAGCAUCCGCGAAGUUGAUCUCAUGCCGCCCGUAGCAAUAUAUGAUCUCCGGAGUAUCGCCGAGCGAAUGAUUUCCGCUGGAUAUCUCCGGGAGUGUAUUCAGGUCUACGGUAGUGUACGGAAGUCCGCUGUGGAGUCGAGCUUCCGCAAGCUUGGAAUAGAGAAACUCAGCAUCGGAGAUAUCCAGAGACUUGAUUGGGAGACUUUGGAAACAAAGAUCCGAAGAUGGAUACGAGCUGCCAAAGUAUGCGUUCGUAUACUCUUCGCUAGCGAGAAGAAACUCUGUGAGCAAAUCUUCGAGAGUUUGGGCACGGCGACUGAUGAUGCUUGCUUUAUGGAGACUAUUAAAGGACCAGCUAUACAGCUGUUCAAUUUCGCUGAAGCCAUUAGCAUUAGCCGGCGAUCGCCUGAGAAGUUGUUUAAGAUAUUGGAUCUUCAUGACGCUUUAUCCGAUUUACUGCCUGAUGUUGAAAUUGUUUUCGAGUCAAAAUCUUCAGAAUCAAUUAGAGUUCAAGCAGUAGAGAUAUUGUCUAGGUUAGGGGAGGCUGCUAGAGGGAUACUGUCGGAAUUUGAGAAUGCUGUACUCCGUGAACCUUCGAAGGUCCCCGUUCCAGGAGGGACAAUUCAUCCCUUAACUAGGUAUGUGAUGAACUAUAUAAGUCUAAUUUCGGACUAUAAGAAGACAAUGGGUGAAUUGAUUGUUUCACAGCCAUCGACGGGAUCAAGGUAUUCAAGUGAUCCUAACACCCCUGAUAUGGACUUUGCGGACCUAGAAGGGCUGACACCAUUAGCGCUUCAUUUGAUUUGGAUUAUUGUCAUUUUGCAGUUCAAUUUGGAAGGUAAGUCUAAGCACUAUAGAGAUACCUCUUUGGCUCAUUUAUUCAUGAUGAACAAUGUCCAUUAUAUUGUUCAUAAGACUAAAGGGUCACCUGAGUUGGGGGAAAUGAUUGUAGAUGAUUUCUUGAGAAAAUUAACGGGGAAAUUUAGACAAGCUGCUACCAGUUACCAGAGAGCAACCUGGGUGAGGGUUUUGCAUUGUUUGAGAGAUGAGGGACUACAUGUGAGUGGCAGUUUUUCAUCGGGUGUGUCCAAGAGUGCAUUGAGAGAGCGUUUCAAGACGUUCAACGCCUUGUUUGAAGAAGUGCACAGGACUCAGUCCACAUGGUUGAUACCAGAUACACAGCUCAGGGAGGAGCUGCGCAUUUCCAUAGCCGAAAAGUUGAUUCCUGCCUAUAGAUCAUUUCUUGGACGGUUCAGGAGCCAUAUAGAAAGCGGAAGGCAUCCAGAAAACUAUAUCAAGUAUACUGUGGAGGACCUAGAGAAUGCUGUCUUAGAUUUCUUUGAGGGGUACGCUGUGUCACAGCACUUGAGAAGAAGAUCUCAGUGAAAGAAUACUAGUUUCAACAGUUAGUACUUUAGGACAUUCUUUGAAUUUUUUUCAUGGAGUUAUUCAGGGGCUAAGGUUAUGGCAUUCUGGUGUUUCUCGAGUUUCUGCUUUCAUUUGUAGUAUUCCAGGGUGAUGGGCUGCUGAAAACUUCAGGAAGAUCAGCUGUAUCUAUCAAGAAGGGUCAGUGCCUCCUGCCUCUGGAUGCUCUGCCCUGUAAGCAUGUUGUUGUUGUAUUUCUUCCAUACUUUUAGACUUUAUUUCAAUUUGUCCAUAUCUGAACUGUUGUAUUGAUUACUUUCUUGAAAUUUUAUCAUAAUCAUGAUUUUGUUAACUUGAGUCCAGAAUUUAGUUUAGUUUGGAUGACUUCUACGCUGCUGCGAUAUUGUCCUUUGGAAUAUAUCCUCUUGUAAGUUUAUCUUAAAUCAAGAAUGUAACAGAUUUUCCUACGAUGGCAAGGGCCUCAGUAGGUGACAAUAAAUAAAUAAAACCAUGGUCUUGUGAUUGUAAAGACUUGAAAUUACCAAUUGUUGCUUACUACUGUCUUCUUAUUGUGUUUUAAGUCUCCGUCUUUCUUAGAAAUGAAACAAUUGUCCGUGAAUUUUUAAAUUUUACACGGGAAAUUCGUGGGGCAUGACUAAUUAUCUCAAUGUUUCAUGUAUAACCAUGCUGAUUCCUUGGAAUGUUUGUUGUUAGUUUGUACUUAUUUUGUUUUCUCAACUAAGACGAUUGGUGCUGUGGUGCUUAUUCAGCUAUUAUGGGUAAAAGCUACUAACUAGUUCUGUUGACAUGAUUUUCUCAAUCAUGGAAUACUUGAACUGGACAUAUAUCAUGAAAGUUGUUCUUGUAAACUAGAAAUUGAAUUCCCCGUUUGUUAUACACUGUCAUGAUAGAAGUGGCUAAUCUGUGGUUACAAGCCACAAGGAGCAUCUGAUUAAUCCAGUAGAUUUAGUGCAGCAGAUUCAUGCAAUCUUUGUUGUUUAUCCUCCAAAUAUUUCAUCUCUACAGGCCUUCUGGUUGAAACACUGAAGUGUGCUGCAUCUGAUGGUCAGAACUUACAAGGUGUGCCUUCCAAUGUUACACAUCUUUUUGCUACCUCUUCACUCACCAAGUACUCCCUGUUUAUGUAUUCUCAAAUGUGGUUAUCUGUGUCCAAAGUAGAAAUCGUCCUCUAUUCUUACGUAAUGGCAGAAAAUGUAGAAUAUUUACUGACCAAGAUGUUCAAUUACUAAUCUGUUCAAAUACCAUUUGUAGAUUUGAUUACUACACCACUUGGAUAUCUGUUACAUAAAAUCCAUGUUUCUGUUUUUUUCUACUUUAGCUGGUGUUGCCACUUUAAAGUACUUAAAAUGGCCUUUUUCCCAUUUAUGAGGAGUUACUAUGAAAAACUCUUCAAACUAAUAAUUCUUGUGCCGUGCUUAUUCUUCUAUUUCAAUAGAAGAUAUAGGAAGAUUGAGUGUGGAGUGUGGAUGUUCAUUUUGACUUGGAUUUAAAAGUGAUAGACGACCUAAUUUGUGUCAUUUUUCAACCGGGAAACUAGAUCUUUACAGUUGGUGUGAUGCUUCAUCUGCCAUCUAUUCCUACUUUUCAAUUAUUGUGGGUCCUUAUUUAUCUAUUUAGAUAAAGAGCCUAUGUGUCCCAUUAUUAAAUGAGCUCUUAAGGGUCACAAUGGGGACCCAAGGGAAAAAACAGAAGGAAGAUCAGCUUUUAGUAUGGGUUUUUGAGAUGAAUGUUCCAUUGGGAAUCAAACAUCUAUGCCUUUCUGUAUAACUUUUGUACUUUAGGAGUUUGUAAAACUUGGUCAAUUAUUUCUUCUCUCGUGUAUAACAGCAAAACAACUACGAUGACUAAACAUAUUCUCAACUAAUUGAUCUUUUUAUUUCAUGGAUUUUAAGAGAUUGUAGGUCUUUGAUACAAUUUUCUUUCACAUAAUGUUAGGUCUGUCUAUCUUUUGAUAUCAUCACUCAUCAUCGAAACCGACAUAACUAGACCAAUCUCAUAUUAUCCUUGGUAUACUUAGCACUUUGUGGUGAAUGUGCUCGUCUAUUGCUUUAUCGUGUAUGGUUAUGCUUCCAUAUUAAUAUGCGCUUCUUUGUGACACUUAACUUCUAAACCAUUUUAACUAUAAGAAUAGUUGCAAGAGAGAUCAUAUAAGAUAAAUGAGCAUUACUUCUAAAAAAACAACAAUUACAAAUUUGUUUUACCUAAUAAAAACUUCUCCUGAUUAACAUUCGUACUUUUUAUACAGACAACACAGAUUACAUGAUUCUAACAACAAUUUACUCAACUGGCGGUACCUUUCUUUACCAUACUGUAAAAAGUUGUGUCUUGCUUUACUCAGUCUUGUCUUCUACGUCAUCGCCAUUAGAUAGUUCACUGUUACCCAGCGCUGGUCUCACUUCAGGUUGGCUUCUAACAUCCUUUGGCAGCAGAGGGGACGGCUUUAUGAGUGUUAAUGUAGCGUCCUUGUCGAACUCUUCACCAUCAUCAGAGUAGGCAUAUCUGUUAUGUAAGCAUAUAAAAUAAACCAGUGAGUGUUGAGAUUUGCGUCGGAGAAAAGACUGAAUAUUGCCAAAAAUAAAGCCGUUAUAGCCAGCUAUUAUUGUAAGUAAGACUCACUAUUAUGAGAUUUUGACUUCUUAUAGUGAUGAAAAUAGAAAGAUGCUAUGAGAUGUUUGAACAGAAUGAUUCAGGAUUUAUAAAUUUGAAAGUUUGCCGAGUACAGGAAAAAAAUAACAAAUAAAGGUUUGGAUCCCAUUUAAACACAAGAUAUAAAGCUGCAGAUAUGACGAAAUGAUAAGAACUAGAAGGGGGUUAGAGUAGUGAGAACUCUGUAAAAUGCAUGUACAUACACAAUAAGGUGGAAGGUGGGUAGUACCUCAUGGAGUUUUGAGAUGGUGCCCAAAGAACGCAGAUGAUGCAAAGGAGAGAGAAAGAUAGCACUUGCCAGAAGGCAGGAAUAAUCCAGGCAUUUCGCCAACGCUCAUUGUACACAUCAGUGGACUUGAAGUACAGCUGCCAAAAGGGGUGAAAAUGGUCAAUGCUCAUUGUAUACAAUAUCAGGAACAGUUGAGAAAAUAAUGAACCCUAUGCCUGAUGUAGUUGGACGAAUAUAAGAUAUGAUCAUGCUCAAUUUCUAGAAGGUGCCCUUUCUCUUGAAGGUAAUACAUGGAGUGUCACAACCCAAGUCGAACCUGAAUUGAGUUGUGAGGCAAAUGGCAAACCAAGAAUCACUUGUUGAAGUUCCUUUCUUGACUAGUAAAAAAAAAUAAAUAGGGAAAAGAACAAUUGAUUUGUGAUGCUUUGACACAUUUCGUGGCAUAAAACAUAUGAAAAUGAAUAACAGAAUGAUUGCAAAACAUUAUAAAGGCCUAUUUAUGCUUCUGUUUCCCGUAUUAUUGGAAAUUAGGUCCCCUCUCCAGAAAAUUGGAUUGCAGGCCAAAUUUGGUGGAUUAUACAUGUUCCUUUUUUUGGUGUUAAGUCAUUCUGCAAAAGUAAUCCUGUUCACAUCAAGCAGACCAGUCGACAAUAAGGUCCUUAUAACCACUUCCCUUUAUUAACUCAGAUUCUUCGAACAGGCAACAAAGAUACUUGACAGAAGUUACUAAAAGAAAGAACCAGCCACAUCAUGUAGGAAUUGAAAAUUACCUCAUAGCACGUCCAUCCAACAGAUACAAUAACAGUGACAGCCAAUGCAUUUGUGAACUUCCGAUAAAUGUCUAAUUUGGCCAACAACCUUCUAGCCUGUCAGACACCAAAUCCAGCAACUGAAUUAGCACUAAUGGAGCCUAAAUUGAAUUAUACUAAUAACUGAAUGACGUCAUAUCAUGAUCAAUCCCAGCCCCAAACGCCCUAAGAUAAGGCAAAGGAAAAAGCUUCCUUUAUUGCAAGAAUUAGGCACUACAACCAACAAAAAGAUACCAGUACACCUUUCCGAAUGAACUUCAUGAUUAAUAUAAUAUGUAACACAAAUAGAGCUACUUAGGUUAUUAGUCACAAGUGUAAUAAGAUCUCUGCUCAUGAAAGUAAAACCUGAGGCAAGUAAGGCGUAAAGAAACGAAAACAUUCUCUAAACUAGCAAUCCACAAACAAAUGAAAUCACAGUAACUAAUAGAAGCCAACAAUUUACCUGAAGCUUAUUCACAGUUGCCGACAAGGAGGUGAAUAUCCAAAGGAUAAAGAAAGCAUCCAAGAAUGCCACAGGAAGUACAAAAAACAACCUUGCUUUUCCUGAGAAAUCACUGACAGCCCCAACAUUUUCCACCAGUUCAAGCACUUCGGAAGCCAAAAAGAAUGUUCCUCCAAGCAAAAGGACCUUUGAUGUGAGACCACCCAGAGUAGGUCUAACGACACCAUAGCCCAUAGAGACUAUCAGAAUGACCAAACGUGCAACUGUGCGCUUUACUGUACCAAAUGUCACAGCCCAUACAGUGGUACCAGUGGGCCUGACUCCAGUUUCAUUGAAUUCAGCAUAGUCAAAGUACCAAAAGGCCAUUUCAAGCAUGCCCAAUGUUAUAACGAGUGUAAUACAAUUUUGUAAAGGAAUAACUUCUCUCCAAAAUCUUGCAUACUGCGAAAACCAAAAGAUCCCUAGUAACACGAAUGCAAGAGACAUGUACCCAUAGAAGUUCAUAAGGGGAGCCAUUCUACCAGGUAGGUAACCAGUAGGAUUCUUCCAUAUGGUUUUCCCUUCAACAGUAAUUUCCUUAAGAUUUGGUUCACAGUGAAUAAAAUACACGUUAUACAUCCCAGUUUUUGUAAUGGGGAUUGAUCUCGACUGCAGUGCUACAUCAACUUCAUCAAUGCUGAAUGAGGCACUAAAAACUUUAGGCCAUCCGGGAUUACUAGCAGAUGGGCGGUGAAUUAUUUGCCCUUGUGUACAAACUCCAAGUUUUGCAAGAUCUGCUGUGCAACAAAUAGCUCUUUGUCCACCAUAAGCAGAGCCCCCAAUUAACUCUCGAUCAUCCACCUCAAAAAUAAUUGCAUGAAUUGGGUCUGAGCUGAAGUUUGAGAAUUCCUUUGGCCUCCGAAAUACAAUCUUUUCAAACCUGUUGAACAUGUGAUCGUCAGAAAUUUAUAGACUCUUACGCAUAAAACUGGGAAAACACAUGAAUGACAACACUCAUUUCCAGAGUCUGGCAUGACUGAGAAAAUGCAUAAGAACAAGCCCAUUAAUUUCCAUGGAGCAUGACUUUUAAAUAGAAAAAACACGAAAGUUAAUCGAAAUACAAAGCAGUUGGAUCAUCUGUAUGAAUCCUCUUAAUCCAUCUGACUCUAUUCGGCCCAAACUAAGUACAGACUACUUAAUAUUGUGAGAAAGCAAAAUUCAUUUAUCUUCUUUCGCUCAACUAUGGAUUUCAUACAUAAGCUUCUCAUUAACAAAAAUAAUUCAACCUUAAUGGUUGAACUAUGGUUGCUUUUAGCAGCAGAAAUUUAAGGAAGACAGCUUUAAUAGUAGUGCUAAAUUGUUUUGGCUUUUGGUAAUGGAUCACAUAAGACUUAAGAGUUUUUUACUAACUAGGUAACUACACAGAUCCAAAUUGAGCAGCGCCACAUUGAUGGUUGAGUUAGCCAUGUUUUUAGCAGCCGAAUAUCAAAGAAAAUUUAGCUUCAAUUGUCCCUUUGACUGAUUUUGAAGCCGAAACUUGAAAAUUUGAAUUUGUGAAAUUUAAAUUUUUGGAACUUUUAGUUGUGUAUGGACAUGCAUUUUACUUGGGAAAAAUUGAAGAUUAGCGAGUGUAAGUCCCAAAAAUUGCACUGAGCCCCUUUUUGUGAACUUGAAAAUAUUUGACCAUCAGAUUUUCAAUAUAUGAUAAAAUUUCAUGGUCAAACAGAUAAUUGAAGAUAAUUUUUCAAAAACUACUCCCAAAAUCUAUAAUGGAGCAGAACAACACUAGUAGCUUUACUAUCUAAGUUUAAAAAAAGACAAAUAAAUAAUUCUGCUCCUUCCAAUUUAACCUGAACACAUAGAAUGAUACCGUCAUUUAUAAUUAACAAUUCUCACAACAGAUCUCGAUAUAUUUCAUCUUAAACCGUACCUAAAAACAGUUAAACAAUUGACUGGAGAGAGAGAGUAAAAUUACCGAAUGAAGGAGUCGGUGUUGGAAGAAUAGGAAGGAGAUUCAGUGAGGUUAGGAACAGAGGAGUAAAUUCCUUCGCUACCUCCGUGAACCACAAAUGCAUUGCCCUUGCUCACAAAUUUCUCCCCAUUGUAGUCAUGCACUGAAGCUUCAGUCGUCUGGAACAGCCAUAGCCAUAGUAGAAAUAGUACUCCUGAAGCUCCAAUUGACUUCAACGAUAGCAUUUGCCGAAUUGAGAGAUCAGCUCAGUGAGUGAGAGAGUAGCAGAUCUGCUGUUGCUGAAGUAACAGCAAUAGGAACAUCCACUACCGGAGUGAACGAGAUUGGACCCACCGGCGACUACGUUUCACUAUUAAAUAUAUUCGUUUAAUUGAGGUAAGCUUGUGUAAUGUGUACGCCGAGCAAAUGAUUUGUUUAUUGUUCACUUACGUUUAAAUAGUGAAAAUGCUUUAAUCAUUUCUCGAUUUUGAAUUUCAAAUAUUAAAAAAAUAAUAACAUGAAGGAUAAUUUAUUAGAUGUUAAUUUUAUGUAGAAAAAAAAAGAUAACGGAAGAAAGUUCUUUUUGUAAAAAUGUUGUAGUAUUCUUUAUUUUAAUUAGUUCGUCUUAUUUUAUUUUAUUUUAUUGGCAAUUUUGAAAAUUUAACUUUCUACUUAAUAUACAAGAAAAUAUACGAUUAAAGAAUAUUUUAAUAUAUUUUUGAUUUACAAUUACAAAAUUUUUAAAAAAUAUAUUUUUUUAAAAUUUUAUAUUAAAUUAAAAUCAAAUAAAUUAAUUAAAACGGAUUAUUUUUUUCCAGUGACUGUAUUAAAAUAACAUUAUAUAGUAUAGUAUAAGAGUACAUGUUGGAUGUGAAUAACUGACAUGUGUAACUUAAAAGUAAGGUGCAUGAAAAAAUAGAGAAAAGAAGAGGUGAAGAAUUUUUUUAUUUAAAAAAGAAAAGGUGAAACAAGACACCUAGCUCAACCUCUUCCAUUCCAGAAUAUGUUUUUGUUGAAUGACAAGUUAUGUAAUGAAUAAUAAUACAAAUAUUACUUAGGCACGAAUUGGUAAUAUGUAAAUUAAAUCAAUUACGCAAGGAAUAAUAAUCUGAAUAUUUGUAUUGUAUAAUAACAACGCAAAAAAGAUUGAAUUGAUAUAGCAAAUAAUAUCUUAUAAACAAGAUCAAGAAAUCAAUCUACUCAUCGUACCUAAUAUAGUUUAUACCUCCUGAAUUUAUCUAACGCAGCGGAGCCGCUUCAGAUUUUCACUGUCGGUUAGCUCGGUGUUAAAGUGAUUAUUAAUUGUCACUUGUCCAUUUUUCCACGUACUACGAUACCUCUGAAUUGAUGAUAUGGAUCAACAAAGUCGUUGUCGGUUCAUUGCUUUUUCUUCACUUUGGCACUUGCUGGCAAUGUUCCGGUAUCAUUACGGCAGAGAUACUGAGAAGAAGUACUAUUUCUUGCACGUGGUCUCACCUCCCCUUGUGUAAUAUGAUAUACUUAAAACAACUCGACUUUCUUCUAAUGUCAAACACUAGUUUUUCACUUGACAACUCUAUGGUGUUGAGUUAAGACGGGGCCAAACAUGCACCUUUUUUUUCCAAUUAAUUUAAAUCGUGCCAAAACCAUAAAUAUACCUAAAAAUAAAGAGGGUAAGAUCCGAGCAAUGCGCUUGAUUAAAUAGUUUGACCUAAAUAAGAAAAGGAAAUACACCAGAACUCCCAUUUCACAGCAUAUACAGCGUCUAACAUAAAACUACAGUUCCUCCAGGACUAGCAUAAAAAGGAAAUGGAACAACUCAAGACUUGUUUCACCAUUCACCAUGUCUAAUACCAGUAACCUUUACUCAAACAUCAUAAAAGAAACAGAUGUUACAAUGAACACAGAAUAUCCCAAGAGAAAAGGAAAACCACGCAGCAACUGCGAUAAUAUUUGCAGAAGACAUGGAAUUAUCGUAAACAACAGGAAACCUCAAUCCAUAUCAAGAAAUUCCAUCCUCUUCCUCAUUGAGCCUUUAAGAUCUGUAGAGUCCCUUUCUGCUUUCUGUGCCUGAUGGAUGGAUAGGUGAUAUGAAUUAGAAACAAAUCACAAGUCUCAAUAAGAAAUGUAUACGCACAAUAUAAAGUGGUCCGGGUCCUCAACUCUAUAAUGUGUUAUGACUAAAUAAAUCAGUCAACCAUCAACUAAUGGUUAGCCUCAAGUUAAUCAUGAUUUUGCACUUGAAAGAAUAGAUUUAUAAACUAGAAAGAUGGAAAUGUUAUCUCUUUAAAAAGCAUAUGAAAACAUGCACACAUAAAGAUGCAAGUUAUAUACAAGAUACAUUCUAUUAACAAGGAUUACUGUUUUUUCUUCAGCUUUAUAAUUUCUUUCUGUGUGUUGCAAAAGGAAAAAGGCUAGCUACAUACAGUAUUUCGUGUACAAGCUUAUCCUUUUCUUUUGGACAAAGGGUUAAUUUCAUCGAUAAAGAGGCAUGUAAAAGCUUAACCUUUUUGCAACUUCAUACCUUCAUCUUUAUCUUUUCCACUCCCCACCCCCCAUUUAUCAAAAAAUAACUUUUCAUCCCUAAAUUUCCAAAACUAUGCAAAAUACCUACAGCUUUUUUUCCUUCCAACUAUAUAUUCACCAAUAUAAGUUGCUCCACACCCCAAACUUCACAAGUCAUACACCUGCAACAAGUCCAUUAAGCAUCUGGAAGAGUGAAACUAAUAAUAACAGGAUCUUACCCUUCUUAUCUCAGCUUCUGAAACACGUGUCAUAUGGGGAGGAAGUUCCUCCUUAUCCACGUCCUGACCAAUCAUUACAACAUUGUAUUAGCCAACGGGUAUACAAUUAUGGGGAUAGCACAGAACUUUUUGUAUUGAGAGAGAAAUCAAGACAUACCAGUUCACCAAUUAACACAACAUUUUCCCCACGUAUAAUAUAAAGACCUAAUGGGAUAUCACAAUAUAGAUCACCAACAAUAGCACGCUCACAUGCACUUUCAAGAACAGCAUUAGCUACAAAUAACAGAUGGAAUUUUUGUCAGGUGGUUAACCGCGGCAGUGAUAUGGAAAGUAAUGACAGGAGAAACCUACCAAAUUGGUCAAAAGAACGAAGUAUUCCUAAAAGCUUUCGCCCAUCUCGCAACAGCACAAGAAGUUUCUCUGUGAGGGAUAAUGAGUCAAGCCAGAAAAGCAAGAAAUAGAUCCAGUAAAUCAAUAAACAGGUUUAGUUAUUGCUAUCAAUCUAUGAGCACAUGGACAUAUAUAUAAGAAAAAGUAAAUCAAUAAACAGGUUUAGUUAUUGCUAUCAAUCUAUGAGCACAUGGACAUAUAUAUAAGAAAAAGUAAAUCAAUAAACAGGUUUAGUUAUUGCUAUCAAUCUAUGAGCACAUGGACAUAUAUAUAAGAAAAAGUAAAUCAAUAAACAGGUUUAGUUAUUGCUAUCAAUCUAUGAGCACAUGGACAUAUAUAUAAGAAAAAGUAAAUCAAUAAACAGGUUUAGUUAUUGCUAUCAAUCUAUGAGCACAUGGGCAUAUAUAUAAGAAAAAGUAGCUCCCCAAUUAUUUCUUUUAGUACCAGGCACCCCAUGUAUUAUUGCAUUAGCUUCUACUAGAGGCGGAUCUAGAAUUUGAAGGUUGCGGGUGCCACUGCAUUUAAUAUAAACUUGGUGAUGGAUAUUGAAUUUGGGCGUAUAUUCAUCCAAUUCAAUCCAUUUUGAGCUAAUAUGGGUUGAUUUACGAAUUUUUUGGUACAUAAAUAAAUAUACGAUUAUCUAAUCAACAUGAAUUUUAUCUGAUUCAAUCAAAUUCUGCUGCAAAAUGAGAAAAAUAUGAACAAGAAAACAAAAUUUUUUGAAUAGGCAAUUGCACCCCUUCUUAAUCAUAAGAUACUUAAAUCAUAAAUCAUGAUAACUAACAAAUUGUAACUUAUAACGAAUUCUAUAAAAUAAUUCUAUAAAAAAGAGCCAAAGCAUUUUGUAUAAGGGAUCUCUCAUCAACUUAAAGUAAAGACAAUGUUUUCAUUACAAAAAAUCACAAAUUAUCCAUAUUAAAAAAGAAAUUAAUUUGCGAACAAAAACAGAAACUCGUAUUUUUUUUAAAAUUUUUUGGUAACAUUAAAACAAAAACUCUUAAUAAUAAAGUACAAAAAGAAGCCAAUAAACUAGCAUAAAACGACCCUUGGCUCUAUUGCUUUCGUUUAAAGGAUUAAGAAACGAAGUAUAAAAUUCAAUAGAUAAAAUGUACUUUGAAGGGAUAAAAGAGGAAAAAGAAUAAAAUCACAUCCAAGUAAAUAUUUGGACAUUUUGAAGAAAAAAGAAGAAGAAAUAAUUUAGAUAAAUAAACUAAUUGAUGGGUUGCAAAGGAGGAAGAGUGUAAAUACAAUUACUAAGCUGCUCGGACUCGAGUGCGGGUGUCCAUACGGGUGCGGAUCUAGAGGUCGGAUCCUUCAUGAUCUAAUUUUUAAGCUUCGGGGAUAUGGAUCCAUGUACGGAUAUGGGUGCGGGGAUUCGCCUAUAAAUAAUUAAAAUAUCUAAAAAUAGAGUUAUAAAACCUAAAUUAUGACAUAUUAUGUGGAGAACUUGAGAAGAAUCACGAAAGGAAAUUAAGGAAAAUGAGUGACAUAAAAAUUUCUAUAUAAAAGGUAUUCUAUUUUCUUCAAUUUCACCUUUAGCUUUUGUAUUGAGCAUAGCAAUCAUUAAAAUUGUCCAGACUUUCUCCAUCGAUUUUGGUCAAAGUACCCAAAAUCCGUUGACCAAAUCAGACACAGAUCCCACACCCACACCCAUGUCGUGUCGACACAGGCGGCACCAAAAGUGAAGAGUCCGAGCAACUUAGAAUACAAAAAAAACACUAUAAAGGAAACAAAUAAAGAAAGAAAGGAUAUCCCUAGUAUGUUAGAGUCCUUAAGGAGUUCAUAGGAAAACAACAUCACUUUUGUAUUUCUGAUUGUAAGUAUUACUGGAAUACGUCCUGAGUAUUCCUGUGUUUAUAAUACAAGUUACCUUUUCAAAAAAAAAUAAAGAAAGAAAGAAGAGAAGUAAAGGAAAAGGCAAAAAAGGAAGAAAAAAAGAAAGAAGAAGAAAACCAAAAGACAAAUUGCAUUCCAGGAGAUUCGAACCACAGCGUUGGGUGUGGCACCCUGUCAGUUGACCAACUGAUCAGCAGUCACUAUGCCAUUGUGGGUGCCAACCUUUAAUUAUAUAUCAUACUCACUACAAUUCCUAUACAUAUAUAUAUGAAAAAAUUAAUCGAGCACCGGGUGCCGUGGCAACCUCACCGUAACACAUUAACUAAUUGCUCAAGAGCCGGAAACAACUAAUCCUUCAAUUUACAGGAACAUGCCUCUUUGGUAGAAUAAGUAGUACCAUAGGUUCCUCUAGAAGGAAUAGGGACCACAUAUACCUAUAAUAAUCGUGGUUUCUAUCAUUUAAGCUGCCAAGACAAGAACACAGGAGGCAUAGGAAAAAAGGGUGCAAUUCAUUUUUUUAUAAUGUUGGUGUCCAUACCAGCUUGCUCUCACCUCAACUAUUCAACUAGGUAUUUGCUACUACCUCCCACAGUAAACCAUUGGAUAACUAUGCUCAGUUGCUCACUGAGACUUAAAUAGAAGGGUAAAAAUCACCUAAUAUUUUUUGUUUCUAUUGGAUUUUGAACCUUGGCCUCCAAGGUCUGCACACACUUCAUUGAUCUAAUCACACCCUUGGGUGCAAAAAAACAUAUUGUGAACCAUGUAUUUCUACAAUUUGCACAAAUGUCAAGAUAACAGCAAGACUUACUAAGAAAGUUGAUUGCUGAAUAAGGUAGGCUUUCAAGCGCAAGCCCUUUGUAUAAUUGAGUGCUUGACUGCACCUUUAAUUCUCUGGAAAAAAAGAAGAAAAAGUGGUACUCAAGCACUCAAAUAUGUAAGUGGCUUGGGCUUGACAGCAACUUUCUUUUAUCAUUAAGGCUUUCAUUUUGAGUUGUCACUACGAGGAAACACAAACAAUGAUGAACCUUUUGUGGCUCUUUGACCCAUGCAGCAGUAGAAAAGAUCUAUUCCGCCUUAAAAGAAGGAAGCACUCCUCUUCCCUCGCAAUAUAUGAAUCAGUGAAAAAUCAGCACUUUAGUCAUUAUGAAGUAUACAUCGGACAUCGCCCAUAAAGCACAUCUACAGGGAAGGCAACAUGGUUGCAGCUGGCUUAGCAAAACAAGGUUCAGAUUUAGACUAAUAAAGGCUUAAAAAUCUUUGAUUUUUCCUCCUUUUGUAUCAACACUUUGGAGAAAAUCUACCAGUGGUAUAAAUAAGAUAUACUCCCUUGGUUUCAAUUUAUUUGUCUUAAUUUCCUUUUCAGCCCAUUUCAAAAAGUAUCUCUUUUCUUUUUUGGCAACUCCUUAAUUCUAGCUUUCCACGUGGCAUGUUUAAUACUACAAGAUUAAAGAACAUUAUGGUACAUUCUACGUAUCUUUAGUUAAAGAUUACAACAUUCAAAAAUCUUUUUACUUCUCCAAACUUCAUGUCAAGUCAAAACGAGACAAACAAAUUGAAGCCGGAAUUUAUCUUUUGAACCUAAAAAAGAUGUGCACUCUCAACUUUUUCUCAUAAUGCAACCAACAUCUUCUAGGUAUUCUCUCUCCCCAUAAACGAAAAAUCAAUUACAUCUCAGUUUUAAACUAAUGUACUAUGAUCAGAAUUCAGGAAUCAACGCGAGAUUACUAGAUACGAACAGACAACCAUCUGUGUUCAAUUAAAAUAAAUAAGAGGAAACAAUCCAAUACCAAAACAGCCCAAAAGAACCUUGCAAGUUUAGCAAGACUAGAUUUUGAACACCAAAACUACUAGACAACUUUAAUAGUACUUAGCAUAUCGACCUUUCUUUAACAUAUAAUUUAUAAAGAAAUGAAGAAAAACUCACUGUCAAGAUAACUUGCAAGAGAAGUGGAGGUAUAGAUAUCUUCUGGACUUGCCCAAGACAUUGAUUUGCUUUCAAUUUAACGUUUUCGGUAUCCCAAAAAUCACCGAAACUUCUUCAGAUUUCAAUUCAAUUUGCAUUGGCAGAUCCGAUUACCCGCUUUACAGUGCCCUAACAAAAGCUUCGCCGCUUCACUGAGAACAUAUAAACUAAAAUCCUACCGCUAAAUCAAGAAUUAGAAAAACUCCAAAGCCCUAAAUCUGAGAGAAGUUUGAAAAGAAAAGAAUUUGUUGACUUUUGGUUGCUCAGAUCGGGAGGAACCCUAAAUUCGGCCUAUCCCCAAAAUUUUGGGGAGUCAUACGGUCUACUGCUCUUUCCGAUUCUUAAUUUUGAGAUUUACCCGGCCUACUUUUGUAAAUUUAGUUUUAGUUGACUCCUUGAAAUAUGAUAGUACUAUCUCUUUAUGUGGUCUCUUACUUCUUCAUUUUUUUGUCCGCCCAACGAUGGAGAGCUUUUGCAAUCAUCAAAAUUUGAUAUAUUUCUAUAACGUAAUUUUUUACUUAAGGGGUCUCGCUUAAUACCUAUCGGACAAGGGUAGCUCUGCCCCAGGUCACAAUGGUGUGGUAUGCCACAAAGCGAUUUUUUUAUCUUAACUUGCUUUCUAUUGUCGAUUGAGAACUUUUGCAAUCAUCAAAAUUUGACAUAUUUAUAUAACGUAAUUUUCAUAUGAAGGGGAGUCGCUUAACACCCCUUGGACAAGAGUAGCUCUGCCCUGGUCACUAUGACGUUGUAUGUCACUAAUAAGUAUUUGAUCUUAACUUGCUUUCUAUUGUGUUGUGUUAAGAUUCGUUAUUUUUCGAUACUAGGGUACAAAAAUAAAAUGAUGAUGGAAUUAAUGAAUUUAUUAACGUUCGAUUGAAUUAAGAUUCAUGUCAUAAACAUUUUUCUUUAGUUGAAACGUACUACGAAUAUAAGGAAAAGUAUAAUUUAAAUAUUGAUAUAGGUUUAAUUAGUUGCCUAGACAAGAAGUUAUUCGAUAUUUCUUUCCAAAAUUAAUCGUUUGCAUUUAGAAAUAAGCCAAUGUUGGUGAAUGAGAGAUUUAUUUUUAUUAAAUUAAAAAAAAACUACAUAAACAUGAAACUGUGUUGACAUGCAUUAUGAACUAUUCACACAUUUCACCAUGAAUAAAAACAUGGCAUUUGGUAUUAAAAAAAGAUUUUCAGUAUUGUGAUGUUUUAUCUUUUAUGACAUGUAGAUAGUGUAAAAAUUACUUACGCUGUCAGUGUAUAUAAAUUAAAUCCAUAUAUCAGCUGUGGACUGGUCCAUAGACAGAGAUCAUAACGACUCGUAAGGUGAGUGCUCUCAAGCUUCUAUAUUUUAUCUCUUUUAUUUCCUCUAAUUCUAUUACAAGCAGUUCACUACAUCUGGAAUGAAACACAGUUAUACAACUAUACAUAUAAGUAGUGUGACAGUCCAACCACAUUUCUGAUACAUCUGUGGCUGUGUAGCUGCUGAUAUAUUAGCCACAUUCUCCACAUACUUCACAACAAAAACUAAUACACUCAAAACAAGCAAGCGCUGUACAGAGUUGUGCUAACGUCACAGCACAUCGAUCACUAACCCGAGAGCAGAACUGUAUGAAACACAUGCAACAGCAAAAGUCACAUAGUUUGCCACAUAAGUUUGAAGCAGCGGAAAAUACCAUUUCUGAUGUUUCAUGCAACUUAGGUUCUGCUGCUUCCACAGGAAGAUUGUCUGCAGUUGCCUUCAAGUUACCAAAACCAACACCGAGUGCUCGAAGGUAUAUGAUCUUCUUGACAUUCAACUGAUCAGAGGCCUUCUGCAUAUACAUUGGUUAUCAAUCAAUACGAGAGCUUUUAUUUUUAUUAACAAAUUCCGCUUGUAAGCUUAAAAGAAUGCAUUACUGUUGUUUAAACAAAUCUAUUCUUGAAGUUCCACAAGCACAAGAAUGCUAGUUUAUUUUUACACAAGUAUAUGUCUAGAUAUAAUUACCUCAUACAGGUCAAAAUAUAUACUUUAUGAAUCAGACGUAAUUUAAUGCACUUAUCUACAUAUACUUGUGUAUUUGGUAUGCAUGUUUUGCAUACAAAUACACAAAUUUUACUUUAAGGAAGUGAUGCACGCGAAUCAUAAAUCACAGAAGAUGGAUAGUGUUAAAACCUCAAAAGAUGAUUUUCUCUAAUUUAAAGACAGUUAACCUAGUACAUUGACAAACCAACCAAACUCAUACCUCGUCUACUGUCUCUAAUUUAGACGUCUGCUUCUCCUUUAAAUUUUCAACCAAAACCAAGUUGGUGUACUCUGAAGGCACCCCAGUUUGCAAGCUCAAUUUUGCAACCUAGAAACAGAUAUAUAGUUUAAGUGAGCAUAAUUACCAUCAAGAAAAAAUAAUCAUGAUUUUCAAUAGUAGAAGUAACAGUAGUGCAAGGGACUGGAGUAUAACGAAUAUAAAUCUCUUAAUGUUGCAGGGAUUUGCAAUCACGUGAUUGUGUGAAACUUCUUUAUGCAGCACUAUAGGAAUUAAGAUUCAUUAGAACAGACCAUCUCCUCUAGUUGGUUGUUUUCGGAAAACCAGGCAUUGGCAGUUAUUGUUUCAAUUUGUCUCCUUGCAAAAACCUGCAUAAAGGGAACAAGCAUAAGUUCUAAUUGUGGAAGAGUGCAGAUUUGUACUUUUCCUGCAAGGUACAUGUAAGCAUGCACAGACCAAAAAAAAAUACAAACGUGAUAUUUGUUUGAUUAAUACGGGGAAUAAGAAUGCUAGAUAGUUCAUAGAAUCAACCUGUUCUCAUAGUAGAGAAAACGUGUACAAGAACAGAAUCCAGGUAAAGCUGGAACACCACAUACACAGUACUUUUUUCUUAUAACUUUCUCCGCAGCAUAAGUAAAUCAAAUUAACAUUUCAGUAAGGAAUACAAGAUGAAAGACCUUACUCUUUCCAAAGGAAAAUCCUUUGCUUUUUGUACUUUGACAUCGACCACAAAACUGCUCAAAUCUGCUAAUGUGCCACUAACUUUAACAGAACCAGAGCAGGUCCCGAUGAAUCUGCCAGAGACAAUUAGUGGUCUCGAAGAUAACAGGUCCGGCAGAUAACAUGGAUAUAGCUGCAAUAAGAACAUUGAUUAGAACUGUCAGAUAAGCAGUAAGGGGCACGUAUUAUACACUUUAUAUCAUAACUAUAACAUGGGAAAAGAAAAAUAAUUAAGCAGUGUAUUAUUUAGUGGAAAUUUUGUGAAUCCGUGAUAUUUUGGAAGGCAACAAUGGGGCAUAUUUAGCUAUUUAUACUGCUUUGUACAUCCUUUUCUCUCCUCAGAAUAAAUAAGGAAUCUGAAGGUGUAUAUACCUCAAAUGAAUCAAGACUUUCCAGAGCUUCAAUUUUCAGGUCUGCGAGAAUAACCGAUGAUGUGCCAUUAAGUAGUCUUUCCAGCCGAGAACUGAUUGAAUCUGACCAUGGAAAUUGAUGUGAAGAACUAAAAUCAUAACUCGCAAUUCAAACUUCUGCCAAUCUGAUGUGGUGUUAAAUAGAAGUUAAAUAAUACUCUAAUAACUUUUUCGGCUGAGGAAAAUAUGAAAGUAUUCCCAUUCAUAGUGAUUUCCAUUUUAAAAGAUAAAACUCAAAUACCAUUAUUACUUAGGAAAGGCAAUGAUCAAUACCAAAUCUAAUCUUAAAUACCAAAACAUAGAGUAGCCGCUACNNNNNNNNNNNNNNNNNNNNNNNNNNNNNNNNNNNNNNNNNNNNNNNNNNNNNNNNNNNNNNNNNNNNNNNNNNNNNNNNNNNNNNNNNNNNNNNNNNNNNNNNNNNNNNNNNNNNNNNNNNNNNNNNNNCAUAGUGAUUUCCAUUUUAAUAGAUAAAACUCAAAUACCAUUAUUACUUAGGAAAGGCAAUGAUCAAUACCAAAUCUAAUCUUAAAUAUCAAAACAUAGAGUAGCCGCUACCACAUUCGUCUUGCCCGGAUGAUAGAGAAUAGAGAGGUCAUAGUCCUUCAGGAGCUCAAUCCAACGACGCUGCCUCGAAUUAAGGUCCCUCUGGCUCAUGAUGUACUGAAGACUCCUNNNNNNNNNNNNNNNNNNNNNNNNNNNNNNNNNNNNNNNNNNNNNNNNNNNNNNNNNNNNNNNNNNNNNNNNNNNNNNNNNNNNNNNNNNNNNNNNNNNNNNNNNNNNNNNNNNNNNNNNNNNNNNNNNNNNNNNNNNNNNNNNNNNNNNNNNNNNNNNNNNNNNNNNNNNNNNNNNNNNNNNNNNNNNNNNNNNNNNNNNNNNNNNNNNNNNNNNNNNNNNNNNNNNNNNNNNNNNNNNNNNNNNNNNNNNNNNNNNNNNNNNNNNNNNNNNNNNNNNNNNNNNNNNNNNNNNNNNNNNNNNNNNNNNNNNNNNNNNNNNNNNNNAGCUCAAAGGGAGGAGGAUUGUUCAAGCCUUGUAAGGAGUCCACCCAUCUCAUUAACCACCGAUGUGGGACUUUUGUCAUUCUUUAACACCCCACCUCACGCCCAGUGCUGCUUAGCAUCUGGUAUUUUUUUUUUUUUUAGAUGCAUCCAGAUGAAAUUGAAUUUAUUCAAUCAAGAGAACAGAACCAGCAAGCCAUCAAGAAAUCGUUAAGACGAUGAGUCAGAAUGAGAAACACGACAAACAUACUUAAACCAGGUCAGAAAAGUUAUAUCAUCCACUAUAUUUGCAAUUGCUCCUAUGUGUUAAAAUAUUAUGGUUGUUAAUCAAGAAACUGUGACUGUAGAAGGUUUAUCUUGGAGGGAAAUCAUCGUCUCCAUGGUAUCAGAGCAGGGCCCGUCUCACCCGAUGUUGGGGCCCCCAAAAAUCAAAAAUUGCCCACGCACCACAUGCUAAGCAGCACUGGGCGUGAGGUGGGGUGUUAAAGAAUGACAAAAGUCCCACAUCGGUGGUUAAUGAGAUGGGUGGACUCCUUAUAAGGCUUGGGCAAUCCUCCUCCCUUUGAGCUAGCUUUUGGGGUGUGAGUUAGGCCUAAGACCUAAUUUAACAAGAAACCCUCCACAAAUCGUCUGACUGAGGUGGGCUUAGCCCAAUCACGAAUAGCCUCAAUUUUCGCCGGAUCUACCACAAUGCCCUCCUUAGAUACAACAUGCCCCAAGAACGCUACAGAGUCUAACCAAAACUGGCACUUUAAGAACUUGGCAUAAAGCCGCUGAUCUCUCAAAGUCUGGAGCACAACUCUCAAAUGCUACUCAUGAUCACCCCUACUCCGCGAGUAUAUCAAAAUGUCAUCAAUGAAGACUAUGACGAAGGAAUCAAGAUAAGGCCUGAACACGCGUGUCAUCAAGUCCAUAAAGGCGGCAGGGGCAUUAGUCAACCCAAAUGACAUCACCAAGAACUCCCUCUACCUAGGAUUGAUGACCUAUUUGACCAGCUACAUGGAGCUUCAGUGUUCUCUAAGAUUGAUUUGAGGUNNNNNNNNNNNNNNNNNNNNNNNNNNNNNNNNNNNNNNNNNNNNNNNNNNNNNNNNNNNNNNNNNNNNNNNNNNNNNNNNNNNNNNNNNNNNNNNNNNNNNNNNCCAGUACCAGUUACCAGCGGUGAUUAGUUCCAGCCUUCUUUUGCAAUUGUGAUUCGGAGACGAGGGCGAGCACUUGGCGUUUUGGGGUUUGUUCUGUCUCCUUCUUUUGUUUUAGCUAGUCUUGUUGCCUUUGAGACACGCUCUGUUGUGGUCCACUUUUGGGACUUGUACUCUUUAUUAGAUAGCUCUGUACUAGUGACUUUCAGGUUCUGGGAGGGAUUUCUGUAUAUAUUUAUUUUGGGUUGCUUCCGCCUUGUUAUCCUUGUUUAGAUUAUUGUUUUCGUUAGUUUCUGCCCUUUUGCUCAUUGCUUGAUGUUCUGGGUUACGGGUUGGCUUACCUACUGGUAGGGUAUAGUAGGUGCCAUCAUGACUCGAGUAAGAAACUCAAAUGUAAAAUAAGUCUAUGAAUGGAUUUUUUUACAACAGUUCAGUAACCAUCAGAGAGUUUCUGAGUAGGUUGUUGAAACUUGGGCAGAAAAAUAAAUUCUUACAAACUACAUGCACUUAAUUGCAUCGUAGUAAACAGAAAUACUAAGAUGCAUAAUUGUUAAAUUAAGCGCACCUAAAUCAUAUGCAGCAUCGUAGUAACCUCUUCCGAUUUGAGCAAGCAUUUGCAAGAAGUAGUGAUUACAGUAUAAACCUGAGAGACAUAAAUAUAGUAUUGAAAAUUUCCAUUGAAGCAUGGGAGAGAAGCGUCAUUUAAAGUCGUAAAAGAAAAACAAACGCACCAAUGCCAAAGGUCGAAAUUCGCGGAGCAUUCAAGCCUCUCUUCAUCAACCGUCCUCUCAAGGCUUCACAAAUUUCUCUUUCAUCUCCAACAGACCCAUCGGUAAUUAGAAAAACAAGAGGAAUUGAAUCACCAUUUUUCGAUAGCAUCUCUAUUGCCUGACUUGGAUGAAUUUGCAAGAACAGAUUAUGAGACUUGGGUAAAUGCACCAAAAAAAUGUGAAAUCAACAUAAUACUGCAUUUUUUUAAUCAAGUAAAUACUACAUGUCUGGAGCAACUAAAAAUUGGAAAAUAGAAGGAAUAGAACGGUCAAAUAGUUAGAGCUAAUCAACAUAAUGAUGCAUCAUCCACAUGAACUUAUUACUCAAUUUAUUACAUGUAUCUUCUACACAUGGGUAGAGGUAAAAAAAACGUUUUGUCACUGAGUCUACAAGGACCAAAAUAGAAGUUUCUACUUAAUUUUGCUUUUCAAGCAAUACUCAUCUCUGGAAAAUAAUAAGCAGUAUCAUACCAGUCUGUAGUAAAGAAAAGUCAUAUUUCUAACCUGGUUAAGAGGCAGGGAAAUGUCGGUACCUCCCUCAGCUACAAAAUUUUGGUCAAUCCACUGAGUUGCUUUUCCAAUUGACUCCUUCCCUGACGGCUCCAUGGAUGAUGAGAACAAUAAGCUUUUUCCGUUGAAGGCUAUGACGUUAAAAGUAUCCGCUGGACUGAGUUUAGAGAGGGCAGCCAGUAGUGCAGACUUAACAUUCUCAAGUGGCCUCCCUUGCAUGCUCGCACUUAUAUCAACAACAUAUACCACUUCCUUCCUGAAAACCUAAAAAUCAACAAAAGGAGAGUACAUGUGCCAUUUAAGUACCCAAGAGAGAUAACAAACAGGUAAAUAAAUUCAAAAGCUGCAUUCGUAUUUUGAAAAUUUGACAUGUGCAAAAGUAGACAUGAAUUGAUUAUAAGGUAGUUUAGAUGUCCUAUAAAGCAUAGAUUUCAAAAGCUGCAUUUGUCAAUUGACAAUUAUCGCCUAUUUUUCUGAUUUGGCAUCUUAGCUUAAUAUGUAUGACAAAAUCAAGAACAACACUAAGCUGAACAUGUGUAGUCUAACAAAACAUGAUAUGUUUAGAAUUCAAGGAUCACAGGUCAAAAUUACAUUUUGAUCAAAAUCUGGAUAGCAUUCAAACCAUUAAGAAACAAGGCUAACAAACCUUCAUUGCAUUGACGGUCGGUGGGUAUAGAUUGAAGCAAAACAUUUCUCUCUGAUCAACAUCAAGCAUAGACACUCGGUUCAGGAGCACGCUCCCAAGGAUCUCACUUGAAUGAACCUAAAGAUAGAUGCAGCUAUUAGUGACGAUUUCUGAAGCUCAUCUAAAUAAAUGAUCAAUAAAAACAAAGAGUACUUCAUAAAGCAGGUCCAACCGGAAGUGGUCUUACUUUGUAGGAGAAACUGAAGUCAUCCAUUGACCAUGCCCGAACUUCACUCUCGUAUAAAAAUCCUAAACUACCAACCAAACGUCUUGUUUCCUGGGAAGAAAAACAAAAAGGGGUGGGUUUGUUAUCAAUUGUUAUAUUCAUGACUAGAUAGGUUAAAAAAUGUUCACCUUUAAAGGAUGACUGCAACUUCCGCAUAAAAUCUCUUUCCCCAUACCAGAGUUCACGUUCAACCGAAUCCUCUCUUUCUUGCACAAUAGUUUUGCAAUUGGAUUGACAUGCCACGGGAAACUGAAAGGUAUAUUUAAGGAAAAUUGACCAUCUUGAUACAGUAGUUUCUGUGACCAACUGACUUUAACGGAGAGAAUAGAACCUCCAGCAACCUUGAAAGAUCCAAAAGUAGACAAAUAUAUCCCCUUUCUUGAAACUCAACAAGGAAUGAAGAAAAGAUAGAUAAUCAAUUUGGUAGUGUGAGAUGGUUACCUGAGGGACCUUUAAUGUGUAUAUCCGGCGAUUUAGUAAGAAGCCAUCUUUAGCAUUGGCUACUAAACCAGCAUCUUUGGUAUCAUUUGAUUCUAUCAACAAGGUGGAAUACGAUCUUGAUGGUGUUUCAAUCUCUACACCUAGAACUGAACCCUGUGUUAGACAAAUGAUAGUAUUUUAAGAACAACAGAAUGACCAACAUUGUAUGCUAGCUAGACUAAUCAAAACUUAAACUAUACAGUCAAAUGCUUAUUAUCAUAUAGUAUUCGUUUAGUUUGUUUUAAUGAUAUGUCUAGGUCAUGUAAACAGUUGGAGUGACAUGAAUAUUUCGUAUAUUCGAAAGGUAAGGGUAUGGACAUGUAAAAUUUAUAUGUUGUCACCUUCCAUAUAUGAUAUAAACAAAAUUGGGAUAUGCCAUAGUUUUCUUUUUUCUUUGACUAUUUCUCUCCAUUGCUUCAAUGCCUAUAAUGACAGAGAAAUCUUGUUGAUAGGCCAGCUUAAUUCAGAGCAAACAUGAUUCUGACCAAUGAGGAAAUUAGCUUGUUUACUUUAGUCCAUCAAGAAAUCUCAGACAACUAAAAGUCUACAACCACUAAAACCUUCCAACUGAUGUGUGCAUAUCAAAAGAGAAACUGUGGGGCAUUGCUGUCUGUCUGUUUUUUUUUUCCUUUCUUUUGAGUACGAGUUAAUGCAAAUAUACAAUCGAAAAAACAUUUUUUGGUACAAAUGGUUACGUACCAAGUAGAAAGUCACUAGUAAAACAUAAAAAAGGGAAAGACAGGAAAAACAUAAGUACUAGUACUACUUAUAUUCCUUAAAUGCUCGUCUCUCAAGGAAGCUUAAUAGUUCAGUUAGUUGACUAAAUUGAGAUUUGAACUUGGGACUCCUCAACCAUUGAGCCAUCUCAGCCAACCUCCAAUCUUAUGUUUACAUAUAAAGGAUAACUAACCCAAAUAACCGUCCAGACAACUGAUUAAACUAAAAUAGCACGCAAAUAUAUAAUAUAACGACUAGAAAAAGUAAACAGUAAAUCUGACCGGCUAAAGAAAAAGGAGGAGGAACAGAACAAUUUCGAGAAACAAAACCUGCUCUCCCAUUGGUACAGCGAUUCGACAAUCGCAGUAUCGGCUAGAAGCAAUACAGUGCAUCCGCCAAGUUCCGUUGACCGUUACAAAAGCAGUAUCCAUAUAACAAUCAACCUCCAUUGCAAUCCCCUGCAUGUCAAGCGGAAUCAACGCCGGCGGAUCACUACGGCCAUAAACAUACGGUUGAUAGCUCGGAAUAUCAGGAUUAUCCACCAUCGACGGGUCCUUAACGACGGCGUACACCAUAGGUGCCGUCGGCAAGUUAUUAAUCUCAGAUGAUUUCUUCUCCAUUACAAGUGGCUUCGGCGGAUUUUUACCGUAGUAAAUUCGUUUAGUUAACUGAAGUCCCAUAUCUACCGACGUUGCAAACUCAUCCGCCAUAUUUUCCGGCGAGUUGAAAAAAACAAAGGAAAAUAACAGAAUCAGAUGAAGCAGCUAGAAAGUGUAGUGUUGUAGUACAUUAAUGGAGAUAGAGAUAUGUGGAAGAUGAAAGAUAAAAUGAAUCUUCUUGUCAGGUCUCUAUUAUGAAUUAAAUUAAAAGUUAUAGUACAAAUAAUUAUGGGAAAGGAAACAGGAGAACUUGAUUAAGACAUAUGGAAUCGUUGUGGUCAACUUUAAGACGACAAGUUAAGCAUGUUCACUAAUUAAGGAGAGACUUUAGCAUAUUGUAAUAGACUAAUAGGUUAAACAUAAUGGAACCACAUUCUAGUAAAAGUUAUCCUCUUAUAAUUUUAUGGAGGACAUAUAUAACAUUAUAACAUUAAAAAAUAUUUUAAUAUAUUUUACGUAUCUUUAUAUUAUAUUAUUGCAAUUUUUUAUUUUUAUUUUUUACUUUUUAAAAUUUCAUAUGACACCACACACGAUGUUGGUGUUUGCUUUUGAAGUCUUGUGUGAUGAAAAAUAACAUUAAAACUUUAAGGCAAGUUACAUAGAGUGAUGGUUAUAUCAGUAAUGGUAUAUGAAACAGAAUAUUGUUAACAAGUCAAGAACUCACAUAUUCAAAAGAUAAAAACAUUGAAGAUGAGGAUGCUAAGGUGAAUAUGUGAACAUACUAGGAGAGAUAAUAUUAGAAAUGAAGAUAUCACGACAAGAUAGGAGUGUUUUCUAUGGUGGACAAGUUGAGAGAAGUAAUGUUGAGAUGGUUUGACAGAUGAAGAGGAAAAAUACAAAUACCUAAGUGAGGAGGUUAGAGAAGUUGACAAUAAUAAGCAUAGACUGAAGAAGUAUAUAUCAGGGAGAUGAUUAGGCAAGACACAACACAUCUUACGCCUACUAGUCGAGGACAUUACCUUAGAUAUUAUGUUUAGAGGCCACGGAUCAGGGUAAAAGAUUAAUUGAUUAUUAACCAUUCUCUUGCUUUCUUUGCGGAUAGACUUGGUGAUCGUACUUGAAUCUUCUUUCUUAUCAAUAGUAUUAACACUAUUCCCGUAGUUAUUUUUGGAUUUCGAUUAUCACAUUAUUUUGUUGUCAUUGUUGUUCUUUCCUUUGUAUAUUGUGUAUUGAUCUUCAUUUCACGUUAUUUCGUUGUUGUUACUGCUUUCAUCUCUAAAAUUCCAUUUUCAAACUAUUUGAAUAUGCUUUAUUUUAAGCCCUGAAUUUAUCAAAAAUGAAUUUAUAAAAUUGAACUUUAUUUAUAAAAUUACACUAAAUUUCUUAUUAUUAUUGUAGAGAAUAAAAUGCCCCAUUCUCAAUCUUUAGAGUAUGGGCUUGUAUUUAUAUAAUUUUAAAUAUUAUAUUCUUAAAAUUUUACUCAUGAUUUAUAUUUUUAUUUUUAAAAAGAUAUUUAAGACAUUACUGCAUUAUUUCAUAUGGAUUCCUACUCUGAUAUUAAAUAUCCCAACAACCAAACUACUAAUGAGUAAAAUAUUCCAAAAUAUCUUUUAAGAAAUAAAAAAUGUUAGAAUUACAAGAAAAGGACAAGCAAUUUUUUUGCUGUUAUUGAAUGGACAAACUAGUAAUUUAAUGAAAGAAGACUUUAUACACAUGUAAUUAAGAUAAACAUAUUCCUCGUGUCAAAUAAAGAUCGAUCUACAACACUCAAUAAUUGGUGCCACUUUUUCACCUACCCGUAAUUAUUUGCGCAACUUGUGAUAUCAUGCUGGUCAGUGGUCAAUAUAAAUUACUACAGUAAUUUUUUUAUUCUUGAUUUUUUAAAAUUGUUUUGUUAUUUUAUAAAGAAACAAAAACUCAUUUCCCCCAUAAAAUUUAAGUUAUAAAAGAAAAGAAAAUAUUUAAAAUUAAAAUAUAUUCAUCUUUUAUUUAUUAAAAAGCUUAAAUCUAACACAUUAUUAAUAUAUUCAUAGUAUAUAUGUUUUUAUAACUAAUUGAAAAUUAAAAGUUAUCGAGUUUCCUGUCUUUUUGUGGCAAUAUGACGCUUGAGUAUUACCUUACUUUUUAGACAUUUAAAAAGAAUGUUUUUUUUUUUCAUUUUUUAGUAACUUUGUGAUUCAAUUUUUCACAUGAUAUGUUUAAUACUAUAAGAUUAAAACGUAUUUAAUAUAUUCACAUAUCUCUAUUUUAAUAACAAAAUAUUUAAAUGUCUUUUUUUACUUUCUUAAUAAUGAUUUGUUGUUAGAGAUAAAAUUAUGUCAUAAAAAAUGUAAUAUGAAAACUUUAUUAGUAUUGUGAAAAAAAUUCAUAUUGAAUAUGAAGAUACAUGGAGAAAUAAAUAUUAGUGGGCACGAAGACAGUAGGAUCGAUUGGGACUUUGCCUAUGACUAAAAAUAGGAUCUUGUGGGACCAACCUAUCACUAACGUUUGUUUUUCUGUAAUUAUAUAGUAUAAGAAACAAAGUACUUUUUAUUUUUAUUUUUUGACAAAACUGAAUUAUUAAUUUAAUUAAGAAACAAAGUAUAGGCCGUUUGAUGAAAAUAAAAUCAACGCUGAAAUUCAAAUGUGCCAGAUAUUAUCACAGAAAUAUCCUACUCUCAAGAAAAUAAAAUAUCUGAAAACAACAAAUUUACGUAUUAAUGGAUGCAUCAAAUCAUUAUAGUAAGAGAAAGAUAGGUCAACAAGCGGAUCAGAUCGAAUAUAAAUAGAUUAAAUAAAAAUAAAUAAAAUAUUUAAUUCAUUCAUAGUUAAUAUAAAUAAUAUAUUAUUUAUGGCUUUAGAAAUAAUUAAGUGAGGCAUAAACUAAAAAUGGUUACAAAUUCAUUUAAUUGUGGAUGUUUUUUUUUAUCAACAAUCUACUAACACAUUUGGUUUAAGAUUGUUAACGGAUGAUUUGUACAUCCUAUAAAAGAAAAAUAUUUACACUUGUGAAAGACACACUUGAAGAGAUUAAAUAAGAUUCUCUUCUUUAUACUUUCCAUUACUAUUUGUCUUCCUUUCUUCUUUGAUAUUCUUGUAUUUUCCACUCAUUUUACAACAAAAAUUAAAAUAAGCUUAGAUUGUUAAAAAACAAAAAAGAACAAAAAAAAAUUGCAAGCAUACAAAUAGGUAUCGAUAAUCCAAUAUUCAUAUUACUCACCUGAAAUCUAUUUUUCUAGUGGAUAAUAUGAUUCUAUAUUUGUAUUUUUUUUUAUAAAAAAAGUAGAUCAUUCUAUCCAUAUCCAUCGAGUCACGAUUACUAUUUCUCUUUUUCCCUUCCGUUUUAAGUAUAUACUUUCUUUUUUAAGGGCUUGCAGUUUAUUACAUCAAAGGCUUUUUGUGAACCAUUGAAACUAUCGAGAGAGUAUCAAAUGUUGACGGUGACGAAGGUUGCCGACUUUCGGUGGACGUCGAAAUCAACGAGUUUGGUCGAACAAUAUAACGAGUCUAAGGUUACAGAAGUGUUCACCAACUUUGGUAGGCAUAGCAUUGCAAACAAAUAGAGCAGAUAGCUUACCCUUAAUUUCUCUCUAUUAGAGUCGCGAGCUUUCUGUAGUCGUCCUAAGGGGAUAACCUUGUUGCUUACUUGCUAUUUCCUUGCGUCCUUGCACGGCUCGGCUCAUUCUUCGAGCCCUGCUUCUCCCUUCCCCCUCUCUCCAUUCCUACCGUCCAAAACAUGCCUAUGGAGUAUAGCCAAGUGUUAAGGCAUCGAUUUUUGGUACCGGUAUGCAAAUGUUCAAAUUUUAUCUUACUUUUUUAAGUUUAUUUUUAAAAAAAUGUCAAUUUCUUUUUAUGGUGUAUAACUAUUUAAUUUCAUCUUUACACAUUAUAAUAUUUCAAAAAUUAUUUUCAAUUUUUUUAACUCACUAUUAAAUCUAAAUAGAACAAAUAGAUUCAGACAGAGAGAGUAACUCACUUCUUGUUAAAUUUAAAUAGGAUAAAAUAGAUUCAAACGAAGAGAAAGUAACUUACUGAUCAUUGUUAAAUAUAAAUAGGAAAAAUAAAUCCAGACAUAAAGAGUAACUACUUUUACCAUCCUAAUCACCAGUGAAGGUCAAGUUGACAUCAGAAAGCCAAAAUAAAAAUAAAAAAUGUGUGAAAUGUGUAACAAAGAAAGUUGGGGAUGGAGAAAAUGAAAACAAAAAAGAAGAGGUGAUGGAGAGUGGGGCACAUAGUUAUCAAUUUGUUUGUGAAAUAAUUGAUUAAUAAGAGUGGUAGUAGUUGAAAAUUAAAAUCAUGUGAUAUCAUGGUGCCUAUAUUUUUAGAUUUGAUAAGAGUAGAAAUCAAAAUUAUUGGAGUGGGGGGGACCUGUAGUAUAAUUAUAUGUUCCCAUUAUAAUAAAACUAAACAUAACGUAUGACGAGGGAGAACCACAAGGAGUGGAUAUAUUUGACCCAUUGAAAUUAAUUAUUUGUCCUAUAUAUUCAUGUGAGAUGAUCAAUCAUAUAAAUCCUAGGAUAAAUUUAGAUGUUGAUCAAUAGUCAUCCUACUAUGUAAAACAGUAUUUGAAAUUUUUUAUCUGAGUUUAUUUUUGGAUGGAAUAUUUAUAUAUAGAUUGUCAUGAGGCUCACAUGUCAAUCGUUAUCGUGUGAGGUUUUUGUUUUAAGUGUUUGAUUUUAUAUAUUUUUAUUUUAAUAGGCAUCAAGGGCUCAAGUCCAUCUAGCUGGUUCUUUUUCUUCUUCUUUUUUCCACCCAAAAAUGCGAUAUAUUAAUUCAUUAUAGACAUAUAAUCAGGGCCGUCUUAACCCCUAGAUCAUUAAAGUCAUCGCUUGGGACCCCAUAUUUUUUGGGGCCCCCAUUUUAAUUUUAAUUUUUACUAAUAUAUGUUUUUUUUUAAAAAAAAAUAUAUCUAUGAGUGCUAUGAUUUCUACUAAGGAAAUUGCACAUGAGAUUAACAUCGAACCUGAAUUUCGUAAGAAGCAAUUUGAUGAAAAUAUUGCUAACAAAAUCACAAAGUCAUAUAUAUAUAUAUAUAUGCUCACGUAAUAGAUCAAGCUAUUUUUCACUUCAAAAUAGAUUUGAACCAAUUGAAGCAUAUGAAAAUAUUUUGAUUUCUUAUUUAGUGGUAAAAAUAUUGAGAUCACUAGAUGAUGAGAACUUAAAAAAUAUUAUCUUAACCUUGAACUUUCUUUAACAUAGUUAUUUUGAUAUUGAUAGUUUAAAUUUAUUUUAUGAAUUAAAUGUGUUCAGAGAAAUAAUACAAGUAAAAGAUAAUGAUCUAAUGAAAACACUCAAUCAAAUGAAAAAGUGUUGUAUUUUUUUCCAAAUAACAUAAUGCUUAUAGAAUAAUGUUAUAUGUUCCUGUAACCGUUGCCUUAGCCGAAAGUAGUUUUUCGAAACUAAAAUUGAUUAAAUCUUAUUUAAGAUCAACAGUGUCUCAAGAGAGAUUGAAUGAAUUAGCUAUAUUAUUAAUUGAAAAGAAAUUAUUAAAACAAAUCGAUUAUAAAACAGUAACUAAUAACUUCGCAUCUAAAAAAACUAGAAGAGUAGAUUUUAAAUAAAAAUAUAUAUGAUGAAAAAAAAUAGGGAAAAUUAGCAAUUAAGUCACAAUACCUAACAUAAUUAGUCAAAAUAACAAUACAUUAAAAUAUUUAUUUAAAAUGUCAGAAUGACAAUAUUUUAGAAAAUAAUAUGUAUUCAAAUUUUAGUAUUUAAAAUUAAUUUUAUUUAUGAAAACAGUCCUAUAUUGGACCAAAUUCUAAAUCAAUAACCGUUUUUAAAAAAAAUAAUUAAACCAAUACCCAUUANNNNNNNNNNNNNNNNNNNNNNNNNNNNNNNNNNNNNNNNNNNNNNNNNNNNNNNNNNNNNNNNNNNNNNNNNNNNNNNNNNNNNNNNNNNNNNNNNNNNNNNNNNNNNNNNNNNNNNNNNNNNNNNNNNNNNNNNNNNNNNNNNNNNNNNNNNNNNNNNNNNNNNNNNNNNNNNNNNNNNNNNNNNNNNNNNNNNNNNNNNNNNNNNNNNNNNNNNNNNNNNNNNNNNNNNNNNNNNNNNNNNNNNNNNNNNNNNNNNNNUUUUUUUUUUGCGUAAUUGAACUAUAAUGCCAAAAUAUUUGUAUUCAUUAUUAAUCUAUACCAACAGUUUUUGUAUUUUAAAUUGUACAUAUUCUAAGUAGUUCAAACAAGUUAAUUUCCAAAACAGAGGGCAUUAGAAAUUGAAAAACAAUUCCACUCUAUAAGAUAUCAAUUACAAGCACAACUAACUAAACAAUAAAUACAACUUAUUAUAUGUAUUAUGUAUUCACCAAAAUUGUAUUUUCAAUAACAACUUAAUUUACAAUUAAUUUGUAUUUAUAUAUUAUAUAGAUUUCAAAGUUGUAUUUUGUGUGUGUAAUUGAACUAUAAUGUCAAAAGAGUUGUAUUCAUUAUUAAUCUGUACCAACGUUUUUUUAUAUAUGAUUAUGUAAACCUUAGUUUAUGUCGAACUAUCGUGAAUUCCGUUGAACUGUAUACUUUGUAGUAGUGAAUUUUCUAAACCUUAGUUUCAAACAUAUGUCGAAUACAAAGCGAAGAAGAUUGGAUGAGAUCAGUGUAAUGAUUCGUAAGGAAAAAUAUUGUUUUCAAAAACUGGAAUUUUUAAGCAACAGUGGAAAAAAAACGUUCGGCCAAAUAGUGGCGACAUAUGCUCCUUCAAUAUGUAACUGAUUUUAAAUUUAAAUUGUUUUUAAUUUUUCUUAAAUAUUCUGUCUCAUGAUUUUCUAUUGUUUAAUAUUUGUAUUCUUUCAUAUUAAUCAAAAUAAAUUUUUUUACAUAAAUCAAAACUUAACAAACUAAAAUAUUGACAUUUUAAAUAAAUAGUGAAACUAUUGCUAAGGGGUCCCAUAAGAAGCUAAAAUAUUGCUAUUUUGAAAAAUUUCCCAAAAAAAUAUUAGGGCCUCUUUCUAUAAUUUCGCUUUAGGCCCCCAAUCUUGUUGAGUCGGCCCUGCAUAUAAUAUGUCCAAAAAGGAUCGUUUACAAUCCAGCUGGUUCUUUUAGUAAUUGCAACAUUUGACAUUUGGGUCACUGGACCACAAAUGACUUUAAACUCUCUCCAAAAUUAACCCAACUGUACAUAUUCCCUGGAAAAUAUCACACCCAAGGGCCACUGGGGGCUUACAAAAAUAGUAUUCCCUUCGUCUUAAUUUAAAUGUCUUAUUUUAAUUGAGCACGAAAUUUAAAAAAUAAAGAAUAGUUUUUAGAUUUAGUGAUCUUAAAUUAAAAAUAUACAAUUGUACAUAAUCUUUUCAAUCUCAUGGUUUUAAACUGAGAGAGUAACAUUUCCCCAAACCAUGACAAAGGGGAAAAAAGUGAAGAUAAUGAUAAUAAGAUUAAGGUAAUAGUAUUAUAAUCUCAUGUUAGAAUUUCAUACAAGUUAAGUUUUUCUCAAUCAGAAGCGCUAAAACACUUAUUGGAAUUUCAUUCGUGGGGAGUUCACUUCUCGAGCACUAGUAUAAUGUGAUAAAUUUCACUUGUAACAACAACACACUCUGCUUUUGAGUUUUUUUUUUUUGUAUUUUAGUUAUUUUUGUCUAAAUAUAUAUUUCUCACUAAAGAGUGGUUAAAUGUUGUUUAGUUUUGAGAUAGUGGCUAAUUUUUUUUAAAACAUUUAUACGUAAAUAAAUAAUUUAUUUUACCAUAUUUUCUAAAAUUCUCUACCAUUUGAAAAAAUUACAAAAAUCCCUAUUCUCGGAUACAUCAUUUUACGUGAUAUAUUGAUCGGAUACAUUACUUUACGCAAUGUAUCGGGACAUAUGCAAUGUAUCAGGACGUUGAGUGAUGUAUCCAAAACCAAGACGCAAUGUAUCGGGACGUUUUGGGAUGUAUUCGGAUUCCACCAAAUUUAAGAGUUUUUUGUAAAUUAGAAAAGAGUAAGAAUAAGAUGUAAUUAGCUCUUAAUACUAUGAAAUUUGUGUAAUUAAAUUCCUUUUUAAUCAACGGUGUAAAAGUGGGUAUUUGAACAUUUCUUUCGACCCAGUUAGGCCCAGUUGAUGAUCCAGUUAAAUUGGGCUCUAUUCCAUCUGAGAAGAAGUAGGUUCGGCCCACUUUAAGUUGGGACUUAGGCCCAUUAUACGGAGGCUUCCUCCACAUUUCAAACCUACAUUUUACCGAUUGUAUCAAAAUGCAUUUUUAUAAGGAAAAAUUAUGCAGUACGGCAAACAUCUUCUACGUAAUUAGUAAAAUCCAAACUGAUCAAAGAUAUCGAAAAUAUCCAAAGAAGCAUGUAACAAAGCUCUUUUCCUUUCUCAUUGAAGUAUGUAACGAGGAAUCGAAAGAAUAAGACCCAAUUCAACUAUGUGAAUAAAUCAAAUCAUUUCUUUCGUUAGUUUAUCGAUUGUAACUGACUAUCAUGUCCAACGAGAGACUUUUUUUAUAAUAAAAAUGUUUUAAGAUGCAUAUAAUAUCUCCUUUAUUAGCCUUCUCAUUUUUAUUUCUCGAAUAAAAAGAAUCAUGAAUAUUCAUGUUCAUAUAUAAUAAAAUUUACAAAGGUUUUAAAGACAUAGUAUCUAGAGAUCUCUUCAAAAUUGAUCUCCACUUCAUUUUUUGAUUGAUUAAGUUCAUAAUUACUUUACUAUUUAUAAUUAAACAUUUUAUUUUUUUUGCCAGCCGAAAUGAAAUAAACAUACGAGUGAUGAUUGAUCGGGAGAAUUCGACUAACCAUAUUGAAAAGAAGAGAGAGAAAUAUGAUAUUGUUUAUUAAAACUAUUUUGUAGUUGUAAUUUUUUCUUAUUCAGUUCGAUAUCCGCAUUGAAGUUUGAUUAAUUCAAAUUCAUACUGCGUAAAGCCCUAUUCAAGGAGAAAUACUUCUAACCAAAAAAAAAUUCAUAUCAAGACUUAAAUCUAAACCCUUAACUACUAGACUAAAUCUUUAACUUGUGUCAAGAAAUAUCAAUACUCGUAUAUAUAUAUAUAUAUAUAUAUAUAUAUAUUUAAUUAGUGACUUCUCUAUCAUUAAACUAAGCCUUUUAAAAUUGAUUGUAACUGCACUCCGAAAUAAACUAAACGUUAACAAAGAAACCAAACAUAAUCUGAACAUAAUUUAACAAAACUAAUUUUACAUCCCUAAUAUUACUUCCCGAAUCUGUUCCAAUUGUCAAACCAACUCCUGCGGCCGAGUCGGUUUAUUUAGUCUACUUUGGGCGUAAUUUUAUUCCGCAAAAUCCACGUGUCCAGAAAUUAAAUAAAACCAUCGUUGUCGAGGAUUUUUUUUUUUUGUAAUCCGAAAAAUUAAGAAGGUCCCAGUUUAUGUACGCAAAUUCUAAAUCAUAAUAAUCCGAUACAAGUUUCGUUUCAGUUUGAAAGAGAUAGUCCACUUCCCAUUUAAGCCAUCAACUUUAUUUAAUUUGUCAAAAUUCCGAUACUGUACUUAUGUUCUCCAAGUUUUUGAGUUCCUUACAAUUGAAGUAAUCAUCCCAAGAUUCAAUUUUUUCUGCUACAAUCGAUCUCCGCAGGUUCCUUAAUCUAAUAUCACGCUUUCAAUCCAUUCUUUAAUCACCCUAAUUGAUUUAUUCUGUCUCUUAAAUUAUUGGAUUAUAGUACUGUUUUUUUAAUCUGUUAGAUGGUGACCAUGUUCAGGUUAAUUUCCGUUACUUAUUAGUAGUUGAUUUUUGAGGAUGGUUACGGUUAAUGAUAAGGAAAAAUGAAAUCUUUAUUGGAAGAAAAGUUUGUUGAUGAAGUAAAAGAGAUUGUUUUCUUAAUAUCUAGGGUUUUACUUUUUCCAAACAAGAGGUUUUGCCAUUUCUUAGAGAAAAAAAUGUUCUUUUACGUCUCUUGUGUUACUUUAUUUAGUGAACACAUCAUUAGAAACUUACAUUGUGGUGCAUUGGUACUAUGUCUUGAUGUUUUGUUGUCAUUUUAAGAAACAGUCUAUCUACCUCGCAAAGGUGUAGGGGUAAGGUCUGCGUACAUCUCACUAUCAUCGGACUCCCACUUGUGGGAUUACACUGGGUUGUUGUUGUUGGUUCUAUGUCAUUCUGCAAAGAUGAGAUUUUGUUUUUGUUAUAAAGAGAUGUAUUGAAUUCUAAUGAACUUUGUCUGUAUUUGCUAUUAAAAACCAGGUUUCGGAAACUGAUGGCGACGGCAACUAUCGCCACUGCAGCAGGUGCUGCUGCGCUAUUGUAUUAUACGUUAAAUAAGAAGUUGCAAUCUUCUCCAACAACGGAUGACGAUGACGAUGAAUGUGGCAGUAGUGGCCAAGAUCAUGCUCUACUAGGAGUUAAUAGGGUUUCCAAUAGACUUAUACAGGCCCCUGCUACAUGGUUGGAGACAAUUGCAACAUUGUCCGAGACUCUUAGGUUUACUUACUCGGAGACCCUGGGCAAGUGGCCUAUUGGGGAUUUGGCUUUUGGCAUCAGUUUUCUUUUGAAGCAGCAGGUAAUCAUGAAUCAGUUAUUUAGUUUGUUCCCAGUAAAGGCAUUGGGUUGAUGUGGAAGUGCUUUAUGCAAUCAUAUGUUUAAGUAAAUAUGCAAAUAAUUGCACUAUGUUGCCUCUAUGUUGGAAAGGGGUAUAUAACAUGAAUGCAGUAUGCAAAUAAUUGCACCAUGGAAUAAAAUAAGGGGAAGAAGAUGUUAGAUCAAGUAGCAGUUUGUAAACGUCCAAUAUAGAACACCUGUAAAAAAAAUUUGUUCCUGUUUCCAAUAGAUUUUCACAUUCCUUUCUUUCUACCCAGACAGGCAUUUAUCAACAAUAUCUAGCCAGAUGAUUUUGGAUCUUGUUGGUUGCUUUUCUGAGACUGAACUCAGGGUUCUAUCCUGUUUUUUUUCAUUUCAUUUUCUUUUUAAUUAUUAUAUAUUAAUGCUUUAUUGAUUCUUUACUUAUUUAUUUCUUUUUAUUCAUAAUAACUAGUUCCUAGUUCCUCCAAUUUCAGUUCUUGUUACAUCAACCUUUAUCUUUAAAACAACAGUCGUGUAAGCUUGGUAGACUGUGACCAUCAUACAACUAAAUACUGUAGGCUCAAGGAGAAAAAGUGCCUCGAGAGGGCUCCCUCCUUUUGAUUGUUACUUCUAUGCUUUUUGCAAUAGAUUUUUUUACUGCAGCUAUUAGUUUCUCCAGGAAGGUGUCAUUUUAACUUAAUUGCCCAACAGUGAACUAUCAAAACUUAUAUUGGUCUUAUGUUGUUUUCAAUUAUGUCGUGUUAGUAUCCACCUUGAUUUUGACUUAGGACUAACUUACCGAGCUUGGUCACUAAGUAGGUUCAUGUAAUGUCUGCAGGGAAACAUACAUGUUAGUAGCAUAUUCUGUGUCGAAGACAGUGCCCAGUUAAAAGGUUCUGAUAUUGCUGCAGAGCUUAAAUGCCUCUUGCACUUGUUGACAGUUUGUUGGCAUUUCUCCAAAAAACCUUUCCCAUUAUUCUUGGAGGAGACAGGCUAUUCCCAAGAAAGUGUACUACUACAAGAACCCAAAGCUGGAGUAAGUCGCGUCCGAAAUUCUCAAGCUCCAACUUAAAAUAUAUAUUCCUUUCUUCUAAAUGCACAAAUUUUAUUAUGCAGAUUCUGAAGCCAGCUUUUACAAUAAUCGCAGAUCACCGAUCAAGAUCUUUCCUCCUUGUAAUACGUGGAACUCAUAGUAUUAAAGAUACUUUGACAGCUGCUACUGGUGCAGUUGUGCCUUUCCAUCACACUAUGGUACAUGAGGGAGGAGUUAGCAAUUUGGUGUUAGGCUAUGCACAUUGUGGAAUGGUGGCGGCUGCUCGAUGGAUUGCAAAACUUGCAACGCCUUGUCUUCUUAAAGCUCUUAGCAUUUAUCCUGAAUACAAACUUAAGGUGCUUGAUAUUUAAGUCUCAUUUCUCCUCCUUUCAUGGUUGCUUCCUUUUUCUGUUUUUAUCUUGGGGUUGGAGGUUUCUCUCUGGUUUUUUUUAAUUGAAAAUAUUAAUCAUAUCGGGUGGAUCUUUUCCAUUGCAACCUGGUAUAUUUUUCAUGUGACUAAUUCUCUAUUUUCUUGAUUCCCCAGUAAUUUGUUUUUAUUCUUUUUUGGACUUUGUUGCUCUUUAUCCUUCUCUUUCUCUUGGCAUGCAUCUGCAUCUCUAUUGAUUUUAUUUGGGGUGUGAGUUGCAUGGAGGGUAGGUCUGCUAUUCCUUUCCAAUUAGUGUGUAUAUACCUUAUUUUAUUAGGGGCUUUCUUGCAAAUGCCUUCAUGGUGUUUUUUGGCUAAUUACCUUGUAAAAUUGAUCUUCUUUUGGCGCACAGAUUGUGGGACACUCCUUGGGUGGAGGAACUGCAGCUAUUUUAACUUAUGUACUUCGUGAGCAGAAGGAACUGUCAACAGCUACCUGUGUAGCAUUUGCUCCAGGUGUCAUAUAUAAUUUUUGUUAACUUAUGCAUACAAUCUGGAAUGUUCUAAUUUGACUCUAGUCAUCUGCCUACGAUUGUAUGCAUGUGCUUAAAUAUAUAUAUCCACAUUCUACCAUUUUGUUCACUUGUCAUCAGUCGUUCUCACUUAGCGAAAUAUCCUUUGCAGCUGCCUGUAUGACAUGGGAAUUAGCUGAAUCGGGGUGUGAAUUUAUUACCUCAGUAAUCAAUGGAGCUGAUUUGGUCCCUACAUUUUCAGCUGCUUCAGUGGACGAUUUGCGUUCUGAGGUUAACUUCUGGAUCUACUUAACAGAAUUUCUGUGGUUGCUUUAUGUGCAAAUUGGUGCUUUCCGUUGGUGUCUUUUCCUUCUUUGGUAGGUUACUAGCAUAUUUGGUUUUGUUGCUGGACUAGCAACCUGUUUCCUUGGUUGGUGGACUAGUAUGUUUUGUCCUGAUGUUGGACGUAUCUUGCACUUCAAACUUUUGGUUGUCAUGUUUGGGUGAAUAUGAAUUUGAAUACUAGUCACAGUUCUUUUUCCAGUUAUUCUUCUUUCAAUGGAAUCAAUUGUCUGAACUAUGCAGCCGGAGAACCUUUUAUGGUAUACCUUGGACAAGGACUCUCUCCCAAUGUAUACAUCAUAGAGAUACAAGAGUUAGCAAAUAUCACUCUAAUACUACAUCCUCUAGCCAGAUGAUGUUGGUCUUAUCUUCUAAUCCAUCCUAUUCUUGCUAGCCGACCUUAAUUAGUUCAGGGUUGAUGCAUUGUUAUUCAUUGAUUAAUUGAUGUGUUUGUCUUAUAUUUGCGUUUUGGUGUAAGAUCCAUUUAGAUUAGUGUCUGCUGUUGCUUUCUAAACUUCUAGAGGAUUCAGUUUUUGGCCAAAAACUCGUCUAUUCCACCUUUGGAGAAAUUGAGUUAAUUCUCUUUGGUAUAUAUUGGUAUAGUUUGCAUUGGUGAUCUUGAUUGUCAAAUUUACACACCACUGAUGGUUCAGAGUAAAGGGUUCUGAUUAUGAUCCCUUGUGUUGCUACUAUGUGCGUAGUUUUCUUAAUAGCGUCUGGAAGCUUGUUCUUUUUACCAACAUUGCACCUCUGCUUCUAACACCUCAUUAGUUUUAAGGUAUGGUCUCUCAAGAGGGGAUUGUUCUUUUCAUGUUGCAGGUGACAACAUCUGCUUGGUUGAACGAUCUAAGAAAUCAGAUUGAGCAUACUAGGAUUCUUAGUACUGUUUAUCGUUCUGCAUCAGCCCUGGGGUCUCGUCUUCCAUCUAUCGCCACUGCUAAAGCUAAGGUUGCAGGUGCUGGUGCAAUACUGCGGCCUGUUUCCAGUGGUACACAGGUGUGACAAUAGUUUACUCUGUUAUUUCAGUUCUCCCUUACAUUGUGAAGUAAUGUAGCUGUAAUAUAGUUUGGUUAUGAGUGAACUUGUCUGACGAUUUGGUUGACCAAUAAUCAAGAGAACCUGUUUAAUAGUCAGUUCACUUAAGGUGAUGUCUGUAAUAUGUAGGAUGGGACAAUAGGGUGGUGCUGUAGAGUUUCUUGCUCUGUUUAUUUUGUAUCUUGUACUCUGUUGGAGUCAUUUGACCAUAUUUAUCAGUCGUCGAGGUGAAUUGGUGAUUGACAUUGGCAGUGAUCCGUAGGUUGUCAUGAAGAGAGCGCAAAGUAUGGCCCAGGCAGCAUUGUCACGACCUGCCAUGCAACUGUCAUCAUGGUCAUGCAUGGGUCCAAGACGUCGAUCCACAGCUAUUCAGGUUAAUUCUGAAGAACGGCAAAUCUCCUGUGGAACUUCUUCCGGCGAAAAUUCUGAAACAUUCAUUGUGGAAUCCGAGGAGACAAGAAGUUCGACUGUGAUGGAACUUCCUGUAUCUUCAACCGAGGGAGUCACGUGGAACUCGGAAAUUGAUCAAUCUUUUGCAGAUGGGAUUAAUAUCCAUAAUAGCCUGGAUCCCGAUCUUGAUGAUAGUGAACAUGGACCUGAAGACCGAAUGACAGAAGUUGAGAUGUGGCAACAACUAGAGCAUGAACUGUAUGAUCAGUCUGAAGGGGAAACUGAUGUCGCGAAGGAGAUUAGGGAAGAAGAAGCAGCAGCCAUUGCAGAGUCAGGUCAGAGCUCAAGUGAAAGCUCUGUUCCAAACACAAAGGAGGUGCACAGAUUCUUUCCUCCUGGAAAGAUAAUGCAUAUAGUUACUCUCCUCUCUGAGGAAGUCGAUCAUGAAAGUGACAGCGAUACAUUGAGUGAGGACCAUAACCAACCCAAGGAUACAAAGGUUGGUAUCUUUCUCACUCCGAGAUCAUUGUACAGUAAAAUAAGGCUGUCACAAACUAUGAUCAGUGAUCAUUUCAUGCCGGUUUAUAGAAGGCAGAUAGAGAAACUAAUUAGGGAUCUUGAGAACAACGAUGCUUGUGACAAAUCAAUGGAAUCUGAGGUUCAGUGUCAGUGAUGGGAUAUUGGUUUCGUAUGGCAUGAAAGAAAAAACUCGAAACCAGGCCCUUGUCGCUUGUAUCGUAGCAUUUUUUUUUCCUUUCAAUUUUCAUGAUUGUAGAGCUCGGGGUCAAUGGUUGCAGCCUAGUCAGGGGUUGCUUACUGAUGAGUUUCUCUUUAGCUAAACCUUGACACAGCCUUAAAGGUGUUUAGAUUGAUGUAUAUAUCUUGGAAGAGUUUUUAUUCUUUAAUAGAACAUUUUGUUAGCAUAAGAUUUAAAUAUUAGAUACAGGAGGCAAGAUGUUUAAAUCAGCCAAAAGUUUCGUUACCCUCCGUUUAUUUUUUACUUGUGACACAUUUCUUUAAAAGUACUAAUAAAUAAAAUGACAGUUUUACUUUAUCAUUCACUGAAUGUAAUAAAUUCAAUGUUCUGAAAAAUGGAUAGUAUACAUGGAGUAAUAAGGAUAAAAUAGUAAAUUAUUUUAAAUUAGAUAAAUAAAAGUGAACAUCUAUUUUUAAUAUAAUGGACAAGUAAAAAGAACACUUUUACUUGGAUUGUGAUCAAGUGGUGAUUGACUUAAGAGCAACGUGCAAUCAUCUUUAGCAAUUAUUGGUGUGAAUUUUCCAUUAAGCAACGUUUAUAAUUGUAACAAUGUGAACCCCACUGCUUCAUUAAUUGUGAUUUAAAGCAUCUCAAAUCUCCCUUGUUAUUGAGUGCAAUACUUGGUCAAAAUGUCACCACUGCUCGAACGUUGUGGGUCGUAGAAAUAGUGAAUUAUUUGUCAUUUUUCAACCAUGUCUUUUUUUAAUGUCACUGUUUCAGAAUUUUAUUCGUGAAUUUUGAAACUUCAAGAUAUUGACUAUUUUUGAAUUAUGAGAACUAAAAAAUAAUUGUUUGUGAAAUUUAACCUCAUUGUAUAUAAAAAGUAUUUCAAUAAGAGAAUAUUAUAUCAUGUGGUUUAGAUCUGACAUAAUUCGCAACUUGCGUGAGAAAGGUAUAUACCUCACAUCUUAUCUUAUGGAUAUAUAUGGAAGGAUUUAAGUUACAUAUGAAUUAUGAUAGGUUGUAGGUAUUUUUUUCCUUACAUUAAAUCAUAUAGAAUGGUAAUAUAAUCAUCUAGAAACAAAUUGCAUUUGCGCAACUCAUUUGCUUAUAGAAAUAAUAUUUUGUUUUAAAUUAAGUGACAAUUUCAACUGCAAAUUGAGGCAAAACAUCUCCUUUUUAUUUUUAUUUUUAUAUAUAUCUUUUCUUUUUCUGAAAUAUUAAUAAGAACAUGGCAAUAGUGCACAAAAAAGUGUGAAUUAGUAUGUCUGUGUUUUCAUGUCAAUCAUUAAUUUCUUGUCCUAUAAAAGACAUGUGAGUGAAGGUUGAAUUGAAUCAUAGAAGAAAUAACUCAUGAGAUAUUUCUGGAAGGUACACUAAUAAAUACUCCAUGUGUGGGUCAUUUUUAUUGACUAAUUUGUUAUCCCAAUUAGUCCCCCACAUCUUCCUAGUCUAUUUGUUUGUUCUUGACAUUUUUAAUUCUUCCUUUUUUAAGUAAGCAAACUCCUGACAUGAGAAAUCAUAAUAGCUCAGUUAAUUGAUUAUCUGAACUUUAGUUUUGAUAGUGAGAAUUUGAUUCCCCACAUUAUAAUCCUUUCUUAUACGGCGGCCUACCCCCGAUUAUUUAAAAAAAAAAAAAACUUCUAUUAUAAUUUAAGAUGAACUAUAUAAAUGAAAAUUGUUAAGUUAUUCUUCGAGAUAAGAGUAUUGUCUAUGGUUGAGUUAAGAACAUAUAUUAAACUUGGCAUUUCGUUUAUUUAACUUGUAUACGUUAUAAGGAUAAUCUAAUUUAACGUAAUUACUAAGUAAUUAGUUUAUCCUUGGCCUAACUAUUAACAAUGAAACGGAAUAGCUGGAUAUUGGCCAUUUUUUUGAAUUUAUCAAUCGAUUUGUUUGAUUAAUUAAAUUAUUAAGUAGUUUCAUUAGGUAGAGUGUGAUCAUAUAAAUGAAAAUGACAAAGCAUGUGAAGGAGAACCACAUAAAAGAAUAGGGUCUAUUAAUAAUUAAUGAAUCAUGAAUAUGAUAUAUAGGGUCAAUAAAUUAAAAGAAUGGACAUAUGUUAAAUCUUUACUCAAUAUAUUGCAAUUUAGAAGUUUCUGGAUGAAUUUAAAGAAAUGAUAUAUAUAGAGAGCCUCAGUAGUUAGUUACCACGUGUCUCCUACCAGUUCCAAUAUUAUGUUCCUUAAUUUUGGCUAAGAGUAUAUAUAUUAGCUCACCUCAUCAAAACAACUUUGAUGGACUCUAAUGACUAAAGAUAACGACAUUCUUAAACAAAAGAAAUAAUGUCUUCAUUUUAUGAUUAUAUAUAUAGGUAGAUACAAAUUUCAAAAGAAAGAAAGAUUACAUACAACUAGUUUUCCUAAAAGUUAUAGUUUUUAACUUGUUAUAACGUGUAUAUAUCAGGACGGAGAUAGGAUAUUAUAAAAAAUUCAUUUAAAUUUUAUUUGUUGAAAAUCUACAUGGUAUAUAUAACGUUAAAUUACUUUUAAUUUUAUGUAUAUAGAAAAUGUUGAAUCUUCUUAGUUUUUUUCUAGAUUUAUUUUCGUUAUAUUGUAAAAAAAUUUAAUAAAAAUUCUAAAUCCAAUAUUAUGUAUAUAUUGUAUAAGAUUGAAUGGUCACGAAGUUAAAGCGCAUAUUCCGCAUUUUAUGCGCUAUUUUUAAAAAAAAAAGUUUCUCUAUGAUCGUAUGAGGUCACUCUUGACAACCUUGACAUGCUUUGCAUAUGAUUUUAAAAUGAAUAAAAACUAUAGUGUUCAUCAAGUAAUUAGAUAUUAGAAAAUUGCACACUUGAAACAUUAAAUAUGUAUAAAAUAGUAGUGCAUCAACCAAACAGUCUCAUUCUCAUUCAUGCUUACGAAGAGUUUAUAGUUUUUGAGGUAUUAAGUUUCUAAUUUUGGAUUAAACUUUGAAAGAAUAAGUAUCAAAACAAGAAUAAAACCUAUGACUAGUCUUAAACUAAAUAUAAAGAAUAUGUCAUAAGAUAUGCAGAGGCAACUUUUGAUUAGAAAAGGUUUCUUCUCAUCUUUUAACAAAAAAAAUAAACUAAUUCCCACUUGGCAUAAGCAAAAUACAUAUAUGUAACUAAUUUGAAGCGUGGAUGACAUAAUAAUAAAUAUGGAUGCCCAAUAUUAGUUAAGCGACCAAAUAUUAGAUCAAUCAAACUUAGAGACCGCAUAAAGAGAGUUUAACUCUAUAAUAAUUCACCUCCUCAAUCAAUUUGAAAAAUUUAAAACAUACUUCUUUUUUAGUGAUGGAUUAAUUUAUCCACUUAUUGACAAAAGUCAUGAGUUCACUACUACUUCUAUAUUAUUAAAUUAGUAGUAUCUCGUUUGUUUUUUCGUUUUUCUAUAUUGGUAAAAACAAAACACUCAAUUAUGUGUAUAAAAGAAAAAUUGGUGUCAAGGAAUGCAGUCACUGAUCGACAAGAAAAGAAAAAUCAGAUCCCAUGUUAGCUAUAUUUGUCCUCAUCUAAUAAUUGGAAGAAGAAGCCUAUGGAUUCAGACACUUUAUGUUCUUUAAUUUAUAACUUCUAUAUUUAGCUAGUUGUUUCUUUUAUAUCAUUUGUAAUAUGAUCCAAUAUAUAUAAGUUGUAAGUUGAGCCUUGAAACACAAGACAUUUGAAGUGAAAAUUAACUAACUAGGAGAACAUAUAUAUAGGUAUAGGCCCUCUUGAUACAUUUUUAUGAAUAGUUGCAUAAAAAUAUUUGAUUUGUAUGCAUGAUGGACAUAUAUCUAUUUUUCUAUCAAAUGAAAUUGACAAAAGAAGCGUGAAACAUGAAAAAGGGGAGUAAUUAAUAUGUCCUAGUCUAAACACAUAGCCAUGUGAAUUGAUGCAUAAAAUGUCUUAUUAGAGCAUUCCCUUUCAUUUACCUUUGGGUAUGACCUACUUAAACAUUAAAGAUGAUUAAAGAUGAGAGGAUGCUUUCAAAUUUAUUAGUACGUUUUUUCUUGUUUUCUUUUAUUUAUUUAUUUUGAUUAAUUAUGAUAUGGUAUUUAAUUAAUUAAUAGAUUUAUUAAUCUAACUAAUCUAGUUUUGCGACGUAGAAAGUUUACUAUGGGAGUUUUAGCACUUUCUACUAAAUGUGACUCUAUUUCUAAUGAUUGAAUUCCAGACUUCUAGUUUAAAAUAAAGAAUUUUAUACAUUUAAAUUGUAUAUCGAUCCUUGCCGAAGAAACCUCUUACUCUUUGGAUUUUAUUUAUUUUUUGACUCUAUAUAUGUGAUCACCUAAUAUCUUUGAGGGUUAACUAAACUCUAGUUAGAUCAUAGAGCAAAUGUUUAUUUCUACGACAAUUAUAAAUUCAUUGUAAUCACACAAGUAACUAUGAUGAGGUAUAUAUGAUGUACACAUAGUCACAUACCUUACUCCUAUUUUUAUAGAAGACGGUUUAUUUUUAACGAGCUCUUGACAACUCUUUUUUUUUAUUCAGAGCUGAAAUCGACAAUGUAAACAAACUCACACACGCAAUGUUAAUUCUUUUCAAACUACACUAUAAUAUUUCUUUUCUGCCGCAUUGCUUCUAUAAUUUUAAAAGCAUUGACCAUCGUAGGCUUGUAGCUCAUAGUUCGACGUGUAGGUUUGGUGAGUUCCUUUUUUCCUAUUAUUUUGGCAACUCUUUUUUUCUUAUUAUUAUAUUAUUUUUAAGUGGGGGUCGUUUUCACAAUUAUUCCUCCCACACCCCCUUCAUUCAAACAAAUAAAUAAAAAAAAAAGAUAGAUGAAUUUGUUUGUUCACUUGGUCCAUGCACUACAAGUAAAGUAAAAAAUGAAAGAUAUAUGAAUGUGAGUCGUCUAAUGGUCAUUAUCAUUGAGGGUAUAUUAUAUUGUAUGUCACAUUCCCAAUUUUCUCUUGGCUUAUAAAAAUAACAAUAUUGCCUAAGUGGUCAACUUUUGUAGCGUAAAAUUCACUCUUUUUUCUAUCCAAUAAUUGACGACUCCAGCUGGACACACAGUCAUCCACCAUGAGUCGACGGCCAAUGGAGCUACCCUUUAUACUAUAACAAAAUACAAAAUAAUUUAUCGGAGCAAAAAAAGUCAUUUCUAUUAUUUUCUUCAUCUAAAUUUAAAUAGCUUACUCUUUUUUUUUCUUCAUCCGCUUCAAAGAAAAUAUCUUUUUCAAUAUUUUAAAUGGCUAAUUUAAGAUUACAUAAUUUAAAUAUUUUUAUGUUUUAAAUCUCGUGUCUAGUCAAAAUAAAAUACUUGAAUUGAGACGAAAAGAUUAUUCUUUUUCAUCUACCAGGUCAGACUAAAUUCUGAUUCCGUCGAGGAGUUGGCAUUAUUGGCGCAUGAUUUAGCGGCGGCCACCUAAUAAAUCAGCUUUCCGCUUCCAGCCUAGCACUAGCCUUGUUGGAAUAUAUUGUUCAAUCAAUGAGUUGAUUAUUGCCUCAUUUGAGAAAACUAUGCGUUCUUCGAAUUCUUUAAAAAUGAUGUUAGACGUGUGUUAAAUUUUUAAAAAUAAUGCAUUUUAAAAGAUUAGACAUAGAUAGUUAGAUAUAAUAAUAAUUUUGAAGAGUCCAAACAAUAUAACAGAAAAAUAAAAAGUAACAAAUUGCAAAGCAUACAAAAAUAAUACUCCCUCCGUCCCAUUUUAUGUGGCAACAUUUCCUUUUUGGUCAGUCCCAAAAAGAAUGUCACAUUUCCUUAUUUGGUAAGUAUUUAAAGGUACAAUUCCUCUUUUAUCCUUGUUGGUCCCACUUAAUCUUGAAAAGAGUACUCUAAUACAUUUAUUAGGAGAGAGAAAAAUAAGUCUAUUUUUUAAGGGCAAUUUGGUAAACAUUUCAAAGUCUUUAUCUAUUUCUUAAACUCCGUGCCCGGUCAAAUGUUGCCACAUAAAAUGGGACGGAGGGAGUAAUAAAUACAAAUCACAGAAAUAAGAUGUUUUGCUUUGCUUUCAAGUGUUAAAAUACUUACCAUCAAAGAUUGUGGACUUAUGAAGGUGAUAUUUAGGACUCGUUGGGCCAUAGAUUUCCCAAGUAAUAUUUAGGGGAAAAUUUGGCAAAUAGUGUUUGUCCAUACAAUUUGUCAUUAUUUGACAAAUAUCUCAAAUUUCCAAAUACUAGUUUUUUCUAGUAUUUGGGCCAAAUCUCAUUAUUUGGAAUCUUUUAAAAAUUAAAAUUUUACACCAAACUUUUAUCUUUUACAAAAACACCCUCUAUAGUAGUUGUUGUGUUGUAUUACAUAAUUUUUUACGUGAACACCAAAGUAGUGAUGAAAUAUUCAUUUAAUAUGAAAGUGAUGAUAUGGUUGUUGAUGAAAAUGAUGAACAAUCGGUUCAGGGUAACAAAGUCAUGUGCUUUGUCUACUUCACGAUAUAUGAAAUGAUGCUUGUUGCACUCACUCCAAACUACCACAUUGCUCUAGUGUCAUGGACACUACUUGUUAUUUGUUGCAACGAAGAUCCAAUUGACUUGUAAUACAAACUUAUGGUUAGUUUUGAUAGUUUUUAAAACUUAUGGGUAUAAAUUAUAUUUUUCUAAAAAAGUGAAAUAUGUUUCCCAAAUACUAUGGCUAAACACAUGGUGAAAUUUCACCCAAAUUUUCACCAAAAUAAUAUUUGCCAAGAAUAUUUGGAAAUCUAUGGUCAAACGCUAGCUUACUCUUUCAUUCUUAAUAAAAGAUUUUAGGUUUAAAUCUUUAAAAUGGAAUAGUCUUUCAUAGAAAUAGCUUUACACUAUCCUCCAAAUAUCAGACAUGAAUCAGAUUCCAAAGUGAAUAUCAGACAAACAAUAAAAAUCAAAGUAAAAAGUCUAAGUAACUAAUCCAAAUACAUCUUGUAAUUGUUUUCACAACCCUGACCCCUACCCAAAAAAAAUUCCUUUUCCCUUCUCUUUUGUGUUUAUUUUCUUCACUUCUGUUUGUUUUCAGACAUACCAUAGAUUCUAAUAUGGAAAAUUUGCUAUAUUCAGCUGCAAUCAAUUAUGUUUGUGGUGGAAGCAUAUUCCUUUUCCUACAAAAAAGCAAAUGGAAGUGUAUUCCUUGUUAUCCUUUUUCUCUUUUUUAAAAUCGUUAUGUUUGUUCGUUAAAAAAUAAUAUGUGCAUAUCUUCUCAAUUAGUUGUUACCACCCACCCCCUCCCUCCCCAAAAACACUAAUGUAUGAUAUCAUUUAAUUGGACACUAAUUUUUUUUUAAUAAUGAUCAUUUAAGAGACGCAAAUCACUUCAAAUUUUAUUCUAUCACACUCACUUUUUCGUAAUUUAUCGAUAUUAUGUCUACCUUUUUUAUUUUGAUACUUUGAUUUGAUAGAAAAGGAAUACAAAUUAAAAUUGAAAUAAAUGAAUGAACUAAAGUUUAUAGAAAUUUGCUAUAUUAAAGUUGUAUGUAAUAAUGAUUAUGUUCUUUUUAGAGAAAGGCAAAUUGGAUUCGGGUCAAGCAAGUUGCAUAAGGUAAUUGGCGUAAAAUUGGAAACAAAAUCAUCAAUUUUAAGAUUACUUUUCUUUUCCAUGUCUCGUUUUAUAAUUUACUUCUUUCUUUUCCUUCUCAAGUAAGCAAAAAGAAGUACUAUGAUUCGACCUUUUUAUUUAUUUUUAUAUAUAAAAAAUAUGUAAUAGGAUAUACUCUACCUCUAAGUAGAAGAAACACGUUAUUAAAAAUUGCGAUGAAAUCGAUAAAAUCUCUUUCAAUUUUAAUUAAAAAAUUAAGAUUCAAAUUUUCAAAAAGGAAAAAAAUACUACAAGAAACAUUUUGAAUAAGCCUUAUAGUCUAUAGAACAUGAGUAUUAAAACACCAAUGGAGAAAAAAGGAAACAAAUAAUUUUCGGCAACCCAUUGAUUAAGUACUUAACGAUGGAAAUUGAUCUUAUAGUCGUAAAAAUACAUUAUGUCCUUAAUUUUAGAAAGGAAAUAUGACUCUUUCCCUCCUCCUUUUUGAAAAACAAAACAAAAUUAAAGAAAACUAAUGAAAUAUUGAGAUCGGAUCAAUAUAUGAAAUUAAUUUGAUAUGAUAAUAAUAUAAUUUUAAGAUAGUCUAUCAAAAAUAGUUUUUUAAAGAUAAUUAUAACAUCUGCGUACACAUUACUUUUCAUCUUACUUACCAUUUAUUAAAUUAAAAUUGCCAUUAAAAUUUUAAUACCGUACAACGUCAAACCCCUAAUUACAAUACAUUUACAAGUACAAAAACGUGUGGAACAAGAAGGGGAAAAAAAGUCAUUAUGGCUAAUUCGUGAAGAGUGAACCGAAGAUUAAGUCUAAGUUUAAUGACAUCACAUAUUUACAUUGCCACGUUAUUUCACAUUAGGAUCUUUUUAUAAUGAAUAUUUUCCUAUUUACAGAUUGGCCUUCCACGUCGGUGGUCCACAUGUGCUGAAUUCUUAUUCGUUAAAAACUUUUAAAAUAAAGGUAAGAAAAUUUCCCAAUAUUUCUUAAAUAUUGACAUUUGAUAAUUGGAUAAAGAAUAAGAUGUAAAAUGAGAUUUAUUUCCAUACAUACAAGAGGUAACGCCUAGCUGGAAAACUAUUAAUAUACGGCCUAAAUUUAAUUGCCAGCACAAUCACUGACGUGGAUUCUCCAAACCCUCACUCAAUCAUUGAGAGUUUUUCUUUUUAGACUCCCACUCCUCCCUUAUUUCUCACUCUUCAGAAAAAGAAAAAAAGAAGAUUAUAUACUUUUUGUCAGUUUCUAUCAAUUUAUGCAUUUUUGUACAAAUUGAUUCUGUGUGAAUAAGCAAAUUCUUCGUUAUCGAAUUAGAAUUUUCAGAGACUGAUUGAAAAGUUUUUUGAGUUUUGUGAUGUCUUUCAUGGAUACUUUUUUUGUUCCCGAAGAAACAAAGGACGAAGAAGGCGAGUGGGAGAAAGAAAGAUAAUUAGAAAAAAAAUACGAUUUCUGCUUCUACUAAUCUUCUUCUUCUCCGAGAAAAGUAGAAGUAGAGCGAAUCAGAUCAUUACUAAAAAAACUUUGUAGUUUUGUAUUUUCAUAUAUAUAUUUAUCUCUGUUUCGAUCUCUGCUUUGCAGGUAAUUUUUUUUAUUUUUCUAUUUUUGUUUUGUAAUUCUUAUCAUUGAGAAGAUAUUGACGUUUUUGUGUGUGUGUGUUUUCAGUUUGACGAUAAACGAUGUCGACGACGGUAAUCAGUGAGUCGGCGGUAGUGAUGAACGCUGCGGAGGCCGGAAAACUUGCGGCACAGACAAUCGAGGUGGAUUUCGCGAAAUGCGAUUGUUGUGGAUUGACGGAGGAGUGUACUCUGGCUUACAUAGAGACGAUCCGCGAGCGGUAUCAGGGGAAAUGGAUAUGCGGACUGUGUGCGGAAGCAGUGAAGGAUGAGAUGAUGCGGUGUGAGAGGUUGAUCAACACGGAAGAAGCCUUAACUCGUCAUCUCAAUUUCUGUAAGAAGUUCAGUUCUUCUACUCCUCCUCCAGAUCCGACUGUUCACUUGAUCGCUGCCAUGAGGCAGCUUCUGCGAAGGAGCUUGGAAUCUCCUAAAUCGCUCAGGUCGAUGCCCUGUAGUCCGACGAGGAACAGUAGUGAGAUGCAGACUAACGUUUUAGUUCGAGCUGAAAGUUGUAUUCCUACACUUUCUUUGGUGGUUGAUUCUGCUGCUUAUCAUGCCAUGGAAAUGGAUCCCGAUUCCGAAUGAAGGUGAUCACUUUAGGUUUAAUUUCAACCCUCAAAUCCCCGCCAUGGAAAAAAAGAAAUAAAUUAAGUAGAAAAAACAACUCUAAUAAUGCUUAAUUUCCCUCAAAAAUGUAAACACAAUAGAACUGGAAUCGUUUGGCGAUGGAUUGUGAUGAAAUGGAAUGGAAUGAAAAUCAUGUUCAUGUGAUUAGCGUGUGAAUUCUGUGUGCUCAACUGAUUUUACAAUUUUGAUUAGCUCCACUCUUUAUAUGCAUCUGUAAAUAUAUAUUAGAAACUCAUGUUUUGAUUGAAAUGCUUCUAUUAUGAUUCUCUUCGUGUUUUUGUACAAUUUAUGACUUCCAUUUUCAUAAUUCUUUCUCGUUGUAUUUCAGAUAUCAGAUGGUUAAAAGUGAAAAAUAAAUCUUGAAAAUAAUGUAUAGGGGAGCUAUAGUGAGUUGAAAAGUUCACGUGGAUGAAGUAGGAACAGUUAUGUUACUGUAAGUGUUUCAAAUUUAGCUGAAAAAAUUGUGAUGAGUUUCUCUCCAAUUAAAGAUAAGAUGAUUUGAAAGAGGAAGUUUCUGGCUUUUAUGGCUUGUGAAAGAUAACAUGGAAACUAUAAAUUAGGUACCAAGAAUCCAAAAUUGGGAAAAAGACAAUGCUUGUGACUUCCCCUUUGUACGUGAUAAUACAGAGUUUGAGAUUGGGGGGAAUGGGCGUGUUGAUGAAGCUAAUGGAAUGUCCAGUAGAAAGUACUGUAGUAGUAAUAUUUGUGGGCCUAAGAUAUUGUUGUUUCUGUUUGACAUGCUAGUUCUAGUGUAAAGGAGAGGGAUGGCCAUUUGCGUGUUAGUGGUGAAUAUAUUGAUCAAGACUUUGUGAUAAGGAUGUACCACCAAGGAUUUGUUAAGAUGGACGUCAUUCAUCUAUAAUUUAACUAGUGUUUUCAAGUUCGAGUUUUGAUAAUAUUAAAAAAAAAAGGAUCAUAAAGAUUAAUGAAAUGGGUAAAAUUUCUUGCAAAAUUUGAUAUUGGUUGAAACUAAAAAUUGAUAUUUAUGUUGUUUGCCUAAGAUUUCGUGGGGAAAACUAAUUUUAAUGCGUUUGGUGUAAGAUAGUGAGUAUCCAAUAAACUAGUAAGACAUACAAAAAUGACUCAAUAACCACCUUCAGAAAUGCACUGAUGUAGAUUUUGAAGAAGAGUAUAUAUAUGAUUAAGAAAUUCAGAAUUUUAUUUUUUAUCAUAAAUAUUCACCAACAAAAAAUUUAUUCUUUUUACGAACUUGACUUCUAGGAGUACUAUUAUUUGACUACGAGGAAGCAUCGCUAAGGAACAGACCUGACUGUAGUCUGAAAUGAUAAAACACGACGUUUUCAUAAUUAACAACUUAAAUAAUCUCAGAAUCAGGCAUACAGCUAAUAUCUCAAAUCAAAUAUGGGAUAAAAUAUAGCCCAAAUUUUAUUCCAAAAUUAUCAUAUGCUUAACUCACGUACCAAAUGACCUCUGCCGCCGAUAUAUUCCAACUUUUACAACUACCAGUUUUUUUUUUCUACAACUUACCAGUUUGAUUUUUCAAAUAUCAACCAAAUUUGUCUAUACACGUCAUGAAGUUUCCAGAGGAGGAUCUCGAGGACCUUAUGUGGACAAUAUAAUCAUUUGCAUUAUUGGAUGUAACAUAUCACAAUGAUUGACUAACAUAAACCUACUAGUGGUUUACAUAAGAUUAGGUGAUUAGGUAGUUGACUAUUAGUGCCAAUAAUGCAAGUGUUCUGUUUUAGUUAUGAGAGAUUAGGUUAGCAACUCUUCAAAUAAAGUAGAACGGCCAAGUAAACUCAUUGAUUAGGCAACCUGGUACUGAUCACUGAGAACACUAGAUUCAGAAUACAUUAUUUUAAUUGAGUUGCAAGGAAGGUACAUUAUUUAAGUGAUUCCGGGGCAAUCAUAAGCACCUUACAGGAUGAAUUCACGAGCGAAACGGGCGUAUCUGCACCUGAAACAACAAUUGCAUUCAUUAGAACACGAGAAUUUUGAAAUGCUGUGAGAUACUUAAUUUAUCAUAUAGUAAUGCAAUGACUCACCAAUUUCAACUAGCCAAAAUUGAUUCCUUGAGCCAAUGGUAAUUCACUCCCAUAGUUGAUUGUACUGCAAUGGUGGGGAAUAACCCAAGUAGGUCAGCGUAAAAUGUUAUCAGAUUUAGACAUUGAGUAAUAAGAAUUAUAAGAUACUGAAUUGAUGAGCUUCUGCAAAUGUAUUAAAUGAGAAAGGGAUGAAAUGUCUUUGUAGUUACCAAGUUGAGCGUCUCAUAUAUUGUUUCCAAGAAUCACUUCCUGCCUCACGGCCACCACCAGUACCUUUCUCACCUCCAAAAGCACCGCCAAUUUCAGCUCCAUUUGUUGGGAUAUUCACAUUGACGAUGCCACAAUCACUUCCUUGAGGUCUGCAUCACAUAAAUCCAUGUCAGAAUCAGGGUUAUUUAAUGAAAAGGGAAACUCGUCUAAACCACAUUCUCAAGAACAUAAUAGAUUGCUUACCCAAUCCACUUAAAUAUAUUUUCUGGAUUUCGGGUGAAGAUGGAACUACUUAAACCUUGAGGGACAGAGUUGUUGAUUUCAACUGCUUCUUCGAAAGUCUGCAAGCAUAAAGUUUGGAAUGAGAAACUGAAUCAAGAGAAGUUCCACCAAAUAUGGGGAGACGACGCCAUUGGUCAUCUCGAAAAUUCAGUGCCUUUGCGAGGGAAUACCUUAAACUUCAUUACAUACAGAACUGGAGCAAACAAUUCUUCCUUCACAAUUUCAGCUUUUGAAGAAAUUUCAACAAUUGUUGGAUGCACAAAAUUACCCUCAGAUUCUACGACUGAACCACCUGUAAGGAUCUUUCCACCCUGCAAAAUAUUCAUUUUAAGAAACAAAGUUCUACUCACACUUCCCUUUCUAUUGGAAAAGGAAAAAAUUCAAAUCCAGCUGAGUUAACAAAAUAUGUCUCCUUUUCUUUUUUUAAAUAUUAUGACCAGACAUUUACUAGAGCUAUGCUCACAUUGCUCAGGGGGAUAAAACUGUGAAACUUUAACAAAUCAAAUUGUUAGACAAAUCUUGUCCAUGUGGGUACAAUUGUCCUCACCAUCAACAUAUAACAAGGGGUAGGGCAAGACCUAGGAGGAGAGGCAAAAUCAAUGUCAAUUUAGAAAUAAUUUGGAAAUGAAAGUCUCAAGAAACUGAACAUACCUGGGACUUGAUAUUGUGGAUUCCCUUCUCGAAAUUUUCCCUAGAAGUACAAGUAUGCAAUGGCCCAAGUAAGGUACCUUUUUCUAAAGGAUCCCCUAUCUUAACUUGCUUGUAAACAUCAACUAGUGGUUCAAGUACCUUCUCAUAUAUUGAUUCGUGCACAAGCUUCACACAGAAAAAGAUUUGUGAAGAAAAACAGUAAUAAGUUUUGGAAGUGAAAGCUUUAAGCAGCAACGUGAACAGACUUAAAACAAUUAACACAGUACCAGUCUCCGGCAUGUUGUACAGCGCUGACCAGCCGUACCAACAGCAGCAAAUAAAACAGAGCGAACAGCAAGUUUAAUGUCCGCAUCAUCCAUUAUUAUGAUGGCAUUAUUUCCACUUAAUUCUAAUAGACAUUUUCCAAAUCUCUGACUUACUGUUUGCUGAACUGCAAGACCAACCUAUUGGCACAAAAGAAAUAAACCCACAGAAAUUCGUUAGAGCAAGUUUGUAUUUCUAUAUGUAACUUUUAACAAAACCAAAAGACAAGCUUUAUCAGAGUAAUAGAAUAAUAAAUUGAUAAGGAAUUUGAAAAAUUCCAGAUUCUUCUUUUCUUUUUAUUUUCUUUGUUAAUAAGGUCCAUGAUUCUCAUUACACUCUUUGCUUGUUUUAUUUUGAGAUUUUUGGUUGUAUGCACAUGUAUAUGGUUGCUGUCCCAUUGGGUGUUUUUCUCAAAUAGAACUUAUUUGCUUAUCCUAGAAAAGAUAUGCUUUUAUUUUCACUUGCACCAAGAAGGAAUGAAAGCCAAACCACUUAGUUUAAUUUUGACUAGCAGAUUAAACUCAAGCUUGCAUAUCCAUUUAAUUUUAGAAUUGACUCCAUAACAUCGUCUUUUCAAGUCCUGUUAAGAUUCUUUGAUUCAAACUAGACAGACAAUGUAAAGUCAAGGUAGGAAUGUAAAGUAAGCAAAAAAACAAGAAGUUUUUGUACUUAUAUCGUGAUUUUUGGAGAGACUACAUCAAGUUAAUCCAACAAAUAUAGAAAAAUUAAAAAAAUCAACUUAUUACUUUUUAAUAUCAUAUCAAAGAUAGCAACGGAAGCUUCCUAGAGAUGAACCAACAAACCAGACACUCUACGUUUUAUGCCUAGUAUUGGAGAGGCUGGAAAAUAUUUGAAAGGGUAUAUCCAAGUCAAAGUAAGAAGCAAAUACUGACACAGUAUUAGUGGCAACGGAGACCGCCUUGAUGAUAAAACAAACAUACAUGUUAGGUUAAGGACAGAAAAGUCACCUUUGAACUCCCAGUGAAUGAAACUAGAGGAAUUCGUGUGUCCUUUGCUAUUGCUUGACCAACAUCAGCUCCACCGCAGAAGGCAGUAAAAAUUGAACCAGGUAAAUUGUUUUUCUCCAAUACACUAGCCACAAUUUUUGUCAUCGCAAUGGUAACCAAUGGUGUUGUUGGAGCACCUUUCCUGUGAACAUGGCAUAAAAUCCCAAGAUUAGAACACCCAAAUACCAAACUUGAGUUAUCAGACAUACUUGAAGAGCAAAUUCUCUUUUGGAGAUUGAGUAGAGAGUUGAGAGAUUAGGCAUUAGCAUAAUCCUAAAGAGAAUAUGCUCUAUCCCUCCCAAUUCAGUUGUGCUUACUUAACUUCGUAAGGUUAAUAAGACAGGAACUGAAACUCUGUUUUGUUUAACUUAUUUGGAUGCAGAAGAAAUUCUGUUUUAGAGCCAGUACAGUAAUAUAACUUAAUUAAAGAUUCAGCUGCAACACAUGAAUGCUUAUAUUAUCAAGUUGGCAGGGUUCUAAGGUAAGAGAGAUUCAAUACUCCUGCUUUGAAAGAGAAACAGUAAUUACUUUCAACAUAAAUCUGCAUAUGAUGAUGUUCAAACUAUAGUGUGGCAAUAAUACCCAAUCAAUUUUAGCUCAGCUAUAAGUAUAUAUAAGCUCAAUUUAUCAAUCUGAAAAGCUGUUCAACCAUCUAGCUCAACUAUCAUUUGGAAAAGCCAUUCAAUCAUUUCUACUAUGGACGAAUUCACUUUACACCUUCGAAAUAAAGUGAUGGACUUACCAGACAACACAAUUGCCACAGACCAGUGCGAUACAUGCAUUCCAUCCUGGAUAGAAGAUGACAGAUAUAUUUAGAACAAAAUAAGGUGGAUAUUGACAAGUACGGUUACUUGGAAAGUCGGGUCAAAGCAUUUAAAGCAAAGUGAGAAAUUGCUUGGUAUAUGAAAGCAAAAGUUCUCCAAAUAAAACAACAACAACAUACCCAGUGAAAUCCCACAAGUGAGGUCUGGACAUGGUAGAAUGUACGCAGACCUUACUACUACCGCGUGGAGGUAGAGAGGUUGUUUCCCAAGGACCCUCGGCUCCAGAUACAAACCCUAGAAUCUUUCUACUAAUUUUCUUUUUUAGAUCAAAAUACUUCAGUGGAAAGACAGCAGUACAAAAAAUACAAUCUGAACAUAGCAAGAGAUAUACUCCAACAUUUGAGGCAAAAAGCAAUUAACAAGCACGAAUGCAUUCAGAUAAGAAGGCUUUUGAGUUCUUGUUGACACCAACCAACUGCCUUAGGGAAAGAGCAAGAAAGGUGGAAGACACAUAGGCAUCAUGUAAUAGCACAAUUUUAUCAGAAUACAGCGUAGUAGUGUACUAACAAAAUAAUAAUAAUAUUAAAGGAAGAGGAGAGACAAAUUCAGGGAUUCAAUUCUUGAAUGAUGAUAGGUAGUUCUAUUGUAUUGGACAUUUAUUCUUGUAAAUUGACCAUAUUCAGCUCAAGGUUCCAUGAUGAUCCAUUGCUAUGUUACUACUGUCCAUAGGAGAGAUAUCUCAUGUCAAAAAUCUCAAUGGCUUACCAAGUACAGCACAUGGGAAGUUGAAAGCCGUGAUUACACCAACUAUCCCGAGAGGAUUCCACAUCUGUGCACAAAAAUUACAUGAAAAGAUCAAAAACUAACAUAAACCAGGGUUUGAGAAAUUCCUGAUUUUAGAGCACAAAUGUCAGCACACCUCCAACAUCAUGUGGUUAGGACCUGUCAACAAAUAAACAUUGUUAACAAAAGGAAGUUAGAUAAGAAAAAUAAUCAGAAAAUAAACAUCUCCAAUAACAUACGACUGUAAAUCUUCUACUCUUAAAAAACAUUUGUAUCCCAAUAGUCAGCAAAAGCUAAUCAUCCUUUCAACCAGGAACUACUCAGAUAGCCAGAAAGUAUGUAAAACUAAAAACAAGAAAUUACAAUUGCAAAAAAAAACUGCUUAAAAUUGCAAAUUCGGCUAUUCUGAAAGCAACAUACUCCCUUUGUCCCUAUUUAGUUGUCCACUUUAGAAAUAACACACAGAUUAAGGCAACAAUGAUUAGCAUAGUGAAGUUACAAUUUUACCCUUAUAGUACAAUUUACAAUUCCAAAAUAAAUUCACUCAAGAUAACUAAUCAAUGCUAAGAAGUUCAUAAGUUUAUUUACUUUAUUUAUGACAAUUUUAUUUAAAUAAGGGUAUAAUAGGAAAAAAAUUGUUGUCUUUUCUUGAUUUGUCAAAAUGGACAACUAAAUAGGGACAACUAAAAGAGGAAAUAUGGACAACUAAAUAGGGACGGAGGGAGUAGUAAGGAAGCGAACUCACGUUCAGAAGGAAUAACGGAUCCAUUCAGUUGUCGACUCAAUCCCACAGCAAAAUCACACAUAUCAAUGACUUCCUGCAGAUUUAAGCCACAAAAAAGUUUCCAAUUGUAAAGCUGUUUUUCAAAAAAAUUUAGGACACUCCCUAGCUCUAUAGUGAAUCGUGACAUUACAUACUUGAACCUCCCCAAUUCCUUCUGGGAGUAUCUUUCCCAUUUCAAGUGAAACAAGUCGACACUUUAGAAAUGGCACACAGAUUAAGGCAACAAUGAUUAGCAUAGUGAAGUUACAAUUUUACCCUUAUAGUACAAUUUACAAUUCCAAAAUAAAUUCACUCAAGAUAACUAAUCAAUGCUAAGAAGUUCAUAAGUUUAUUUACUUUAUUUAUGACAAUUUUAUUUAAAUAAGGGUAUAAUAGGAAAAAAAUUGUUGUCUUUUCUUGAUUUGUCAAAAUGGACAACUAAAUAGGGACAACUAAAAGAGGAAAUAUGGACAACUAAAUAGGGACGGAGGGAGUAGUAAGGAAGCGAACUCACGUUCAGAAGGAAUAACGGAUCCAUUCAGUUGUCGACUCAAUCCCACAGCAAAAUCACACAUAUCAAUGACUUCCUGCAGAUUUAAGCCACAAAAAAGUUUCCAAUUGUAAAGCUGUUUUUCAAAAAAAUUUAGGACACUCCCUAGCUCUAUAGUGAAUCGUGACAUUACAUACUUGAACCUCCCCAAUUCCUUCUGGGAGUAUCUUUCCCAUUUCAAGUGAAACAAGUCGACCAAAUUCCUGAAGGUUCGCUCGGAGUGCAUCACCUAUCUGUCUAACAAUCUCACCUCUUUUUGGUGCAGGAACCUGCAACAUAAUACAUCAUCAUUAUAGUAGAAAAAUUGAUCCCCAAACUAAAUGCCAUCAAUUCUUAUCUAAUAUGCAACGGGAAGAUAGAUUUAUGAUUUCAGUGAGGGAUGAACAUACCUGCACCCAAAUCUUAGCUGCUUCAGCGCAAGCUGACAUGCCUUCCUCAUAAUCUUGAGCAGAAGCUUCGACAACUUCGGCAAUGAUCUGUAUACAUUAUACAGUUUAAAUCAUACAUAUAUUAAUUUGAUGAAACGAAACCGAUUCAGUUUCCCACUUAUAAUCAAUCAAAAACCCUACGAAACUAAAAGUUGGGGAAAUUAGAGAGGAUAAGUGAAAUUAAGAAGAAACCUGGUUGUUAGCAGGAUUAAAAGUGGAAAUGACGGGGCCAGUAGCUUUCCAGGUGCCAUUAACAUAACAACCGAGAUUUUGGGGGCCAAUUCCGAGCUCUUUGAGGAAUUCGUACUCUUUCUUCGUGAAACUAGUCAUGAUUUCACACAAUGGAGGAAUAGAUAGAGAAUGAAGAAAUAAUGAAAUGCGAUAGAAGUGGCGAUCCAACCCACUGGAAGAAAUAGUAUAUAUAUUAGUAGAAGAGACGUAGAGAAAGAGAAGUGUCGAGUCACGCACACGGAUGUGUCGUUGGUACAAGUAGAGAGAGAGAGACGUUAUCUUUCAAAUCAUAUGAUAAGUACAAUGAAUUAGAGUAUGAAAAAUUUGGUAUUAGCGAUUUCAUUUUUUCUAUUUUAUGUAUAUAUAAGUGAUCCUAAUUGAUUGGUUUUAUUCUGAUUUGGUAUUAUCUCGCCUAAUGAAAGUAAGGUCUUGAAUGGACCUUUUGAAACAUUUUGGGACCUCUUUGUAUUAUUUUAGAAGCUACACAAGAGUAGUUCUUUUUCAUGAGAAUGAUGUUAGGAUUAAUCUGUGUAAACCUUAAUUAUUUCACUAUCUUGCUAUUUAUUGAGAAGCUAGAUUUAUUUUCAUCUUUUUUUUUAUGACAAGGGAAACCGCAGUUGCUUGCGCACAGAAUAAAACUCUCGCUCCUAUGCAAUAACUCGCAAACCACAUAGAAGAGGUAACCCGCACUAGGCAAGCCCGGUGAGAUGAGCUCGAUCCAGGAAGUUCCAAGCCCAAACCACCCGAAGGGUAUUUAUUUUCAUAUUUUAGUUUUAAAUUUUACAAAUGAAUUUUCUUCUUUAUACCUUUUAUUUAGGAACUACUUUCGUGAUGUUAAAAGUUUAUUAAAAUAGGGAGUCUGAAAUUAGUUAGAACUUUUUUACUGUGGUAAUUAUUAUUUCUUAUAUGUAAAUCUAGUUAAUAAAUAUUUUUUAAUUAAAAAUUAAAAAUUCAACUUUUUAUAACAAUAUUUAUUAAAUUAAUCUUAAAUUGCCAAGUGGCAUUUCAUUAAUUUGCCACUUGGCAAAAUCUCAUUACAAACUAUUCUCCUUUAUUAUAUAUAUAUAUAUAUAUAUAUAAUCACGUAAUAAUCAAGAACGUUUAAUGGUUAAAAUACUAGUGUAACUCGUAUAAGGAAUAUACACAUGCCGCAAUGACAAAUAAAAUAAUUUCGUUAUUGCAUUGCAUAAUUUGACACCUGCUUUCGUCCCUAGUUUAUGGCUAAAUCCCACUGGUCCAUUAUUGUGGUCAUCAGUUUCUUGACCCAUUUUGUCAUAUGAAUCACUUCCCUUCCAAUUUGGUGCCGCUCAACACAACGAAAAAAUAAAUCUACUUUUUGCCGGUAGUAAAUAACUUUCAUUCUUUAAUCAGAAAUUUCAAAUACGGGCUCAAAAACUGAAGCUACAUUUAAUAGAGAAAACGUUUUACUACUCCAAAGUGAGAUUUUCAAACACGGAUCAAAUUAAUUAUUGAACCCAUUUUUGAUACUUAUAUCAAACCAAUGACUACACUACAUAUAUGUAUUCACAAUUUCACUAAAUGACAACUAAUUAAUGUUGUUUUUAAUUCAUCACAUACAACAACAGGGGGGAGCUACAUUGAUGCAGGAUGUCCAAUUUGUCAGAAAAAAAUAUUGUAUAUACAAAUAAAAUGAAACAAAAAAUGAUUAAAUAACAUGUUUUGAACUCCUUUGACAUAAUAGGUUGUUGCAUGUUGGUUUCAAGCGCCUCAAAUGAGCUUAAUGCUCUUGUGUUUGAAUCUCCUAGCAGAUUAUUCCACUACCUGGAGUCAAUUAGGAUGAUCUCACAAAUAGUUUUUUGAGUAAUGAAAUAGCAGAAGCAUCAUUGGCAUGAUUCACGACACUCCAAUUCCAAAAAAUAAAAUACUCCUAGUACGGGCAAUAAUGGGUUAAUAACUAAUGCCUAUCAGAUACUAUCUAAAUAUCUUUUCUGAACAUCAUGUCUCUUACCUACCCACCUGAGCUACCCUUCCAUCCUUCUUUACACGAGAAAUGGGCCCAAAACUUACAUGGUUAUUUGGGAAUUGCCAAAAGGACUGAAAAUGAACCAACAACUAUCUAUAACGUGGCACAAUAAAGCCCAUCAAAUAUCUCUCUUAUCUUCCCAGAAACUAGUUUCUCUUUAGCGAUGGCACUUCCUUCUUCUUCUUUCUCCCCCCUAGUCUUCCUCUUUCUCAGCUCAUUGGCAAUUUCAGUCAAAUCGGAUGGUCCUAAAACUUUCAUAGUCCACGUGUCCAUAUCCCACAAGCCUCUUAUUUUCACUACUCACCAUCAUUGGUACUCCUCUAUUCUCCGAUCAGUCUCUCAACACUCUCCCAAUAUCUUGUAUUCUUAUGAUCGUGCUGCCCGUGGCUUCUCUGCCCGCCUUACAUCCGGGCAGGCUGACCAGCUCAGCCGCGUUCCCGGUGUGGUCUCCGUCAUCCCUGAUCGCGUACGCCAACUUCAUACCACUCACACACCUACCUUCUUAGGCCUUGAAGACUCAUUUGGGAUUUGGCCCAAUUCUGAUUAUGCUGAUAAUGUUAUUGUUGGAGUCCUUGACACGGGUAUUUGGCCAGAAAGGCCGAGCUUUUCUGACAAGGGGCUUUCACCGGUGCCUUCAGGUUGGAAAGGGAAAUGCGAGAGUGGCCCGGACUUUCCUGCAACUUCAUGUAAUCGUAAAAUCAUAGGUGCUAGAUUGUUUUACAAAGGAUAUGAAGCUGAUCGUGGAAGUCCAAUGGAUGAAUCUAAAGAAUCCAAAUCGCCAAGAGAUACUGAAGGCCAUGGAACUCACACUGCUUCAACUGCAGCUGGAUCUGUUGUAGCCAAUGCGAGCUUUUACCAAUAUGCAAAAGGUGAAGCUAGAGGUAUGGCUGUAAAAGCUAGAAUAGCAGCCUAUAAGAUCUGCUGGAAAACAGGGUGUUUUGAUUCUGAUAUACUGGCUGCAAUGGAUCAAGCUGUUGCGGACGGGGUUCACGUGAUUUCUCUCUCUGUUGGCGCAGAUGGUUAUUCUCCUGAGUAUGACGUCGACUCCAUUGCUAUUGGAGCUUUUGGUGCCACAGAACAUGGCGUUGUCGUCUCUUGCUCUGCUGGAAAUUCCGGUCCUGGUGCUUCUACGGCGGUCAACGUUGCCCCAUGGAUUCUCACUGUUGCUGCUUCAACCAUAGAUCGGGAGUUUCCAGCGGAUGUUAUCUUAGGAGACGGUAGAAUAUUUGGUGGUGUAUCCUUAUAUACCGGAGAUCCCCUUGGCAAUGCAAAACUACAGCUUGUUUAUUCCGCCGACUGUGGCAGCCAACUCUGUUAUCCAGGAAAGCUGGACCCUUCAAAAGUUGCUGGGAAAAUUGUAUUAUGUGAUCGAGGAGGCAAUGCCAGAGUAGAGAAAGGAAGUGCUGUGAAACAAGCGGGCGGUGCAGGUAUGGUCCUAGCAAACUUAGCUGACUCUGGAGAAGAACUCGUUGCCGAUGCACAUCUCCUCCCAGCGACCAUGGUGGGUCAAAAAGCUGGCAAUAAAAUCAGGGAUUACAUCAAAUCUGUUCCAUCACCAACAGCGACGAUCACUUUCAAGGGAACUGUUAUAGGAAAAUCGCCAUCUGCUCCACGCAUUGCUGCGUUCUCAGGCCGAGGACCCAAUUAUGUGACCCCUGAGAUCCUUAAACCGGACGUUACUGCACCGGGAGUCAACAUAUUAGCUGGAUGGACCGGAGCUGUUGGUCCAACAGACUUGGAAAUCGACAAAAGAAGAGUGGAAUUCAACAUUAUAUCCGGGACAUCCAUGUCUUGUCCUCAUGUAAGUGGAUUAGCUGCGUUACUCAGAAAGGCUUAUCCUAAAUGGACCACAGCAGCCAUAAAAUCAGCCCUCAUGACAACAGCUUACAACGUUGACAACUCCGGCAAAACAAUCACGGAUCUUGCCACAGGUCAAGAAUCGAGUCCUUUCGUUCGUGGGUCGGGACAUGUGGAUCCAAACAGAGCACUGCAUCCGGGUCUGGUUUACGACAUUGAGUCGAGUGAUUACGUAGGUUUCCUAUGCGCCAUUGGUUAUGGCCCCUCCAGAAUCUCACCAUUCACGAAAGAUACUUCUUCAGUGAAUUGCAGUGAACAUAGUUUGGCUAGUCCAGGGGAUUUGAAUUAUCCAUCAUUCUCAGUUGUUUUCAUGAGUGAGAAUGUUGUGAAAUACAAGCGUGUGGUUAAAAAUGUUGGGAGGAAUGCAAAUGUUGUGUAUAAGGUAAAGGUAAAUGCACCUUCGUCCGUGGAGGUGAAGGUGACUCCGAGUAAGCUCAGUUUCAGUGAGGAAAAGAAUAGUUUGUCAUAUGAGAUCAGUUUUAGCAGUGUUGGAUCGGAGAGAGUGAAGGGUCUUGAAUCAGCAUUUGGAUCAAUUGAGUGGUCUGAUGGAAUUCACAGUGUGAGGAGUCCAAUUGCAGUGCGUUGGCUAUCAUCCUCUGCUGCUGCUUAGCCUGUUCUAUGAUCAUAACUGUGCAACAGAAUGUAAUCCGUGAUGCUCCAAAGACCGACAUAAGGCCAAGUUCUGAAAGGAAAAAGGAAUUAUUGAAAGACCAUCUGCCUAUAGAAAUAAUGUUAAGAAUUUUGUCGUUGUCCAGUUCUAUUGUUUCUGAAUGUUGGUAAGCCUGAUACAUUUGAUCAUUUGAAUGAAUCUUAAGAGGUAGAACGGUUGUGAUUCACCUACAUGCUAUCAAAUUAGAAACUUGUUGGCAUUGCCAUUUUAAGAUCCCACUACAUAGAAAGAAAGCUAUAUGCAAUUGUGCAUCAACACAGAACAAAGAUAAGAACUGUUGGUGUAUGGUGCCAUUGUUAAAAGAUCUCACGAAUCAACCAUGGCUAAGGGCACCAUUUUUAUUGCCAUUGUUAAUGUAAAACCCGGACAUAACUAUUGAAAUACUUGGCCUUACAGUAUCAAACAUGUAAAUACAGGCAACAUCAAACAAAUGACAAAAGAUACUGUAAACAAAUUUAGAGGAAGAAGAAAAAAGAAGAUACAAUAAUUAGCAUCUAAAUUAAAAGUAAAAUAACAUUGGCUGCCAGAAUGCUAGUGGUUCUGAUUGAUGGUAUUAUCCAAACAAUAUAAUCAACAUAGGUACCAGCUCUCUAAUAAAUCCUAUCAGAUAGUCGAAGCAGAAUCAGAUACGUAAAGAAACAGAGAAAAAAAGGCACUGUAAAUAAGUAUUACUAGAACAAACUAACAUUCAAAGACAUGACAAUGCAACAGCAUAAUCGCCUCUCCUGCCAAUUGUUGAAUCCUCUAAUGACCAUACUUCUGAAAUUCCCACUCACUAUUAUCUGCAGUGUAGGAAAGGAAGUUCCAACAAUUAUAAUACAGUUAUCAAGCCAACUAAACAGUGCCAAAGAUACAGUUGAAUAACUACCUAAUGGACACACUUGACGUGUUUUGAGCCAGCGACUGAUGCAGUGGAAGUGGAAGGCAUGGUUACAUACACCUGCGAUAAUAUAAAUCAAGAUACUUCUAAGCCCCCAAAAUAAAGAAUGCCAGGUUUGGAAGAGCAAAACCAAACAGAAGUGAAGAAUCAACGAGAAGAUAAAAGACUCCAUGAUUAAGUUCAGAUCAAAUUUCUUUCAUAUCUGUAACAAGAGAUAUCUUGUUACACCUUUGGUUUCCUUCAAGACUAUGAUUCAAGGCCUAUUUUUUCCAUUUAUAAUUUAAUUUUAAUAUUUUGACUUCUAUAUUUGUGUUUUAGUUUGUCGCUUGUUUGGAUCUCAUUCAACAAAACAUUGCUUGUGAAUGAAAAUAAACAUUUCAUUUUAGUUGUAGCGAUAAAUUUGACAAAGAAAUUCUCUCUUAAAAGUAUGGUAAUUUUGAAAUCAUAAACAUGAGAAAAGUGGUUUCAAAUCGUGUUGAGCUCGAGUCCCUCAACCAGUCGUAAUAGAAAUAAGAAAGAAGACAUGGUGUAAGGAGUACCAAAGUGGAAUAUUGUGUUUAGAAACAGCAAAAGAAGGUGAACACAUUACAAAAGUUUCAUCAGAUGGAAGGAUAAAGGAGGGAGAAGAUAUAUGUGUGUUCUUUGGCAAUAAGAGUGGGGAGAUUGGGAGUAGGAAGGUGAAAUAAAAAAAAGAUGAGAUGGAUUUACAAACAGAUAUGCUUAAUCCUUAGAAUGUGUGUACCAUAAAUAGAUAUGUCUAAUCAGAGGACGACACAAGACAACGAAUUACUUAUGUUAUUAAGUGAAAAACUAGGCCAGAGCUUUGCGGACAAAGGAUGCUUGGCACCUUCAGAACAGAUGAAAAUAAUUCUGUAGGCAAUAAGAAUCAAGUCUGAUUAUAACUUAUUCACCAUAACAUAUGCAAUAUAUUAGCACCCAAGUGUAUGGCCUAGUGGUCGAUGAAGUGGGUUGAGAACCAUGAGAUCUCAGGUUUAAAUCUCUGCGGAAACAAAAAUACAAUGAUUUUUCCCGUAUGUCAAAGCCUUGGUUGAUAGAGGUACCAACUACAGUACCUACUGCUAGCGGGAGGUGAUAGGUAACAACUGGAUUUAGUCAAGGUGCACACCAACUGACCUACACAUCACCUAGCGCAUACAAAUGACAUAUCCAUGCAUAAUAUCAUAAGACAAGCAGAAAGCUUCUUUCAAGAGACAUAUACUCAUAAGCCAUAAUGGAAAAAUAACCGUCAAUAUUUUUCCAAGGCAUAAAUUACAGCAAAUUAUUUAAUUUAGAUAAACAAACUGCAUACCCCAAGCAACAAUGCACUCCUGGCUCGUAGCACUAGCUUGAUUAGCUUGGCACUCGAUGCCUGUUGAAAAAAGUUUCACAUAAACUCGCAAAUAUACAUAGAAAGGUCUAGUAUCGAAUUUCUAUUUUCUAUUCUAAAUCAAAACAAAGAUUUGAAAACACUCACAGAGAUCCAUAAUAUGAUUCCUGCAAAUAGCACACUUGUCUACAACAAUAUCGGCACAAUUUCACCAAAUCAUAAUAUGAUUUCAGCUUCAAUGAGGACAAGUAAACAAUUGACAAAAUUGGGGGAAACGAACCCCAAGCCCAAAGAGCGACAGCGUUCCACUUUUUUAUCUCAAUUAGCAGCUCUAGGCGUGCAAGGUGUUGAGUUUCUACAUCAACUAUAUAUUAGAGGAAUGUAAUGAUCUCUUUAUACUAUUUUAGACUAUUCUCACCUUAUCAGAUAACUUUUAAGGUUGAAUUAAAUAUAAAAUUGUUGAUUUACUUUAAUUUUAACCAAAUAAUGAGAUAAUUAUAAUGAUAAAAAAAAAUUCCAUGUAACCUAAAGCAAACAAGCUUUACUUACAUUAUUCAACUUGUAGUUUGCAACUCUUUUGUGGAAAUAUACAGAUGUCAAAGUACUUUUAAGUUUUAGCAUGAAAAAUAAUUCUUCAACUGCAAUUUAAUUUGUAAAUAUUUAAAGACAAAUUUGAAAGACAACUCUUUUGGGCCGAUAAUGUAGGUGAUAUUUUAAGAACAUGUUUUCCGAAGUUAGUUUUUUAAAUUUAAUAAUUUAAAUAUUUUAAUUCCUAGACCAAGCUAAGCACUCUUUCAUCCCAUUAUUUAAUUAGAUUAUCUUGAUUCUUGGUAUUGGUCCUUUUCAAGUUAGGGAUAACAUUAUCCGAAAAAAUCUCCUUAUUUAAUUAAAUUCUUCAUUGUACUGGUUCCUUUCAAGUUAGGGGUGUUUUUUUGAUACAGAGGAUAACAUUACUCAGGAGAAUAUAAAUAAAUUGUGGGAAAAAUACAUAAUUAUUGCCAAAUUAUUUUUCAUUUUCUGUGACUACUUGACCAAGAGUGCUGAGUUUCUUGUUAAGAUUCGUAAAUAAUUUGAGUGUAAAAAUGUGAUUCAAACACAGAAAAAUAUGUAUAUUGUAACCCCUAGUAAUACAACCCUAUAUUUAUUUAUUUUUUGGAUAAGCGGAAUGUUUGUUAAAGUAGUUGGGAAGAAAGACCUUAGGGAUAAUUUGGCUUAGAAAAAAUUAUGCGGAGAUUAAUAAUAUUGAAAUUGUUUAUACAGAUAGAAAUUAUUUAUAAUAGACUCUUAUAAUAUUAUCAUUGAUGUGAGGGAUUAUUGCAAUUGACAGUUAAUACCUAGAAAAUCUUAUUGAUAAAUUAAUUAAUUAAUUACUCAUAAAGGGAAUAUUUAUCUCUAAAUUAUUACUUUAUUAUUUAUUUCAUUUUAAUUGGUCUUUUUCAUCUCACCAAAAUCAAUAGUCAUGUUUUUCACUUGCCUUUCAAUGUGACUCCAUCAUCCGCUUAAAUAAAGUCUACUAAAGACUUUUAUUAAGUGAUAAAUAUAUAGAUUAUUACAUGUUGUAUUAUAUACUAUAAUUUAAUGCAAAAAAAUAUUAAUUAGUACCUUAACAUAAUAUUGUAUUAACUUAUGUUGAGAUUAUUUAUUUAUAUAUCUCAAUCAAAUAAUUUUCAUAUCUUGUAUGAUAUAAUUAAAUGAUGCAGCUCAUGUAUUCAACUCUUCUAUCUCUAUGAUCUCCUUUUAUAUAUAUGUUAGUUCAUCAAACAGAAUUAUUUGAACAAAAAGUAGCACUAAUCAUACUUAUAACACAAUAAUGGCUAAUUUGGACCAAAAUAGCGUCAACAAAAGUAAAAGCAUUAAUGCCAAUUCCACAUCCAUAUUCAGUCAGUCCCGCCGCAAAAUGGCAUUCCGAUGGAAGAAGUUACCGGUAGUGCAACCCGAAGCUGGAGGGAAGAAGCAGCGGCGGAAAUUCUCUCCGAUGAAGAUUUUCCGACGAGGUGGUUUGAAGGGACAAAAAUUGCACUACUUAGGUAUGAAAAAAAUAAAAGAUUGUUAUUGGUCGGCUGUAAACGACAUAUUGGAAGGACACGGAGAAGUUGAUACAUUCCGGCGACAGCUUGCAACGGAGACCUCUUUUGCUAUUCCGGUGAUGUGCUUUUCCUUCACUAUGUUUUCACCAAAUCCUCGUGCUAUUUGAAAGCUUAGCUGAAAAUUUUAACACUAUACUAUCCUCUCAAAACUCCAUUUGUGAGAUUACAUUGUUUGUUGUUUAUAAUUAAUUUAUUGGAAUGAAGUAAUCUCUUUUUUUGAUUUGCUUUAAAAAAUAUGAAACAAAUGAAUUAUAUACAUCUUAAGUUAUUUACUAUGGAGUGCCGGCCACUUGAUGAGUUAUUUGUUCUCUUUUAUGAGAUCAUAUAUGCAUAUACUUGAACUAAUUUUUUUUCUUUUAUUUAUUGGGAAUUUAUUCAAUUCAAGCACUACCAACAUCAAGGAGGGUCAAAGAGCCACCUUGGUCUCUUGAUGUGAGAUAGUUUAAAAAUCAACUAAACUUCAAAUUAUAUUUUAACCAAGCCACGUCAAAAGUCAUUUCAUCAAUUUCAAGCUAAGAUAUUACUGUUAUGUUUUAUUUUCAUCAACUCGAGUAUUCAUUGGUCUGAUUAAUUUGUAUUUACAUCAAGCUAGGCUCAUAAAGAGCUAGGAAGCAUUGCUUCUCAGGAGAUAGUUUAAAAAUCAAAACUAAACUUCAAAUUAUAUUUUAACCAAGCCACGUCAAAAGUCAUUUCAUCAAUUUCAAGCUAAGAUAUUACUGUUAUGUUUUAUUUUCAUCAACUCGAGUAUUCAUUGGUCUGAUUAAUUUGUAUUUACAUCAAGCUAGGCUCAUAAAGAGCUAGGAAGCAUUGCUUCUUAGGAACUUUUUCUUCUUUAGUACUCAAAUUCAAGACCUCUCAUUAUAUAUAUUGAGUUUUUGAUCCAUAUAUACCAAUAAUGUAAAACAUUGAUUGAUACUAUAUAUAUAUAUAUAUAUAUAUAUAUAUAUAUGAUCCUGGACAAUCUACAUUUUAUGAGAGAUUUUAAGGUAGAGUUAGACAAGUUAGACUUAAUGUCUAUUUCUUAUCAUGAUAUCAAUCUAUUGUACCACGUCUAAUAUAGUUCUUAUAUUUAUUUCAAAGAUUUUUAUCCUCAAAUAAAAAUAUUUUUCAAGUUGAAUCCAAGCUAAAUAAGUUGUAUGGCUAAUAAAUGGGCUAAUGAAGACUUAAUAGAGUCUAUGGAGCCUAGCGGCCUAAAAAGAGGCAAGAGGUCUACCUUUUCCGUCCAUUAGUAGUUGUAAAUAUGUGUAAAUAAAAAAUAAAAUUAAAGUCCUACUCUAAUGGAGAAGUAUUUACAAAACAAAUCGUGGGGAAAAAAAAGAAUACACGCGACUAUUUGAUCUAAUUUAAUAAAACUGGCCAUGGGCCAAAGUUUAACUUCUUUUUUUUUUUAAAAAAAAAACAAAAUUACCACUAGCGGUCUUUUAUUAAACAUAAAAAAUAUCAAUAGGGACAAGUACAAGCAAGGGAGGCUAGAGGCCUUAUCUUGCUAAUCCUAAUGAAGUACCUAACUUCUGCUACCUAACAAGCAUGAAGAAAAUAAGAGCAAGAGAGAACUAAGUAUAUUCCAUGAUGAUAUUACAAAUGAGGAUGCUUAAAUAAUGUAAAAAUAUGUCAAUCAAGAAGAAAGUUGAGUUACCAGCCUCUCAAACUUUCUAUUACUAAAGCAUGAAUUAAAAAAGAUUGAUUUCCCAUCAAAAGUAACUUGAAGUAUUUUUCUCUUGUCUUCUUCUUCAAACCUAUCCAACAACCCACUUAUCUUUUUAGUGUGACUCAAAUUUUUGACUAAUGGCUGAAUAAUGAAUGUGCUUAACCAUUGAAGAAAGUCUCACUUGUUAUCUUUAAAUGAUUUAUUUCCUUCAUUACAUGUUUUUAUUUCACAUUCUACUACAACAAUAACAUAUAUAAUGUAAUACCACAAGUGAAAUAUGUGAGAAUAGAGUAUCUAUGUAGACCUUAUCCUAUCUCGUAAAGAUAGAGAUGUUCUUCCGAUUGACACUCAACUUAGAUAAAGUCUAAUCUAUCAAUUUUAAAAAAGGGAUACAUAUAUAAGUGACUACACACUAAGUUUUAUUGUGUAUAAUUUAAUGUAAAUAUUGUUUAGUACCAUCCACAAAAUAUAAUAUAAUCUUGUGUUGGAUUGUUUUUUUUAUAUAUCUCAAUCAAAUAAUAUCGUAUCUAAUAUAUAUGAGAUAAUUUUAGGAUUCUCUCUAUCCUCAAACCAAAUCACUUAUUAGUUGAGCUGAAGUAAUAGGUAUUAUGCGUCUCAUGCUCAACUCUUCGCUAUUCGUAUGAUUUCCUUAUAAAUAUAUUAGUUCAACAAACAAAAUUAUUCGAACAAAAAGUAAGUAAUUAAUACUUAUAACGCAAAAAUAGCUUAUUCGAACCAAAAUAGCCUCAACAAAAGUAAAAGCCAUGCCAAAUCCACAUCCAUAUUCAGUCAAGCCCGCUGUAAAAUGUCAUUCCGGCGGAAGAAGUUACCGAUAGUCCAGGUUGAAGCUGGAGGAAAGAAGCACCGGCAGAAAGUCUCUCCAGUGAAGAUUUUCCGGCGAGACGGAUUAAAGGGGAAGAAAUUGCAGUACUUGAGUAUGAAGAAAAUAAAAGAAUGCUAUUGGUUGGCGGUAAAUGAUAUAUUGGAAGCAAGUGAUACAUUCGAGCGACGACUUGUAGUAGAUACCUCUUUUGCUAUUCCAAUGAUGGGACUUUCCUUCACUACUUUUCCUAAUCAUCGUGGUAUUUGAAUGCUAAGUUGAAAAUUUUAUUUAUUUUAUUUCUAGUUUAAGACGACCUACAUACUACUCACUCUUCCCACUCUAUUUGUGGGAUUACACGGUUGUUUAUUUGUUAUUUUUGGUUUUCGCUGAAAUCAAUUGAGAUGUUUUACUUUGAUUUGCUUUAAAAAAUGUAGAAAUUCAUUAAUAUAUAUAUUGCAGUGCCAGUUGAAUUAUUUGCAAUCUUCAUGAGAUCAUGCAUGCACAUACGUACAAUUGAACUAUUUUUUCUUUAAUAUAUUGUAAUUUUAUGGGAAAAUUAUAUAAAAUAGCAAACUAUUAAUUCAAAUUAAAUGUUAUAACCAUUGUUUCAUUUAAUUCUAAUCUGUAGCAAACACUUUGCCAUCGCUAUUCUCCCCAGAUUUCUCGCUCGCCACUCUCCUGGUCUCGCUCGCCAGUCUCUCUCUCACCUCUCUCACUUUAUACAAAUACAAAUGUAUAAAUUAUAUUUGUGUUUGUAUAAAGCGAGAGAAAAUUGUAUAUACAAAUACAAAUACACAUAUUUUCAUUCUAUACACUAAUAAGUAUACAAAGCUGCCAACGAUUUAUACAACUAGAGGCUGCCAGUGAGAAGCUGCCAACGAUUUAUACAAAUGAGAGGCUGCCAACGAUUUAUACAAAUCUGAUGCUCCAUAGCAAACAUAAAGUUUACUAUGGAGCGCAAUUAUACAAAUUAUAACUAUAGCAUACAAAUAUAAUUUUUAUGUUUGCUAAACCUAAAAUUUUUAUCCACCCCAAUUACCUGUACGAACAUCAAGGAUGGUCAAAGUGCCACCUUGAUCUCUCUUGAUGAGAGAUGGUUUAAAAAGUACUAACUUUUAAUUAAAUGUAAAGAGAUUGUGGGUACAAUCACAAAACUCAAAACUCGAUGAAAUGCCACGAUUACAGCCGCAAAUUUGAAAUGCUUCUCGCAAUUUAUCAAGUCUUGUGGUAUAAUUUGCACCCGAUAUCACCGAGAGAUGUGGUGUAGUGGUUGAAACUGCUCUUCUUUUAAUCAGAAGUUUUGAAUUCAAGUUUUGUGUAUCAUUUUUUUUUGAGAAAUCGUACGAUUACAAUUUAAUAAAUCUACAAGACCAACAUUAUGGUAACAUGUAAAGGGAAAAAAUUAAUAACAGGGCAGAAAUUUUCACUGAUUACUUUUAUUUUUUGGAACAAUAAUUUAAAUCUUACUAUUUGAAGUAUUCUUCUUUAACUAUCAAAUGUGCGGUUCGAAUCAGAUAGGAGGCAAGAAUAUAAUUUCAAAAAAGCUAAUGCCAUUCUUUAUAUUUUUCUUGUAAUUUCUGGAUUAUUUUUUUUAAAAAAAAUGGUCUAUGAAUAACAAAAUAAAAAUCUUAUGAGAAAUCAUUAGAUCAUAAUCUAAAAUUUUAUAGUUAUUGCAAAUGUUAGACGACAGUUAUUUAAUUUGUAAGAUUAUAAAAAUAUAUGAACAAAUAUAAAAUCCUACGUUUGAAACUUUUUUUUUUUUUUUUUUUGCAAUUUCAUAAAAAAUAACUACCAUCACAAAACAAAUAUGAUCUACUUGAAAUUUAAUAACUAAAAUAUUUAAUUGCUAGACCAAGUAACUACAAUCACAAAACAAAUAUGAUCUACUUGAAAUUUAAUAACUAAAAUAUUUUAAUUACUAGACCAAGUACUUUCAUCCUAUUAAUUAAUUAGAUUCUCUUGUUAUGGGUCCUUUUCAAGUUGCGAUGUGUUUGAUAGGGAAGAUAACAUUAUCCGGAAAAAUCACAUUAAUUUAUUAGAUUCUCUUGAUACUAUUUCUGUAGAAAUAGAAAGGCUGAUCACGUAGAUCCUUAAUUUAAAUAAAGUCAUGACAAAUAAUUUCAGAAAAAGGAUACAUAUAUAGGUGAUUGUAUGUUAUAUCGUGUAUAAUCUAAUAUAAAUAUUAUUUAUUACCAUCAACAAAAUAUAAUAUAAUCUUGUGUUGGAUUAUUUAUUUCUAUAUAUCAAUCAAAUAAUAUCGUAUCUUAUAUGAGAUAUUCUAUCAAUCCUCAAACCAAAUCAUUUGUUAGUUGAGCAGAAGUAAUUGGGAUAAUGCAGCUCAUGUAUUCAAUUCUUCUAUCUCUAUAUGACGAUCUCCUUAUAUAUAUAUCUUUCUUCAACAAACGGAAUUAUUCGAACAAAAAAAGUAUUGAUACUUAAUUAUAGCACAAUAAAUAAUGGCUUAUUCGAACCAAAAUAGCGUCAACAAAAGUAAAAGGCAUGCGAAUUCCACAUCUAUAUUCAGUCAGGCUCGCCGCAAAAUGUCAUUCCGGCGGAAGAAGUUAUCGGUAGUCCAGCCGGAAGCUGGAGGGAAGAAGAAAUUAUCUAUUUUCCGACGGGAUGGAUUGAAGGGGAAGAAAUUGCAGUACUUAGGUAUGAAGAAAAUAAAAGAAUAUUAUUGGUUGGCAGUAAAUGACAUAUUGGAACGACACCAAGCAAAUGAUACAUUCGAGCAACGACUUGUAAUAGAUACCUCUUUUGCUAUUCCCAUGAUGGGCCUUUCCUUUGCUACUUUUCCUAAUCAGCGUCGUAUCUAAAAGCCAAGCUGGAAAUUAUUCAUUUUAUUUUUUAUUUAAGACUAUGUACAAAUUUCAUUCACGGAUUACAUUGUUAUUUAUUUCUGAUUUUUGUUGAAAUUAAUGAAGAUGUUUUUUAAUUUAUUUAUUAUAGUGCAUGCCACUUGAUGAAUUACUAGUUGCAAUCUUCAUGAACUAUUUUGAAAUUUCAGUACUAGUCCAUUGAAGUUCGAAGUUAUAAUAGUGUUUCCUCAGGCUCUACUUACCUUUCAAUGUGACUCAAGCUCGCAAUCCAUCCCUUGUUAUGGAAUUAUUCAAUCACUUGAGCAAGCUUUAUUUGUCGUCUGAUCUUCAAAUUAUUUAUUUAUGCAUUAAAUAUUUUAUUACACAUUAUUAUACAAUACAUAUCUAGUAUAAUAUACAAAUACCUUAUUCCUAUUUCGUAGGAAAGUUGUUUUCGUUGGCCCACAACUUAAAUAAAGUCUGCCAAACUAUUUUUAAAAGGGAGUACAUAUAUGGAUUAUUACACGUUGUAUCAUGUAUAAUCUAUGUCAAUAUUAUUUAAUACCAUCAACAAAAUAAGUAUCAUAUAUACUAGAUUCGACUUCUCUCCAUUAUACUUUCUCUUUACUUCCUCAUAUACAUGUUUAGAUACGUAACACUUAUCUAAUACUCCCUCCGUCCCAUUUUAUAUGUCAUCCCUUUCUAUAAAUAGUUGGACCACAAUACUUGUUAUUUUAUAAAAUUUAUGCAUAAAUUAUCAUAUUUUGCCUAUUAUACCCUUGAUAGAAUAGUUAAUUAAUCUUGUAAUUUAUUAAUAAAGUUGACUUAAAAAAACAUUAAACAAGGGUAGAAGGGUAAAAUUACAUCAUUUCUUAAUGCAAGUGCAAAAUAAAAAGGUGACACAUAAAAUGAAACGGAAGGAGUAUAACUUUUAAAGGUCAAAAUUAGAUUAAUUUAACAAGCAUCUUAACUAUGAUUAAAAUAUUAAAAUUGAAAAGCACUCUUUAAUUCUAGUAUGAAAUAUCAAUCUUCCCACAUUUUUUGAUACUCGUUAAUUUCAAAUUGUAAAUUUUACAUUGAUAAAACAAAAAAUUCAAAAUUCGUUGAUAUGUUAACUUUUUUAAAACUAAAUUUAAUCAAAAUACUAUCACAAAUAAUUUUAAUACUCUAAUUUGCUUUUCAUACAUCAAUUAAAAAUUUGAACUAUUAUUUCAGUACUAGUUUACACUAUUACCCCCUCAUAUGUUCCUUAAUUCAAUUUUCAGAGUAAUUUUUAAAUCAAUUUUCUAAAUGAUCACAAAAUGAUUUUCGUAUUUAUACGGAUUUACGGAGAGUAAAGGGGAGGGGGUAAGGAAGUUAACCGAUUAAAUUUACAAAUGAAACCAAUAAGUAUCAAAAUAGGCGGGGAGAUUAAUAUUGCAUGCUCUAAUUAAAGAUGUAGUUUUUAAAAUUUUGAUAAUUAAGAUGCGUUGUUAAAUUAAUUUCAUUCUUGAGCUUUAAAAUUAUGUAUUAGACAAGUAGUGAUACUUAUCUAAAUAUGUAGUUGAAGAAAUAUAGAGAAAAUGUAAAGAGAUUAGCCCAAUCCAAUACUCAUUAUAAUAUUACUCUAUUAUCUUGUGGUGAGAUUAUUAUGUUUAUUCAUAUACCUCAAUCAAAUAAUAUCAUAUCUUAUAAUUUUAUGAUUCUCUCUAUCCUCAAACCAAAUCAGUACCCCUUAGUUGAGCAGAAGUAAUUGGGAUAAUGGAGCUCAUGAAUUAAACUCUUCUAUCUCUAUGAUCUCCUUAUAUAUAUUUGUUAGUUCAACAAACAGAAUUAUUCGAACAAAAAAAGUAGUGAUACUUGUAAGACAAAAAUGGCUAAAUCGAACCAAAAUAGUGUCAACAAAAGUAAAAGCAUUAAUGACAAUUCCACAUCCAUAUUCAGUCAGAUCCGCCGCAAAAUGUCAUUCCGGCGGAAGAAGUUACCGGUAGUUCAGGUGGAGGCUAGAAGGAAAAAGCACGGACGGAAAAUCUCAAUUUUCCGACGAGAUGGAUUGAAGGGGCAGAAAUUGCGGUACUUAGCUGUGAAAAAAUUAAAAGAAUGUUAUUGGUCGGCGGUAAAUGACAUAUUGGAAGGAAGUGAUACAUUCGAUCAACGACUGGUAGCAAAUACCUCUUUUGCUAUUCCAGUGAUGGGCUUUUCCAAAGCAUCCUAGUUUUUGAAAGCUAAGAUGAAAAUCUUAUUCAUUUUAUUUAUGGUUUAAGACUACGCACAAAUCACCACUCUCUAAAUUUUAUUUAUGGGAUUACAAUAAUAUUGUUGUUUAUUUAUUACUUCUGGUUUUCCUUGAAAUUUAUCUCUCUCUCUAUAUAUAUAACUUUUAUUUAUUUAUUAUUUUCUGUAGUGCCACUUGAUAAAUUAUUUGUAAUAUAUCUUCAUGCAUGCAUAUACUAUACGUACUUUGAACUAUUUUUUCUUUUAUUUGUUGAGAAUUUAUUCAAGGAUAGAUGGUCAAAGUGCCUCCUUGGUGAUCUCUUUGUGUAAGAGAGUUAAAAGGUCAAAAUUAAAGUUUUUAAUGCAACGACAUAUUUGGUGAAAUCACACAAAGUGAGGUCUACCAUUGACCUAAUUACCAUUACCUCGUAGAUGUAAAAAUGCUGUUUUCGAAAGAUCCUAGGCAAAAAAGUUUAGCUACAAAACUCGAUGAAAUGCUAUAAUUACUACCGCGCGCAGAUUUGAAAUGAUUCUAGCAAUAUUUCUCAAGAUCUAUGGCAAUAAUUUUAACGAUUAUUAUAACUUGAUAAUUCACCAACAUUUUACUUGAAAUUAUAACCAAAAAUAUGAUCAAAUAAGAAAUCAUUGUUGACUCAAAUGGGGUAUUAUCAGCGCACUUUCAUCACAAUUAAUUGAGUCAAGUAAAAUUGUUGAUCUCGAAUAUUUAUCGACCAGAACUUUAUAUUAAUUUUAAUUAGUAUCUCAAUAUACCUAAUAUAUUACUUAGUAUCUAAUGAUCAAUAACUGCUCAAGGACACAAGCUGUUGACACAACAAGAAUAUAAUUUACAAUCAAUUUUGAAAGAUCUUUAGAUCACAAUCUAAUUAGGACCAACAUCAUGGUAACAUGAGCACAAAUAGAGCUUAAUUAUGAUAUAAUGUCAUUUAGGACAAUUAUAAGAAUUAAAUUAUCGGGUUCAUCUUCAAGAAUGCAUUGAUAGGUCCUUCAAUAUAAUAGAACUUAAUUAAGAGUACGUCCACAUAAUGUUUGUACUUUGUAGUUACGAACUGAUAAUUUCUACGGACAUACUCGAAGCUCAAAGCUCAAGUUCAAAAAAUCAAUUCGCAAAUAAAUUUCUUUUGAGUGAGUGAUAUCUCAAAAAAACUGAAACAUCAAAAAGAAUUCGUAUCUAAAAACUGGGGCUAUUUCAGUCCUUGGUUGUUGAAGUUUGAAGUUACAUUUGAAUGGUAUAAAAAUAAACGGAGAGAAUAAAAUAUAAAAUUACUUACUAUAUUUACUUUAAUUUUAACCGGAUAAUGGGAUAUGUAAUGAUAAAAUAAUAUAUAAUUGUCGUGUAACCUAAACCAAACAAGUUUUACCUACAAUGUUCAACUUGAACUUUGUGACUCUUUUGUGAAUAUGUACUAAGGUCCAACUUCCAAGUAUUUUUAGCAUGGAAAUUAUUUCUUCAAAUUGCAACUUAUCACUUGCUAUCUCCCGACCUCAUUCAACAUUAAAUUACAAUAUUAUACCUCAAUCAAAUAAUAUCGUAUAUCUUAUAAGCCUCAAUCAAAUAGUAUCAUAUCUUAUAUGAGAUAUAUAAUUUUAUGAUUCACUCUUAUCCUCAAACCAAGUCUAAUCCCUUAGUUGAGGAGAAGUAAUUGGCAUUAUGCAGACCAUGUUCUACUCUUCUAUCCCUUAUAUAUAUGUUAGUUCAACAAACAGAAUUAUUUGAACAAAAAAGUAGUAAGUACAACUAAAAACACAAUAAUGACUAAUUCUGAUCAAAAUAGCGUCAACAAAAGUAAAAGCAUUAAUGCCAAUUCCACAUCCAUAUUCCGCCGCAAAAUGUCAUUCCAGCGGAAGAAGUUACCGGUUGUCCAGGUCGAAGGCGGAGGGAAGAAGCACCGGCGGAAGUCCUCUCCGGUGAAAAUUUUCCGACAAGAGGGAAUGAAGAAAAUAAAAGAAUGUUAUUGGUCGGCGGUAAAUGACAUAUUGGAAGGAAACAGAGCAACUCAUCAUACCUCUUUUGCUAUGAUCAUCGUACCUACUUUCCCAAAUCAUCGUACUAUUUGAAAGCUAUAACCUAAAAUUAUUUUUUAUUCGUUUUAUUUCUGAUUUAACAAUUUAGACUCUGCAAAUUCAUAUGUGGGAUUACAAUGUUGCUUAUUUAAUUUUAUUUUUUAUUUUUGUUGAAAUUAAUUAAGAUGUUUUUCUUUCAUUUGCUUAAAAAUAUACUCCUAAAUUUUAUUUUCCUUAAUUUAUUCACUUAUUUUUUGUAGUGACAGUUGAUGAAUUAUUUGCAAUCUUCAUGAGAUCAUGCAUGCACAUUACGCACUUGAACUAUUUUAGUCUUUUAUUUAUUGGGAAAAUUAAUGUGUUCAUCCCAAGCACUGUGAGAUAGUUUUGAAAAGUUAAAACUAAAGUUUAACGUAAUGUAAAGAAUUUUUGGCUACAAAACUCGAUGAAAUGAUUCGGGCAAUUAUUCAACAUUUAUUACAAUUCUAAUGAUUAUCAUAACUUGUUAAGAUAAAUCUUAUCCAAUAUAAAAUAAGAAAUUUUAAUAAUUUAUUAGUAUUAUCAUCUCGACUAUAUAUAACAUAAACGAUAUUUUUCCAGACAAUCACCAUAACUUGACGUUGAACCAAGUCUUGCAAUAUGAUUAAAUGAGAAAUUAUGUUUGAAGUGUACUUUCACAUAAUGUUUGUACGUUACAAACUGUUAAUUAUUUCUCCGAACAAAGUUGGAGAACAUGAAAAUCAUACGGGUUUACAAUGAAAGGAACUCCAAGCUUGAGCAAAAUUCAAUUAUUUCAUUUUAUGAACCAUGAGUAUGAAUGUUUCUUAUAGAUGGAGAAAAAUUCAAAUUUGAAAACUAAUACUUUUCCCGUUCUCUUUAAUUUGUUCAUUAUUUUAAAAAUACAUUUUUCAUUUUGGAAAAAUCUUUUUGGCCAGAAUGAUAUUUUUUCUAUGUUAUUUUAACUUUUUAAAUAUUUUUACCCUUUUAAUUUAAAUACAUUUUAACUAAAAAAAUGGAAAAAAGAUCAGUUUUUUUAAAAUAAAAAAAAUAUUAUAGUUUUUUUAAUUUUCUGGCCAGUUAGCACUUCCCUUUCAUUUUUACUUGUCAUUUUUAACAACAUUUUCAGUGAAAUCACACAAAGUAAGGUCCGAAGAUGGAAGAGUGUACACAGAUCUUACCGCUACCUCGUGGAGAUAGAGAGGUUAUUUUUGAAUACUUAUUUGAUCCCUUAGUAACUCGAACCCACAACCUUACUAUCGUGAAUUGUGAUCAACUUGAAAUUUGCGACUCUUUUCGAUCUGGAAAUGUACUGAGGUCCAACUUCCAAGUAUUUUUAACAUGAAAAUUAUUUCUUUAAUGAAACUCACUCCCUCCAUUCCAUUUUACUAGAUAUGUUUUGUUUUGCACGUUCUUAAUUUGAUUAAAUUAUUUUAGGUGAAAUUUUAAGAACAUGUUUUUCGAAGUUAGCACUUUAAAAUUAAUAAUUAAAUGCUUCAAUUGCUAGACCAAGCACUUUCAUCCCAUUAAUUAAUUAGAUUCUCUUGGUAUUGGUCAUUUUCAAGUUGGGGAGUGUUUUGUUAUGGAUGGUAACAUCAUUCAUAAAAUAUUUUUGAAGUUUUUGUGUCAGGUCAGUAAAAAGGUGUUGUAAAUAUUUUAUUAAAAAAAACAAUUUUUCUAAAAUUAAGAAAAAUGACAUCUCUUUAUAAAAUUAGAAAAAAUCAAGUUUCAUAACUGUCAUGUUACUCUCAUUUUCCGUCUCCAACGCAUCCUUCCUCCACCCCAUCCACACCAACCUCGCACUUUACUGCAUACCCUCACUCACAUAAACAAAUAUUUUGGUAUAAUAUUUUUUUUUGUAUAUUUACACAAAAAAAAAAAAAAAAAAAGAAGAAGAAGAAUAAUGACAGAAUAAUUUCUUCUCUAAAAAGAAAAAAAGAAUAAGAAAAUAUUCAAGGAAAUAUCUUUUUAUGGAAAACAUUCUAUUUAUACCAAAUACGCCCUUAAAUUUGAUAUAUUUUCUUUAAAGACGUUUAUGUUCAACUUGCUACAAUUUAAUAAAACGACGUGCUAAUAUUUUAAUUUGAUUCGACAUCUAUUCUACCUACUUUAGAUACUAUUAUCUAUUUUACCACGUCGUCUAAUAUAGUUCUUAUAUUUAUUCAAAACAUUUUAUCCACUAUUAAUAUUAAAGCUUAUUCGAGCUAGCAUAAAACAUAUCUUUUGAAGUUAAUAAUUUUUCAGAGGUGGGAAAUAAUCUGCAUCUUCCUUUUCAAGCACUUAAGUAAUGUAAAAAUCAUCGAAGAUAAUAAUUUUGGGCUUCUUUAAAAAAAGUAUAAUAUUAAAACAAUUUUUGUCAUAGCAAAGCAGUUUGUGGAUAAAAAAUUUGUUGCAAUGAAGUUAAAUCUCUUUAAAGGGAAUGAUUUAUCCACCGUUUAUCCUGAAAAUAUUUAUUUCCUUCAUUUAGUUUUUCAGUUGUAAUUUUAUUUUCAAUUUUUCAUCAACAAAUAAAUUAUAGGUUAGUGAAUGGUCUAGACUUUAGAGCCUAUGGAGCUUAACGGCCUAAAAUGAGGCUAACAAGAGGGCUACCAUUUCCAUCCAUUAAUUAUCAUUAAUUAGUAAUAACUAAUGUGCGUAAAAUAGAGGAAUUUGUGUAGCUCGAAUUGUUGAUUAUAUAAAUUUUCACCUUAUUAAUGAAAUAAAAGUUCGAUUUUCCACCUCGUAAUCUCCUUUUCAAUUUUCCCUACCCCCAAUUUCGAAAAGAAAAAUAAAAUUAUGUGUUUAAAAUAAAAAUUAAAGUUGAUUGAUGAUACAAAAUGAUGUGUUUACAUGAUAAUAAUGUAGGGUUAUGCACAAAUUAAGUUACUUAAUUUGUGCAUUACAUAUUUUUGUGUAUAAUUUAAUGUUAAUAUUGUUCCGUAUCUCCAACAAAAUAUUAUAUUAUCUAAUUCUGAGAUUAAUUGUUUAUAUUUAUCUAUAUACCUCAAUCAAAUAAUAUAUAUUGCAUCUUAUAGUAUGAGAUUUUAUGAUUCUGUCUAUCCUCCAACCAAACACCCCUUAGUUGAGCAGAAGUAAUUUGCAUUACACAGCACUUACUUGGUCAACUCUUCUAUCUCCUUAUAUAUUAGUUCUCAAUUCUCUUAGAAUUAUUCGAUCAAAAACAAAACAAAUAAUGGCUUAUUCUGACCAAAUUAGCCUCAACAAAAGUAUAAGCCAUGCCAAUUCCACAUCCAUAUUCAGUCAGGCCCGCCGUAAAUUAUCAUUUCGACGAAAGAAGUUACCGGUAAUUCAGCUCGGAGCUGGAGGGAAGAAGCACCGGCGAAGAUUCCUUCUAUUGAGGAUUUUCCGACGAGUCCGAAUAUUAAAGGGGCUGAAAUUGCACUACUCAAAUAUGGCGAAGAAAAUAAAAGAAUUUUAUUGGUCAGCGGUAAAUGACAUAUUGGAAGGGAACGAAGCAGUUGAUACAUUUCAUCGAGGGUUUGUAUUGCAGAGCUCUUUUGCUAUUCCAAUGUUGGGCCUUACCCCGAAUGCUUUUUCAAAUCGUAGUGUUAUUUGAUAAAAGUUAAGUAUCUUUCAAAAAUAAUCUAUCUACUUCCGUAAGGUAGGGAUAAGAUCCACAUACAUUUUAUUUUCUAAAUCGCACCUUUGGGGACUAUAUUGGCAAUAUAUGUUGUUGAAAUUAAGAUGUUUUGCUUUGCUUACCAAAUUAUAAAUAUAUUAAUUUGUUUAUAAUUUUUUUAGUGCCAAUUGAUGAAUUAUUUGCAAUGUUCAUGAGAUCAUAUGCAAACAUAUACUUGAACUAUUUUUGCUUUUAUUUAUUGGGUUUGUUAUGAGCGCUUUCGUCACUAUCGAAUGUGUUAAAAUUGAUGAUCUAGAAUAGUUAUCCCUAGAACAAGAAGACAAAUAAUAGUCGAUAAGAAUAUUUCAUAAGAUUUUAAUCAGUAUUUUAAUAUCCAAUAUAUUAAUAUCUAACCAAUAAGAUUAACACCAAAUGGAAUAUGCAAUAAUUAACUAUAAAACGUGACAAGUAUGAAACUGCUCAAGGACAGACGUUAGACGACAAAUCGCAAUAUCCCAAUCUAAAAUGUUAUAGUAAUUGCAAAUGUUAGACGAAAAUCUAAUGAUUAAUUUGUAUGAGUGAGGUUUAUAAGAACAAACAUUAGAUAAAUUUAACAUUUACAGAAAGGUAAUUUGGUAAUAAAGACAAUAUUUGCACGUAAAAAUAAAAAUAAAAUAGCACCUAUGAAGGAACAUUUGCGUAAAUCAGCCCAAAGAAAGUUUGGGAUAUUAGUUGCCGAUGGUCCCAUUUGACAAGGUGUGCACUGGAUUUUAAGGGUUUGGGCUUGAAGCCCACUGUUAAAUUUUGAAAAAACAACUUACAAAAAGGGAAAACUACCUAUCUAGACAUACUUAACUACCACAUAUACAUAAUUUAUCUCUCCUUUAAAAAUAUUACAUAGAUUACCACUUUAAAAAAAAUAUACCAUAUUUUAAAAAAAAUUAAAUCAGAUACACAAUCCCUUUAAAAAUGAUAAUGUAUAAUUAUCUUAAAAUUACAUCUCCUCAAUUAGCAUGACACUAACAAUUCAAAUUAAUUUCUCUCUAUUCUUUUCAGCCGUUUCCCUCCCCAAUUCCAAAACAGAUACCUCACGUAUCCCACCAUUACUACAAUUACAAAAUUACAAUGGUUUAUGAUUUCGUUAUUUUAGAAAAACUUGUUAGAGUUAAUUUGCAAAGGUUCUAUAAAUCCGUUUGGAUUGUUAAUUAUUCAUCAAUUAAUUCUUUAAUUAAGGAGAUUAUUUACACCCCUUUAAUUCAAAGUAAUAAAUCGUGUAUCUCGACUUGUAAAACCGAUGGAUACAUGUAUCUCGCGAGUAAUGAUACAUGUAUCUCAAGGCCGAAAAAUUAGAAAAUUUAAGAUACAAAUGAAGGAAUAAGGAAUUGAUGAAGAAGAUGAAGUUUAUAAUUAUAAAAUUAUUAUGAUUUAUAAAAUUGUUAGAUACGCAAGGAUCCUGUAAAUGGGUUGUUAAUUAUUUAUCAAUUAAUCCUUUAAUUAAGGAAAUAAGUUACACCCCUUUAAUUUAAAGUGAUAAAUUGUGUAUCUCAACUUUUAAAACCGAUGGAUACAUGUAUCUCCCGAGUAAUGAUACUCCUCUAAUUAUGGAAAUCAGUUACAACUAAUUAAUAUAAACAAAUAAAAUAUGUAUCUCAAUUUUAAAUUCGGCGGAUACAUGUAUCUCUCAAUAUGAAAAUAAAUUUGCCAUACUUUUAUAGUGUAUCUCGAACAACUAAACGACCUGAAAAUAAUGUAGAACAUAUACAUGAGAAAAAUGUCUACAGAUUUUAUAUUGUGUAUCUCGUAAAAAUAUCAUGUAUCUCGAAUUUGGGUAGCAUAUAUGAUUAGUAGAUUGUUGUAGUUUGCAUUAUCUCUCAAAAUUAUUCCAUCAAUUCUAUAGUUUUCAUAAUCAAUUUCAGAUACCCAUGAACCGGAAUGCCUCAACAAUACUGUGAUAUUCGCCAUAAUAAAAAAAAAUCGAAAAUUUAAAGGUUGAAAAGAAUCUUAAUUUGAUUAAGAAGAUGAAGAACUUCAGAAAAUAAUUUGAUAUAUAAAUCGUUGAUGAUGAAAUGGAGCCAUGAAUUACGUUAUGGUUGUUAUAUCUCCCAUAACUUACUCCUUCAAUUAAGGGAUUAUCUCCCACGAUUAAUUCAAAUUAAUUAAGGAACGUGUAUCCUAUCUUUUAAAACAUGGAUCCCUCCUUUAAAUUUUAAUAGAGUCAUGUAUCUUAAGAAUUAUUACCCGUGUAUCUUAGGAAUAAAAAGUGGUAUAGGAAGUAAUAUUGAAAACUAACGGAAUUCCUAGUAAUUGGGAUGUAAAGUAGUGGGAUAUACGUAGUUUACCCUUACAAAAAUGGGUCUAUACUAUAAUAAUAAUAUGAAUUUUCCAACUGAUUUCUUUUUGAAAACUAAUUAGUGCAUGAAAAUUCGUUGAAACAUAAUCACUUAUCAUAUACAAUUAAUCAUCCCAUAAUAUAUAGUUUUAUGAAUUUCGAAGUUACACAAAUAAAAAAGGUCAAAAGUACACAAAAUCUGUGAUUGUUUUUCAAUUUUACAAGUCCAAAAAUGGCUAUCUGAGAAUUUUUCUCUUAUGCAUGUCUAUUGCCACGGUCACGUCAAUACAAAAGCAGUUAAUUUAAACAAUUUUCCUUCAAUAGUUGUCCCUCUAGCUACUCCUCUACUAAAUCCUUGAUGAUUUGGUAUGCGAGAUAAGGAUCAUAAUUUUGCAACAAAAUAUGAGAUUAUUUUAUUUCAUAUUUGAUUAUUGACCAUUAAUUAGUCCUGCAAUAUUUAAUCUCACCAUUUGUACUUAUCUAUACCAUAUAUAGAAGUGAAAUAGCUAAAUCCAUGAGAUAUAUAAUUCAAUUCAUAAGAUAUUCUUAUCUAUCUCAUCUCUCAUACCAUAUAACAAAUAGUCACUGAUCAGCAAAAUAUAGUAAAAAAAUGGAUUACGUAAAACCAUUUGUGGUAUUUAAAAUAUCAAACUUUCUCAACAACUACUUUAACAUUAACGAAAUUAGGCCUCUUUAUAUUCCUUUAAUAAUAUCUAGUGGUUUAAAACUACAGAAAAAAAAACGUGGUAGCACUAUCUUUUUGGUGGCUAUCUAUAGAUAAUGUGUCCUCUAGCUAGUCCUAGACUCUGCUUUUUUAAGAAAUACUCCAAAAACUAAUUAUAACUCCCACAAGACACAAGUGCUUUUUUUAUUUCUAUAUUUCUCGAUUUACUGGCAAAUUCUUUAUUUGGUAGUAGCUUUUAUGUUCUGAACUACUGAGUCUAUAGGUAAACUAGUAUUUGAAUAACUCAAAAGCAAGAACUCAACAACUUACGUAUAUGCAUUUUAAAAAAUAUACUAUUCAUUGUUUGUUUGUUUUUCAUUUUAAUUACUUGGAUUUAAUGCACUUUAGCCGAGGGUCUUUCGGAAACAACAUGUCUAUUUCUACGAAGUAGUAAUAACAUAUACGUACACUAUACCCUCUCAAGACGAUAUAUAGUGAGAUUUUAAUGGGUUUUUUUUGUUAUUAUUGUCGUUGUUGUAUACUAUUUAUAUAAUAUGGUUGUUCGGCCUCAGCCCCUAGUCUAGCUAAUAUCUAGACUCUAGUAGAUAUAAGCCUAUGUGACUACAACAUACUAUAUUUUAAAUUUUCAUGACAAGAAGAAAUAAACAAGAGAAAAUUACUGAAAAUUUGCAUAAAUCUGACACUUUGUGGGAUAUUGUUUUAUUUUUUUAUUUUUUUUUAUAAAAGCUUUUGAUGCAGCAAUACUGACACGUGUUAUCAACCUAGUCAGACUUGUAAAUUACUCCACGUGAAACAUAUACUUGUAAUUAAUAGUCCACAAAUGAUGCCAAACUUUUGAACUUCACGCAAAUUUAAGAAAUGUUGACAAAUUAAACACUACCCUAUUUAUGAAUUUGUUUGAAAAUAAAAACCAAACCAGAGGCUUGCAUUGCUGAGAUUCUGUUGGCGAUUAAAUAAGGAACAUGUCUCAUGCGAGAAUGUCAACAUUUUGCUCAUGAAUUAAUCUUAAAAAUCAUCUUACUUAGUGAUCCAAGAUUGUGAUAGUCAUGUGCUAAAAGUCUUGCCAUUUUAACUAAGCAAAAAUGUAUUGCUCAAAUUUAUGUAUUAUUAAACAAAAUAUUAAAACUUAAAUGGUUACACACAAAUAAUUUGUCCGUGCAAGUAUACUUAGAUGAAUGAUUGAUUAAAAAGAUUUUCAUAUGGUGUAGUCAUCUAUCAAAUUUUUUUUUUUUUUUUGUAUAUAAUAUUAUUAUUUAAUAUAUAGAAAAUAGUGUAUUUUGCCGUCCUGCCGGAUGUAACUUUCCCUUGAUUAAAUGGGAAUUGGCCUCGUCCAAAUUUUGUAAUGGGACUGUGCCGUUUUCUUAUGGGCCGUAGAACUGCAAUUCAUAAGGAAGGACAGUGGGCCAUUUUGAAGUUUUAUCAAUUAUUGUCCUUUUUUAUUUUUUUAUUUUUCACUUAUUCAUGUUGGAGCAUAAUUAAAUUUAGAUUCAUAAUUAAAAAAAAAAAAACUUAAAUUAGGGAGUAAAAGAAUCUAUAAUAAAAACAAUUUUAUAUCAACUAGGUUUUGAAUCCAAAAUUUCUAUUAAGAAUAAAAAAAUACUUACUAUUCCAUCGUAAUCAAACUUCGUUAUCAAUCAUGUUUUAAUUCUAGUACUAAUAGCUAUUCCGGCACGUAUAUAGAGAAAGCUGUGAUUCUCACACGUUGCAUAUUCCAUUAAAAAGAAGACAAAUGCAUGUGUGGUCUUUCUUCAUUCCGUUACUGGCCACUAUAUGAUUAUCCAUCUACAGCAAAAACAUAUUUGGUGAUAAUAAAAAUAAAAUUAGUGUUAACAUUUAUUAACACAAAAAUGGAUAGCGAUAAUUGACUUAAUAUCAUUAUAUUUAAAGUUACUAAAACGUACAGACGAUUUAUAUAAAAUGUUGGUGUUAUAAAUACUACUAUUUAAAAGUUUUUCGUUAUCUUAAAUUAGUGAUAUCACUCAGAAAUUUAGAUAAGCGAUUCACAAAGAUGUUCAAAAUAAUAUAUCUAAAAGUUUUUUUUUAUCUUAAAAAGGUUCAACAAUUUAUAUACAUAUCUAUUAAGAAAGAAAUUAUCCUUUUUCUAUUUAGAUGUUAUAGUUUUUCAAUAGGGAAAUUCAAUUGAAACCUCCAUUUCCUCGGUAAUUGGGUAAGGAAAUAAUACAAUAUGAAAUUUGGUACAUAAGAACUAUGUGGAUAUUAAACGGAAGAAUAUGGAAACAAUUCAAAAAGAAAAAAGGUAGUAGUUGCUCUAUGUAGAUAGGUUACCAACUCUAGGAAAACUACGAGUUGUGAGAGUUUAAUUAAUAUAUUCACAAUAUAUGUUCAUUAUAAAAAUAAAUAAAUUGAUACGUACUUUAUUAUAUUGCAUAUGGUUGACAUUUCGUUCAUAGUAUACGCAAUAUUAAUGUAUUUUAUAUUGCAUUUUCAAUACAAUUAAUUCUAGAUUUUCAUAUGGAAUAACUUAUGUGUGAUUAGUAUAUAUAAUAAAUUAUACUUAAUUAUUAGUUUUUGAAUAUGUAAUCCUUUUAUAAUUUUAUAAUUUGUUCUUGCUUUAUCAAGGUAUCAAAACUUUUGGACCAGUGCACUUACCCUCCAUUUCCUUUGGUUCCCAUUUUGUGAUACUCGGAGGGCACCGGAGAGGAACUGCUUCCAAACUUUUGAAGGGUUAACCGUUUUUGACACCCUAUCAUAGAAUAAGAAGUUUUAUAUUUGAAAAAUAUUGAGAAUAUAAGUAAGUUUUAUAAAUUAGUGAAAUGUUCUAAAGUCGUGCGGGUCUAGAUUUAGAGUGGGUAAUUUUUUUAGCGGAUUCGGCUAUUAGAGAUGGUAUUAGAGUCAAUUAUGUGUCAGCCUUGUUGAUGUGGCCAUAGUUCAACUGAAUUUAUGCUAAUCUCGACAAGGAAACCUUAGUGCUGAUUCUAGACAAAUUUCAUGGGGUGAGAUAAACCUUAACAAGGACGUUAAGUUUAGAAGAGGGGUCUAUAUGACACCCCAACUUAGAAUUUAAAGUCCACAUAAGCAAAACACAAGAAAAAAGUUCAAUAUAUAAAUACAUGUCUUACAAAUUAGUAAUGUGUUUUAUAAUCAUACGAGUCUUGACUCAAAAAGAAUAAUAUCACUAACAGACUAGACCAUUACACACGAUUAGAGUGGAGUCAAGAUUUAGUAGUCAAUUUUCAUAAACUCGGAGGACAAAUUUAGCUGCCGAAAUUGCUGCCUCUCACCAACCGUUUUAACUUUCCGACCCAUGCGAAAUGUGAACACAAUAAUCAUCUUUUCCUUAAUUUGUUUUCGCUUGAAAUUCAUCUUCCUUUGAUUUUUCUAAUAUCCCAUGCCCACAGACCACAGGAAAAAUGAAACAAAAUAAUAAUAAUAAUUUAGACUGAUGUUGUAAUUCUUUAGACCUAUCUUUCUACGUGAUAUAAUAUUUCGACUUUAGAGCAUAUAUGUACCUCAAAUAAUAACCUUUUGGGUCAAUCAUCCAAAAUUCAUUUAUUUUGAAAAUUAUUUAUUGAAAAAGUAUUUUAGAAAGCAGUAAACUUGUAUUUGACUAAUUAAUUUUUAAAAAAAAAAUUGGCAAAAUAAUAACUUGACUCUAUCUAAGCAUAUUUAACGAAAGUCACUAAAUUAAUAAGUUGAAUGACUUUUUAAUUACGAAAAAAUUGACUCAAUUAUGUUGCCGACAAACUUUCAUUUGAUAUACUUCCUCCGUCCCUAAUUACUUGUCCACUCGUUCUAAAAUUGCCGUCAUUGUUUGGUCCAAACCCAUCAAAUUAUAAGUGGUUGAAAAUGAUAAUGUAGUCUAUGUCAAAAUUCUGCCUUUUCUAUUCUUUGUUUUAAUUUUCUUAUUUCAACUAUUUUCCCUCUUCGUCAGCUUGUUCAAAUCUUACUAAAAAAAAUUAAUAAUUAUUAUUCAUUUACAUAAAUACCUUCCAACCUAUUUAGUAGGAAAAUGAUUUGAAGGAUAUCAAGGGUAUUUUUGUCUUAAUCAUUGUUUUUACACAUAAUUAAUUCUAGCUUAUACUAUUAAUCCGACAUUAAUUACUAACCCUAUUAUAAUUUUCUCCUUUUUUUCCCUCUCUCUUAAGGGCUGCAUUAUAAGACUCCUAGUCCAUAAAAUAAUAAAAUAUUGAUGUAGGUUUAAUCACUUAGACAAACACCUUAUCCAAUUUUUGCGAUGGAAUUUCUUGUUCAUUAGUUCUUUAAUUAUUUGGCACCUUCGAAGAAAGUGUAAUCGUGUCUUUUUUGAAUAGUUGUAGGAGUAAAUAUGACAUUUUGAUUUGAUUUUUCACUAGUAGACAUAUUACUUGUCAAUGCUUAACAACUACUACGUACUAUGACGGUAUGACCCUAAGUAUGAAAUUAGAGAAUCCAAGUCAAAUUAAAACAAGAGAAAAAUAGUUAUUGUUUUAAACAUUCGUUAGACCAACAUCCCAUAUUUUUCAAUUGGAAAUAUCAAACUUAUUAUUCUAUUUUUCAAAUAUCACUACGAUAAACUUUAAUUUAAUAUUCAUUAAGUUCCUAGCUAAUACAUACUGUAUACAGUAUAUAUAAAAAUUGAAAAAAAAAAACUGAUUUAACGACAGAAACAGUAUACAGUAUUUUUUUUUCCCCUUUGGUUGCUUUUAUAAUGAACAAAAACAGAAUCAGAAGAAGCGAUAUUCUUAGCCAUAUUGUUCUUCAUAACUUUGGGUGAGUAAAUUGAAGUUAAUCGUAUCAUGAUUAUUUAUAAAUCUAGGGCUCUUUCUUCUGGGAGUACUGAAGUUCGAAUCUACAAUCUUGAUAACAAUGAAACGGUUGUUAAUGACAGAUUUACAGAAUUAACGGUGAAGAAUAAGGGUUUUCAGAAUGCUGAUGUGGCAUGCAACCUUUAAUUGGAGAAGAAGAACGGUUUUCAGAAUCCUUAAUUGGCAUGCAACCUUUAAUUGAUAAUUUCAUCUUUUCUAGAUAAUAUCAAUUCCCUAUGACUAGCUAGGCAGAAUCCUUAAUUGGGCAUUCAACCUUUAAUUUAUUUUUUCAUCUUUUCUAGAUAAUAUUAAGUAUAAAUUAUAGGAACCACAUAUACUAAAUAACAUCUUAUCCCUUCUAGUUUUCUAUUUACCAAAAAUCCAUUAAAAAUGAUGGUUGUGGGAUACAUAGCUUUGUGCAUGGGAUACAUUAGGUUUGAUACAUUCACAUAGCGAGAUACAUAGCGUUGUGCACGGGAUACAUGCGGGAUACAUAGGUAAAUAAGAGAUUUUUGAAAAUUUUGAAAUAAGUAGGAAUAAAUGGAUAUUAAAGUAAGUAAAGGAGUGUAGUUAAGUAAUUUCUCCUAAUAUUAAUUCCCUAUGAAUGCACGCUUUAUUUGAUCAUUUAUCUUUUAAAAAAAUAAUUACUAACAUUUAUUUUAUAUUACUAAUUAUGUUAUAUUACUAAUUAUUAAUCCCUAUGUCUCUAAUUACUUGUCCACUUUUGAAUUGUCACACCUAUUAAGAAAGUAAUUAUUGACAUAGUGAGUUUAUCAUUUUACCCCUAUUAAUUAUGAAGCAGGAUGAAUUAAAAUUUUAAGAUUUUCAAAAAUUCUACCUUUUUCAAAGUAAUUAAUUGAGGGUAUAAUAGGUAAAAUUAUUUUGUCUUUUCUUAAUUUGUCAAAAUGGACAAAUAAUUAGGGACAACUAUAAAAAGAAAAGUGAACAAAUAAUUAUGGACAGAGAGGGAGUAAUUAAUAGAAUUAUAGGAUGUACUAUAGUAUCUUAUACAUAUAUAGGGAUUAUUUUUUUCUUAUUGUAUAAAUUUCCAAAUAUGAAAUUUACAACCUUAAAAUUUAACUAUGAUUAAUCAUCUAGUAUUAUAACAGGUCAAGAUUAGUUAAUAGGGAUUAAUUUUUCCUUAUUUUUUCAUUGGGAAAAUUGAGCAUUAUAUAACAAGCUUUUAAUUCAAAAUAAAUGUUAUAGUUACAGUUUCAUUUAAUUCCAAUUCGCAGCAAACUUCUUGCCAUUCGCCUCUUUCCCCCCCUUUCUGGAAUCUCGCUCGCCACUCUCCUCUUUUUCAGUCAUCUCUCCCUCGCCUCUCUUACUUUAUACAAACGCAAAUAUAUAGUUUGUGUUUGUAUAAAGCGAGAGACGUAUAUACAAAUACAAAUACAUAUUUCUCCGUCCUAUACACAUAUAAUCAUACAAAUAGAAAUAUUUCCCUGUCUAGUUCUCUUUUGCCUUUAAUUCUCUCUCUUCGUUAUAUAUAAACACAAAUUAUACAAAUACAAUGUAUAAUUUGUAUUUGUAUAAAACGAGAGAGAGAGAUUUGAUAUACAAAUACAAAUAUUUUAACUCGAUUCAAUUGUAGACGAAUUCAAAUUUUAUGCAAAUAUACAAACACAACCGAUAUACAUAUACAAUUCACCUCUCCCCACUUUCUUCCCUCUCUCGCUCGCCUCUUUCAUCUCUCUCCCAAUCUCGCCCGUCACUCUAGCCUAACACAGAGAACAUAUACAUAUACAUAUACAAACACAAUUUUCAUAGACACAGACGAAUUAGCGCCCAAUUUGUACAAAUCAUCACGAUUUAUACAAAUCAGAUGUUUCAUAGCAAACAUAAUUUGGCUAUAGAACGCAAAUAGCAAAAUUGUAGCUAUAGAGCAUUUUUAUGAUUUUUAUCUUUGUUAUUCCUAUAAUUGACUCAUUAAUUAUCACCUAUAUUCAUAGAUUUUCCGUACUCUAGCAUGGAUAUAGAGUUUGAUUAAGUUAUUCCCGUGUCAUUUAAAGGAUAUCUAUAUGUAAACUUAGUCAAUAUAAGGAAUUUAUAAUCUUAAAAAUAAAAUAAACUUAUUAUCUAGUAUAACAAGUAAAUGAGACGUGUAAAAUAAGAUACAUUUACUAUCUAGUAUAAAUUACAAAAUAUGAAAUUUAUAAUCUUAAAAAUAAGAUUGAUUUUAGCUAUACAAGUAAAAUGAUGUGUAAAAUAAGGUAGGUUCAUUAUCUAGUAUAAAUUUUAAAAUAUGAAGUUUAUAAUAUUGAAAAUAUAAUAGGUUAAUUAUCUAGUAUAAAAGUAAGAAAAAAAAAGAUGUGUAUAAUAAGAUAGGUUCAUUAUUUAGUAUAAAUUUCCAAAUAUGAAAUUUACAACCUUUGAAAAUUAUAUAUUGAGUGUGGAAUUAAGUCCAUUCCGUGUUCGUUAGGAAUUAGAAUGUCAAAAGUGGCACUAUGAGUUAUCGAUUUUGCCUAAAUGGCGGCACACAUUAAGAUAUGUUCUUCAAGAGAAUUCCAGCACGCCAUUAUUUGCUAAAAGAGAAUGUUACUGAUCUACAUGUAUUUAACAUUAAAUAAAUUACGUGUCAUUCUUAUAUAAUUGUCCUCAAUUUUUACUUAUAUAUAUGGUCAAUAAUGUCCCCUUCCUUUUUUGGUCCAUCACGUCAAGUGAGUUGUAAAAGCUUUUGAGUUGAUACUCAUAAAAAAUGCAAAUUAUUAAUUGCAAUAGGGCAGUAAUAUAAUAUACAUUGCCAUUCACAUGCACAUGCACUUGCAGUGUGAUAAAUCAAAUAUGUGUGUCACGGCUUGCAAUAGUUUAACGGACCCAAGAAUUUGAAUCUACGACUUCGAAUAAUAUUGAACGAAUUUUGUGAUUACACAAGAAGUUUCCGUGUAAGGAAUUCAAUAAUAUGACUUAUUUGCGUAUUAUAAUUUUUCUACCAAGACUCUAAAAGAGGCUGGAUUGAAGUUAUCCAACAUUAGUUGUUUUAUGAUUAAAAUGGUACUAUUUCUUGAAACAUAUAAACAUUCUCUUUUGUACAGUGAAUAUAGUUGAAGACUUAGAAAACUUUAUUUGUCUCAACUCUCUGUUUCACUACACUUACCACACUACAUACUACAAUAUUUUCCACAGUUCUCUUCUUUUUUGACAUAUAUACACUUCACAAAGGAAGAAACACUACUAUUUAUAGGUGAAGAAGUCUUCCACAUAAUCAAUGUGUAGAAUGAGGGGUAGUAAUAUAGUGUAGGUAGAUAAAUGUAAUGGAUGUUAAAUGAGUUACAAGAAACAAAUGACUAUGAGAGUUAGCAGAACUAAUGGACAUAUAAGUUACAAGACGCAUAUACACUUAAUAUUUUAUUUUAACAAUAAAAUAUUUAUACACUAACAAAAUAUAAUAGAGAAGUUGAAUAAAGAAAAUUGAAAAAAUAGUAAAAAUAAAAGAUAUAAUAAUUUUACUUUUAAUAUAAUUGAAUAAGUAAUAUAUGAUUGCGGAAUCUGCGGAACUAUAUUCUUUGGGUCUCAUAAGCCCCAAUAAAAUCUAGAGUAUCAUUAAAUAAGAGGACAUUGAAAUUCCUAUUAUUAUUUAUUAUAUUGUUACAAUUUUUCUAUAUUCAAGUAUGAUUUUUGGAAUAUUCCAAUAAUUUCUUGUUAAGAUAUCAAAAUUUGAUUAUAUUAAAGGAAGAAAAACGUUUAAUGGUUUGUUUCAAAUGACAUUAGCUCACAAAUUUCAACUAAAAAUGGAUUACAAAGAAUUGUUAGUAUGUUUUGUCUUUGAAAUUGAAAAAAAAUCAUUAUUAUUUUUGAAAUAUAUGGUGAAUCUAUAUUAAGUUGAUAAUCUAAUUCUAAAUUGAAAGUUGAUAUGAGUUUUUACUACAUAUGUGAAUAAAAUACAAGGCCAUAUUGAGAUCAGAUUAAUCCUACACAUCUAUUUUUGUACUUUUAUGUUUAAUAUGUGACUUUAGAUCAACUUACCUAUAUAUAUUAUGAAAAUAUGAUAUAUUUUACUAAUUAACAAAACAUAUGAUAGCUAAUUUUGUAGAACUUUAAAGUACGUGACAUAUAUAAUCUUUCAAAGAAAAAAAUAAUUAUAUUAUCUAAUAUUUCUUCUAAUAGGUUUACAUUCCUAGUAAAUACACACACGUACAAAUUAUUUUUAUUCUAUUGCCACAAAUUAUAACUUCCGAAUUUAUAUGUAGAAGACUAGAAUAAUGGAAAUUGUUCAUCCACAUGGACAACUUUUCACCCUUGGAAUCAAUUUUUUUUAGUAAUCUUAUUAUGUCCUUCUCGAUAAGAUAGCAGAUCUAUUAGCUUUUUUGAAUACUAUAAUUAUACUAUUAUAUAGUGGAUGGACCCGAAAUACAAUAAAGUAAUAGACUAUUCAAAAUCUCAAUGAAUGACUAACAGACAACCAUGUCAUAAAAACCACAUUCACCAAGAUAAAAAUCUUUGGGACAAACGUUGGUGCAGCAUUUUUUUAAUCACCAACACUUUGACUGUCAUUUUGGAGAAAGAAAUAUACUGAGAAAUAGUCCCCCCAAAAGAAAAAUAAUUAAUUAUUUUAAUUAAAUAAAAAGGAUCAAAUUUGUUCAUGUUUUACAGAAAUGGAGCUACUUUUCUCGCUAGUUGACUUUUUGAUGUAAAAUUAUUCCAAUCUUUAGAAGAAGAAAAAAGGAAAAAUUCUUUUGGUCAAAAUGCUAUUUUAUCUAUAUUUUUUUUAAAAUUUUUUAACAUUUUUAUCAUUUUAACUUUAAUAUGUUUUAACUAAAAAAUGAAAAAAAAAAUCAGUUUAUUUUAAAAUAAAAAAUAUAUUAUAAUUUUUUAAAUUUCUGGCCAUUUAGCACUAUUCGAAAAAAAUAAUUAUUUUUUUGCAUUUGACUCUUAACAAAGCUUCAACAUGGAUUUUAUCGAUUUAUGUAUUGAGUUAAUAUAUAAUAAUAAUUGAUGAAUGGACAGUCAAAUAUUGAUAUACAACAAUAAUUGAGUAGACAAUUAAAUAUUGAUAAAUAUUUAAUAAAAUUCUCAAUAAAUUUUCAAAAUUUGUGAAAAAGUAUUUAAUUUAUGUAAAUCUAAAAUUGAAAUAGAAGUAUUAAUUGACAAAGAAUAUACAAAGGGAGACAAAAUAAAAUACUGUACUUAAUUUACAAACUCAUAAAUUUUGGAUAUUUUCAAAAACAAUAGUGGAGGAAAGAGAAAUUAUGUUUCUUCCCGCUUUCUCGUUGGCUUCAAGUAGCGGCGAGCGCGUCUUUUCCUGUGAAACUCACAACUCGGUCUGACUAAAUUCCACCAUGUGUAAAGUUUGCACUAAAAUGAAACCCACUUUACAUUAUUAUUGUUAAGACCGGACCCCAGCAAAAAAAUAAAAAUAAAUGAAGAAGGUGACAUCAAGGAUUAAAUCCGAAACAACUAAUUAUAUAAAAAUAGUUUCAAUCCACUGCACCAUAUUUUUCUAUGAUAUGAUCAACCACUAUUCAUGUGAAGGAAAUCAAAAACGUGUGGACGGUGAAUCAUAAAUUUUUAUUCAACUUAUAUCUCUUUCUAUAUAUACCAUCUCAUUCUUUUCACUAUGCUCAAAAAAUAAACAUUUCUAACUAAUAAAUCCUUCAUUUUUUUUCCUCUCUCCCAAUUCAUUUGUAAGAGAAAGGAAAAAAAAACCCAGAAGAAGCACCAUAUAUUGCAACGUAAAUUAAAGAAAGAAAAUUAUUAAUGGCACUUGCUAAAGAAAUUAUGGGUAUUUCCCUGCUGGAGAAAUCAUCAUCAUUUAUGAACUCAUCAUCAAUGGCACUUUUUAAUCCCAAUAAUUAUCACAAAGAAAAUCAUCUUUGGUUCAACCAGCAGUUUCAAGGAAGGAGGAAUUUAAGUAGAAGAAAAGCGUUCAGACAGAGUACUAUGGCAGCUAUAAGUGAAAAUUUGAUCAAAGUUGUGCCUGAAAAAGCAGUGAAAUUCAAAGUGAGAGCUGUAGUUACAGUGAGGAACAAGAACAAGGAAGAUCUGAAGGAGACAAUUGUGAAGCAUCUUGAUGCUUUCACCGACAAAAUCGGGAGGAAUGUCACGUUAGAGCUCAUCAGCACUGACAUGGAUCCAAGUAAGUCAAGGUCUUAACUAAUGAUCCGAAAGGCCUCUCAUUAAAAUUUAAUUUCUGACUCUAUUUUCUUCAGAUACAAAAGGACCGAAGAAGAGCAACCAAGCAGUGUUAAAGGACUGGUCUAAGAAAUCGAACUUGAAAACAGAGCGAGUAAAUUACACAGCAGAAUUCAUUGUGGACUCGAAUUUCGGAAAUCCAGGCGCGAUCACAGUGACGAACAAGCACCAGCAAGAGUUCUUUCUGGAGAGUAUUACUAUUGAGGGCUUUGCAUGUGGUCCAGUUCAUUUCCCCUGUAAUUCAUGGGUUCAACCCAAAAAAGAUCAUCCUGGAAAAAGAAUAUUCUUCUCUAAUCAGGUAUACUUCCUUAUUUUCUUUUACUACUUUAAUUUUUAAAUAAAAUUAUCAUCAUAUUAGUGACGACAAAUUAAUCAUCUGAUAUGACUUGCCCAGUAGUAAUUAAUUUAUUCAUUUUAUUCAAUUCAAUGUUUGAAUUUUCAGUUUCGUUGACAUAAUGCUUUCCGUGUGGAAAAUAGGAAAGUAGUCUUAGUUUGAAUUAGUACCGUAUUUGAAAUUUGAAUUGAUCAAAAAGAAUUUUUUAAAUAUUAGAUUUUACCAACAUAAUACGGUAACUAACAACUUUAUGACUAUUUUAGGAAAAUAAAUUUGAUUAUUCUAAACUGGUUAUAUAGUUUAAUUAAUAAAAGGAGCAAAGAGAAUAUUUAGAAAUAAAAUAGAAGACAUUAAAAAAAAAAAAAGAAAAAAAAAAGCAACACCAUCACGAGUUAAAUGCAUUAUACACGUAAUGUCUUUUUAUAUGGCCCCCAAUGUUGAUGUUGCUUAUCUUCAUGUUUCUAUAGAUUUAAAGUUUAUGAAUUAUACAACGACUUUAACUUAAUAUUAU